CAUUACAUUUUCUACCUUCACAAACCCUUCUCCAUGAUCGCACACCGAAGAUGUCUGUAGCCGCUUCCUGACACAACCACCGGACCCAUUUCUCAUAGACCAUUCCAUUGGGUACUUGGGCUCGAACCCAGGUAAACAGGCACAUCCAAAGGUAUUAUAACUGGCAAGUUCACACGUACUAUAAGCACCACAGUAUCCAUAAUAGUCGCACUGUAACUGAGGGCACUUCGAGUAUUCCCUCCACUUACCAUCACUUUCUCGCCAAGUUAACACCUUUGAAAGUCCUGAAUGAUCCACUAUUAGUCUUACCAGAUAAUAACCAUCAGGAACUGUUAAUUCACUGUAUAUUUCAUCUGGAUCAUUUACAAAAACCAUUUUGUAUAAGCCCAUCUGACUUAUACUAAUUGGCCAAGGGGGAGAUCUACUAAUUGGCUUUGUACCAGUAUAGAGAAAGAAUUGUGGUGAGCCAUUUGGGUUGAUCCUAACUGAAAAGUCUCCAAUCCCAGGGUCAUCAGCUGAUCUCCAUGAUGUUAGGAACCGAUCAGUUCCUAAUUUUCGAUCCAGCCCCAGUUUCAUUCCAGGAAGCAGGAUGUUCGUAGGAUAAUCGAAGCUUUGCCAUACUGUUUUUCUGCUUCUUUUCCUGACCAAUAUCAAAUUUCCUGAAUCCAAGAGUUGAGCUGCACAAGUAUCAUUUUCUUCCACUGAAACAUUUGUAGACCACACAGGAAGCUUUUGGUCAUCGUUACCAUAGAGAACGAGGUUACCAUAUUGGUCUACAAAGAGAAAUCCUGAGGAACCAAUGAUUGGAUCGUUCCUGUUUGCAACCCACACCACAGUUUGUUCUGGUACUUUAUGGUACCAAAUUCCAAGAUAUCUAUUGCUAGAACUACCUGGACUGAAAAAUCCUAGUGCAAAAUUAUUUCCUUCGGAGAUAAGAACGUCACCUUCUUUAAUGGUUUGGUUCGUCUUUAAGGAGUCUAGGGAUGUACAAGAUGAGAAAUGGAGCAUUAAAAGAGAAAAAAGCAGGAACAGUUUUUCAGCUUCCAUGAUGGGGUAAAGUGGAUCUUGGCUUUUGGAAAGUGUCAAAUUUUGCUUUGUGGAGAAUGGAUAUGGCCUUCAGACAAGUCUCCAGAGAAGUUGCGUGACGGAAUUAGGCAUCUCUUUAAUGAGUUACUCUUUUCAACCUUCAAAGUCUAGACAAUGACUUGUUUUUGUUAAAAUAUCAAUGUAGAUUUUUUGGAAACGACACCGUCCUCUAGUUUUAGAAAUAUGUAGUAGGUUGCAGACACAUACAAAAACAACAUAAAAAAGACAAUAUAAACACAAAGACCGUAAUAAUUAUAAUUCAAACUUUUAUUAGUCAAUAUUUUUCUAAACAAAUUUAAAUAUUAAAGCUUUUAAUAAAUCACCAUAAACAAAACUUAAAAAUUAAUAAAAUAUUUCUAAGUAAAUAAAAAACAAAUUUAAAUCAACUUGGAAAAUAUGACAUUUUCAAAAUAGUAAUUUCUAGUACUAGUUUGGAGGCUUUAACGAGCUUAGAUGCCUUCAUAAAUCAAACCCUAUACAGAGAUCAUGGCUUCUAGAAAUAAAAUUUAUGUUCAUUAUUUUAAGGUCAUAUGUUGGAUAAAAAUCUCCUACAUCAAUCUCCUCGUGUUGGAAAUAACUCGUCUUCAAGUUCAAAUUGUUCUCGUUUUGACCUCAUGAAUGCUCAAUCAAAGCUCUAAAACUCCCUUCCAUUCUUCCCUUAAGGUAUAUAACAAUAUUAUAUAUCAACUUAAAUUCUUUAUUAAUAUAUGUUGUAUCUAUAUAAUUUUUGAACAAUUCUAUCUUUGUGAUAAUAAUAAACUUAUAAUUAAAAGGAUCAACAUAACCUAAAUCAAUAAUUUAAUUUUGUUACUUUGCACAUAAUUUCUAACCUAUCAAUAUGAACACCAUUGAUAACAUUAUUGCUACUUUGCAAUCAUUGUUUAUGCUAUUAUUAUUAUCAUAAGUUUGGCUAGGUGAUCAUAUAUAUAUAUAUAUGAUUUUAGUGUUCUUUGUUUUUUUUUUCACUUGGAUCGUUUUUUAGAACUUGAUUUUGGUUCUUGAGAAAUAAUUAGAGUUGUCAGUGUCACGCAAAAAAAUAAGGAAGGAUUUGAUCUUCCAUGUGUUUGGUCUAACAAAUCUAAGCUACGUGGCUUUCUAACUUCUUUUUUUUUUUAUGUGUUUCUUGUGCUAUGUUGUUGAUUCCUCUUUUUGUUCCAUGAUCUUAGGAGGUUUUUAAAUAUUGUAAGGAUCUCUUGCUUUCUCAAUUUAUUAUAUUUUGUUGCACUCUAUUUUUUUUUUUGCAUAUAUAUUGUGUUUGAGCAUAGCAUGUGUUGUUAUUUAUUUUUGGACCUCACAUAAACAUACAAAAUACAAAAAAAAAAUUAAAAAAAAUGGAAAACAAAUAUACAUUAGUGGGAAGAACAUGAAAGAUAUCUAGAAAAUUGUCACAGACUAGGAAGGGAGAAUCAAAAUAUUCAAAGUUAAAAAAUUGACAGUUCAAUUUUGAAUCAUGAAAGCCCUAUUAACAAGAAAAGUUCAAUUUGAGAAGAAAAAUUCAAAAUUAGAUGUUUAAUAACUCAAUUGAAAAUUUUCAAGGUUUAAUUGUAUUUAUUGAGGGCUUAAUUGCAAUAAAAAUUAGUUUUAAAGUUCAAUUUGGACUUUAAUGGGAAGAAAUUGAAGUUUGGGGGUUGAAUUGUAAUUUUAAAAAGCUAAUUUAGUUAGUUAAAAACAUGACAUGACAUCAUUAAUAUGAUGCGGCAGAUAGAGUGAUGGUGCACCCUUCCUGUUGUAACCCAAUUUUGACUCAUUGGCUUUUAAAUUUAAUUUUACAGGGUUUAAAAUUUAAAAUUAAAAGAUAAGAGAUUUAUUUCGAUGAAAAGUGUGAUUUGUCAACUUGCAUGAAAACUAGAGACUACAAUGUGCUUUUGUCAUUCUAUCCUUAUCUUUAAGAUAAUCCCUGUCUUCAAGAUAAUCCUUGUCUUCAAGAUAAAAAUAGUUAUAUGUUUCCAAAUUUGAUUCUUAAUCAAAUUCAAACUUUAAAGAAGAGAAUGAGUUUAAUUGAAACUUUGUUUCUCACACGCGAAGGGACUCUGACACUAUAAAUACAAAUAUCAGUGUAUGCACAAAGGGGGGAAGACAAUAUAGAGAAAAAACAAAAAAAAAAACAAAGGAGAAAAACAGGGGAGACGACAGAAGUAAGAAAACAAAGGAGAGAACCAAAAAAAAAAAAAACCAAGAAUAGAGGGAGAAGAGAUUGAAAAGAGGAGAAGAAGGAGAGCAUUCUCCUGCUGAUGCCUGCACUGCUACCUUUGCCUUCAGCUUCACCAGGUAAAGUCUUCUUCAUCUCUCUGUUUUUGUGUAAUUGUUGCAAGAAAAUAGUGUCAAUGUAACUUAAUUACCUUCAUACUAUGCAGUGUACGUGUGGGUUGAGCCACGCUUGCUUGCUGCCCAACCGGGUCACUGGCUUGGGGCCAGUGACCAAGCUGGGUUGGCUGGGUCCAGCCCAGCCCAUGUUGGUUAGGCUAGACCCAGCCCCAAAAAAAAAAGAAAAGAAAAGAGAGAGGGUCAAAUCUGGGCUUUAGGCUCAGCCAGCCCAAAUUAUGUUUAUUAAGGGUGUGUUUGGCAAAACACACCCUUAUGCCUUGGCUAUAAUUUUUAUGCUCAUUUUAGUUUGAUAUUUAGCCAAACGAGUCCCUUUUUGAUAUCAGAAAAUUCCAAAAAUAUUUGAGGAUCUUUGUUGAUUUAUUUGUGGGCCCCUCGCACUUUGAUUUAUUUUUUUUCUUUGCGUUUUGUAUUUGUUUUAAGUUAUGUGCUCAAUCUGGGGCCUAUUAUUGUUAAAUACAAAUAUGUCGUGCAAUAUUUUUUUUUAUUUCCAUCUAAAAAGGGCAAAUAAUAAUAAAGGAUAAACAAGAAAAAAUAUGACAUAGAAAAUUUCUUCUUCAAAUGUAUUUUUUGUGAAAAUAUUCACUGACGCUAGAGUUAGGAGUAUCGUAUUUUUUGGAUUUGUGCGAUAUUUACCAACGUCAGAGUUAUAAAUAUUCGUAGGAAUUGUUCACUGAUACCAGAGUCAGGAACAUGAAAGGAAGAAUAAAAAAAGGGAAAAGGAGAACAAAUUCUUAAGCAAUUUUAAAGAAAACCAGCAAUGCAGCCUGCCUCAAGUAAGACGCUUAGGGGGGUGAUAGCAUUUUCCCUUUUGCAUAACCAGUCUUGUACCAUAAAAUCUUUGUUGACCAGUUAAGGUUCCUAGUGACCGUAAUACUAGGUGGCGACUCCUUGAACUAGAUAUUUUCCCCUAAAAGAACAAGAUGUCAGAUAUCUGUUCUUUUUUCUAGUAGAGUGAUAAUUUUUAAUCGGUCACCGCGAUGUCCGGGUGUGACACUUCCGAUGGUGAAACCUGAAAAUAUUUUAAUAUAGUGCAUCCUUAGUUUUCAAUUGAAUCAAGAAACCAGCAUCUUGGGUUAUGUAUAGACAAAUUCAAUUCAUUCGGAUCAUUUGAUACUCCUUGUUGGUCCGUGAUACAUUUUACAAAUUGUCACCAGAUAUGUGUAUAAGGCCGAAGUUCAUGUUUUUAUCAACAGUCAUACCUGGUUAUAAUAGUCCGAGUUAAAAUAUAGAUGUUUGUCUUCGAUGGUGGUUUGAAAGGAUUUCAAACCUUCAUACAUCUCUGAGGUUAUAUGGGCAAAAUAUAUUUAGCAUGUGAUGUCUGAUCAUUUUGUGCGACAAUCACACUCUAGUGCAAAGAACCAGAACUAGCAAGUUCACGAAUUUGUUACCCACACAUCAGCAGCUCUAUUCCAUUUGUUUCACAUGUGAAACCAAUAGUAAGAUUUGUUUUUCAUUAUAUAUAUUUUUUAUUUGUUGUUUUCUAUAAAUAUAUUUAAUUAACAGUUUUAUCUUGCAGUAUACAGAUUUUCGACAUAAACCAAGCCCCAUUGAUGACCGCAAAAAAGUUAAGGGUGCAAUUUCAUAUUUUAGAUUAGCUAGGACACAUUAUGCUUAAUUGAUAAUUCCUAGAAAGUAUUUUAAUUCAUUGCAAGCAUUCGUGCGUUUUGGAUAAGAUAUGGUCAUCUAGCCAGGUGGCACGCAUCGUUUGGCAGAGACCACAGGCGUUGGAAUUUUUGCCUUAAGGUGUUUUUUCUAUGUUAACUUUUCAGUCCAAGUUUUGUAUAGUUGUUAGACCUUUUAGUUAGGGUAAGUGAAAAUAUCAUAAUCUCAAUUAUGAGUCUGAUGAAAAUAAUAUUUAUUUAAUAUUCUAAUAUUUAUUUGAUUUGAUUUUUAUUAGUUAUGUCAACUUAAUUUAUUAUUUAAAACAAUUUUAUACUUUAGUGGCAUUCCACAAUUGAUAUUCAAAAUUUAUUAAAUCAGAUUUUUUUUAAUUUCUUAACUAUGAUUUUUAAAUAUAAAAAACUUUAAUUUAUUAAUUUCAAAGAUAUUAUUUUUUAAUAUUUAAAUAGUUACCCUUAAGAGAUAUUACUGCACAACCAUUUAAGUAAUUAUAUUGUAUAAAAAGUAAAAAGCCCAAGAAGCCCAUGAUUAUUUUUAUAAUAAUCAAUUAAGUACGUGAAAAUACCGUGUUAUCCUUAAAAGAUAGGCAAAGUUUUUAAAUUGAGAAAGGCAAAAUAGUAAAUUCAAACAUAUAUAAUUUUUAAGUUUUUGUUAAUUCUACAUGGAAAUAAGGAGUUGAUGUAUGAUAUAUAUUUUUUAGAACAUUAUAAUAUUUGAUUUCAAACAUGUUGGAAGCGAAAAUGGAAAAACGGGUAAAAGGGAGAAAAUUGACAUUGAAAUUGUGGGAUCGGAUAAUUGGUCUUUUCAAUGCAUUUUUCAAUUUUUUUUAUAUAUAAAAUGCUUAAAAGACUGGAAAGAGAGUUUUGCACUUUCGUGGCCAAGGUCCACACAUGCUCAAAUUUUGGAUAUGAAGACUUUUGGGCUUUCCUUGUGUGUGUGUAUAUAUAUAAAAUUAAAAAAAUCAGAGAUUACCUUGAGUUUAUUAUUCUAGAAAUCGAAGCAAAAACAUAAGUUGUCAAUAUAUAUAUAUAUUCUAAGAUGAAAAAACUAAAAUUAAUGUCUAAAAUUGAUAUAUACUUAAAAUGAAGAGUUUUAAUUUGACAUGCAAACAAUUAAAUAAUAGUAAUUUGAAUUUAUUGACGAGUUUUUUCUAAUAAAAUGAGACUAAUGAAGAAGGAUUUUUUUUUCAAUAUACAACUUUAACUUUAUAUUAAUGAGUACAAUUUUCAAUUUCAUGGUUAGCUCAUGCUAUAACUUUGGUAAAAGAUUUCAAAAGCUUUAUUUUCUUGAGGGUAAAAAGACCAUACCCAUCUGAGUUCAAAAGAGGCCAAAAAAUUACUAUUUAAGAUUUUUUAUAUUUUCUAGUUAAUUUAUGAUUUUUUUUUAUUUUGAUUAAAACUUUUUUAUUAUUUUUUUAUUUUUAUUUAGGAUGUUUUUCCUAGUUUUCUUAUGACUUUUAUUACUUUUCAUUUAUUUUCUGAAUUUAUAGUUAGUUUAGUUAAGUUUUUAGGUUUAUUGAAGGAAUUGCAAACCUCUUAAAGUGAUAGAUUAUUUGGAAAAAAAAUAUUCAAUUAUAAAAUUAUAAAUUAAAAUUUCUAUGUGAUUUGUUUUAGAAUUAUUUUGUAUUUUUUUGUUUUUAUCUUUCUCGUGGUACUUUCAUCUGCAUCAGUAGUAUAAAAAACUUCAAUUUAUAAUUUUAUUAUUAAAUAUUUAUCUUCAAAUAAUCUCUUAAAAUACAAGAUAAAAAUCUUACUUAUACUAGAAAAAACACCCUAAAAAAAACUAAAAAAAAUAAUAAAAGAGUUUCAAACUAAAUAGAAUGUUUUUUUAAAUCAACUAAGUAAAUAUUGCAAAUCCCAAACAAUAAUUUCUUAGACUUAUUUGAAAGUCUCUUCAUAUUUGGAUUGAUACAAAACUUUAACUUUAUAAUAAAUAAAGCACAAAAGGAAUUCCCAUUAAAAUAACCUAAUUCAAUAGUUGAAUUAAAAGGAAUUCCCAUUAAAAUAAAGUUGGAUUCUAAAAAAACAAUAGUCUCCUACAUCAUAAAACACUACUUGUACUCGCCCUGUGCUAGUUUUUUAAUUUUAUUUAAAGGUACUAGGUUUUUUUAAAAAAAAUCAGAAAAAAGAAAACGCAAGGACAUGGUUAAAAUAAAGAAUUCUAAUCUUUACCAAAUUUGGUUAUGAAGAACUUUUUCCCAUAAUAAAUAUAAAGAGACUUAAUAUCACGCCUCGAACCAAGACUCAUGAAAUUAUUUUAUGUGCACGAAAGAAAUUUUAACUUCAAAAAUAAAAAUUACAUUCAAAAUAAUAUUCAAUUAAAAGAAAAUACAUUGAAUCAUAAGUUAAUUAAGACUUUAAUAAUAUAAAUCUAACUUUAAAGUCAAAUAAAAACAAAUGUAAGUCUAAAUCAAAGAUAAUAAAUUGAUUUAAUUAUUUAAAUAUUAAAGUCUAGAAAUUAGCUAUAAACUUCCAAAACAACUAAAUGACAUUCUAAGCCUUUUCCAAAAUUAAAUAAAAGGUGAGUGCCACACACCGAUAACAAUUCAUACUUAACUAGAUCAAACAUGUCAAAACUUAUAAAUUAAUGCUACUAUAUUGAUUGAUAAUUUUACCCAUAUUUACCUUGUAUUUUACCCAUAUUUUAUAUAUAAAAUGCUUGAUAUUAAUUAUUUUAUAUUUUGAAUGUACUUUAGAUGUAAGAUUCGAAAAUAAGUAAUUUGGUGAUAAAAUUCAGACCAUGUUCUAGCUAGUGUUGAAUAUUGAUAUAUUGACAUUUGAUCGAUAUUUUACAUAGAACUUGAGCUGUAUGGUUGAAAUAAAGUGAUUCAUAUGGAAUUAAAAAGCUAACAUCCAUACCUUUUUAUACAUAUAUAGCAAGAAAAAAAAAGCAUUGAAAUCAUAGCCUUCAGAAACAAGUUUUGCAUUUUGCCAGUUUUGACCUUAGGUCAUUUCGACUUGAAUAUCUUGAGUUAGAGAAGUCUAUUUGAUGCAAACUCAAUUUUGUUGGAUUUCUGACUCAAAGACCUAUCAACCUAUGGAAUUUCAGCUAAAAAAAAUCUCAUGUGAGAGAUAUGAUAUUUCUAAGACAACCUAUAAAUUCUGUUAACAGACAGGUUUUGUGAAGAAAUAAGUCUCAAACAUCCAAACCGACAGGACAAUUAUUUUUUCAUAUGAAAAUGGUUUUUAUUUAGGCAAAUUAACUUCACUAAAUCCAAAGUCAAAACUUGAAGAUUUUAUAUAAGACUAUUUUUCCUUCUUUAUAAGAAAGUAAUUAUUGUGUUACUUAAAUAUAGAUUGUCUAUUUUGGAAAUGACUUUUAUAUUUUUAGGAUACAAACGGACUAGUAGGAAUGUGAGGAUUAUGGUUUCCUAUCAUAUAAAAAGAAAGAGAGAGAGGAAGAGAGGGAGGCGAUAACAAAAGAAGAAGAAACUCUCAUCUUUUUUUCCUACACUUGACAUUUUGUUUUCAUCCUUUCUUUUCCUUAGUUUUUUUAUAGUCAUACGAGACUAAGUUAUUUUUCUUGGUUGAAAAGAUACAGAAGCCUUAAAAUUUCAAAAAAGCUAUGAGAUCUAUUUUAUCUUUUCUUUUCAGUUUAUAUGAUGAGUAUGGAUGUUUUUCUAUGCUUAUUUUUUUAUGACUGUUUAGUUUGAUUGAUUAGAACGACUAAGUUUUUAUUCUUACCAAUCUAUUGCUAAAUUUUCUAUCAAAAUCAGAGUUGUGAUAUUUAACUUGUGAAGCGGCUAAGUUUAAUAAUUAUGAAAGAUCUAUGCUAUUAAUUUUAGGGAAAACAAUCAAUUAAAUUGAACAUAGACUGUAGACAGAUAUGUUGUCUAGAUUUAUCAACCUAUCUAGUUCUUAAGGCUACCGUUGAAUUAAAUUGCUAGUGCGGACGCAAUGGUUUCUUUAAUGGUUAGAUUAGUUAUACUGCAUGUCAGUUAACUGAUUAAUAUUAAGAAAAGAUAAAUAUUCAGAAUAUAAAUUGACGAAUCGUUUCAAUAAUUAGUUUUGAUUUCUGUCGUUGAACAUUUAAUUGAAAUGUUUUUCUCUUAAUAAGUUUCGGUUUAUUUAACUUAGUUUGAGUACUUUAUUUUGUUUACCUUACCUAGCUUAGAUAAUUUCAACCCCUCAACUUUGAAUCAUUUAGCAUAAAAACCCGAACUAAAUCUUUCUCGUGGGAUCGACCUCUUACUUGCUCUAUAUUAUCUUAUUUGUUUAAGUUAGGGUAAUUAAUUUGUGUGAUCAUGACAUUGCAACACAAAUAAAUAUAGCUUAAAGUAUAUUCAAAGAACUUUUGCAAUCAUAAACAUAUUUUUAUAAAACACUUAACAUUAUUUACAAAAUCAUUUACAUGCAUGAUCCACCUAAUUUACAAAACAAUAAUUAUUUGAAAAACUCAUUUUGUACAUAAGUAUAUAUUUUCUAACUUAAAAUAACUAACCAAAGUGAUGAAAUAUUACUUGCAUGUUACACAAAUCCAAUAUAUAUUUGUCCUAGAGACAACCAAGCACUCUUAACAACCUAACAAUAAUAAUCAUUAUAAAUUAUAUGCUCAUUGAUAUCCAAUGCAAUACAUGAGCUUGUUUCUAAUUCAUAAUUUAAUAAAAAAAAAUUAAAUAUAUCACUUGCUUCAAUGACCUUAAAAUUUCCAUGAAAAAUCACCCAAUACUAGAACCGUGUUAUUACAACCCCUUAUUUUACUUAUAAAAUAUCUAUUUUUAAUAAUUAAAUACCAAAAAUCACCCAAUGCUAGAACCAUGUUAUUACAACCCCCUAUUUUACUUUUAAAAUAUCUAUUUUUAAUAAUUAAAUACCAAAAAUAAUUAUGUAAAACAUAUGACUAUUAUAGUUCAAAUUUAAGAACAUUAUAAAAUCUAUUAGAAAAGGAUAAUAAAUAUUUUUAUUUCAACUAAAACAAUAUUAUAAGUAUAAUUAAAGUGGAGGUGUCAAAAAUUAUUAAGUGCAACUAUUUUUUUAAAAUAAUUUGUUUAGUAAAUAAAUUAAUUCAUAUACAAAUCAAGUUCUUUAUGAAAUACUUUUCACUAAUUCAAAUUCUACAUGAAAAGAAAUUGAUAGUAGUAUAUUAAAAUGUUUAAAACUUAAUUAUAAAAGUUAUUCAUCAAUCUUCAAAAUAAAUUUUAGUUAUUAACUACUAAAUUUCACUAAUAAAAAGUAUUUUUUUCAUAAAUUUAAAAAUACUAAAAAAUAUAUUAAAAGCACACUAAAAUUUCCUAGUAACAUAUUAAAUAGAAACAACAAACUUUAGGUCUUAAAAUAUUCAGGGAGAAUUGCACUUUUUAAUAAAAAAAAAUAAAAUUAAAGAGUAUUUUAUAAACUUAUAAAUUACAAAUUCAAGUGACUUACAUCCGACUGUCAUAAUUUUUAAUCCACAACUUUGAUUUGGGCAAAUGACUUAUCAAAUCAAAGAACUUACAACAUACUAUAACUAGGUACUAAAUUCCAACCAUAACAAUCAUUGGAAGACCAGAUUCCUGCGGUCCAAAAUUACCAACUCAUCCUUUUUUUUCAAAUCUCUUAAUUUCACUAUUACUUCUUAAAAAUAUUUUUUAUUAAAAUAUUUUUUUUAAAAGAAUAUAUAUAUUAAAAUAUUUUUUUUAUUUUUUAAUAAAAUUUAUUUUUAAAAUUAGCAAAUUAAAAUGAUUUAAAAAUAUAAAAAAAAUUUAAUUUGAAACAUUUUUUAUAAAAAUUUUGCAAAUCUCUAUUUAAACCACACUGUUUUUUCUUUUUAAUUUUAACCUACUCGAAGGCCGCUCAAUUUUUUUUUUAAUUUUAAUUAUAUGAGUUCUUUAACAUACCUCAAAUUUUUGAUAUUGAUGUUGACACUUUUGUUAUUCACAACAUAUAUUUAGUAGAGAAAUUGUGUCCUACAAAAUCAGAAAUCAUAUGAUUGAGAUUGUAAAAUUCAAAAAAUAAAAAGUUUUAAAUCCAAAAAAUAAACUAAUCUUAAAAUGGUUUCAGUUUUUUUAUUUAGUUUUUUCAAUCAUCAUUCAUCUAGUUGAAUUGAUUUUUUUUUUCAAAAUAAAGAGUUUUACAAGGACUAAAUUGCAUAAAUUUUAAGGGUGCAAUUUCAUAUUUUAGAUUAGGACACAUUGUGCUUAAAUGCUAAUUCCUGAGAAAGUAUUUUAAUUCAUUGCAAGCAUUCGUGCGUUUUGGAUAAGAUAUUGUCAUCUAGCCAGGUGGCACGCAUCGUUUGGCCGAGACCACAUGCCUUAAGGUGUUUUUUCUAUUAUAACUUUUCAGUCCAAGUUCUGUAUAGUUGUGAGACCUUUUACUUAGGGUAAGUGAAAAUAUCAUAUUCUCAAUUACGAGUCUGAUGAAAAUAAUAUUCAUUUAAUAUUCUAAUAUUUAUUUGAUUUGAUUUUUAUUAGUUAUGUCAACUUAAUUUAUUAUUUAAAACAAUUUUAUACUUUAGUGGCAUUCCACAAUUGAUAUUCAAAAUUUAUUAAAUCAGAUUUUUUUAAUUUUUUAAAUAAAUUUUCAAAUUUAAGAAACUUUGGUUUAUUAAUUUCCCUAUGCACUGCAUCGCUUGAACUUUAGUCUUUAGGGUUUUCUUUCAAGUGGGCAGCAUGAGAAAAUAUCUAUCGGACAAAAACAGUUUUUUAAGUACUGAUAUAGUUUUUUUUAAGGAAAAAAAUCAAUUAAUAUAAGAUUUGACACACAUUAGAAGAUACUGUUUUUAAUACUAAGACACUUAUACAUUAAAAUUUAUUUUUUAAGUAUUAAAAUAAAAAUAUAUUAAAUAGAUAUGGGUCAACCUGAAUCAAUCAUUUAAAUUUACGAUCAAAGUUAUAAAACUAUGAUAAUCUCAUAAAAAACAAACAAAUAAUUAUGUUCAAUUUCAAAAGCAAUCUAAUAAUGAAGAAUAAAAUUCAAAAUUAAAAUACUCAAUUAAUUUUUUUUUUAAAAUCUAAAUAAACCCGAGACAAUUUAUUAAAUCCAUGAUUUGAAUUAUUUAUUCCACUAGAUUUAAAAAAAUCUAAAAAAAAAGAACAAACAUGACAUGCAUGUGAGAUUAAAAAAAAAGGAACUAACGAAGGUUUUUUCUAUUUUUUUUUAAUCUUCCGGGGGGGCUGAAAAUGCAUCUAGGGGCAUGACCACCCACCUGACCUGUACAAAAAUAAAAAUAUUUAAUGAAAAACAAGUUAAAAAAAAAAGAUAGGAAUGAAACUGAGUUAAUUUGUUAUACUCGGUCAUACAUUCCACUAAAUUUAAUAAUAUAUUAUUUAUUAAGUUAUUUUUUAUUUUGUUAUACAUCAAUCAAGAAUGUAAGAUGUGUUUUUGUAUCAAAUAAAAAAAAUUAAAAUACAACAAACAGGAUAGGCAGGCACGUGUAACAAAACAAUGGUCUCUUUUUAAAGUUAAAUAAGAAAAAAUGGUCUUUUAUAAGCCAAUUUAAAAAGGAAAAAAAAAAAAAAGAGGUCGUAUGCAUCACCUACCAUAAAAGCAUACCAAAUAAAAUAUAAUGCAGUGAGGAUAUGAUAUUUAUAUCUAAACAAUUCACUUAAUUUAACUAAAAAAUAAAAAAAAUAAAAAAAAGCUAAAUUUAACAAAAAGUGACAAAAAAGGACUCGAGAAAACCUAAGUAAUUUUUAAAAUCAGUAACAAAACCCUAUAAACAGUAAAUAAAAAAAAUGAAUUAUUUAAUUAAAUCAAAUAUUGAAGGAUGAAACUUAAAAAAACAUGAGUUUAAAAAAGAACAAAAAAUGAAUCGGAACAAAUCUUCUAAAUCUAAGUUAAUCUUCUAAAUUCAUAACCUAUUAAAUCUUAGAUCUAGGCUCAAUAAAAAAAAGCUUAAUUUAAUUUUGAAGGAUGAAAUAAAAAAAAUCGUAAUUUUUUUUUGUCAAAGCAAAGAAAGUAGCUAUAAAAAUAAAGGUGAAUGAAAUCGUUAAAAAAAUAAAAUUUAAAAAUGAUCUUAAAUAAAAUAAAUAGUAGUCAAAAGAAUGGAUAUCAAAUUUGAUAGAUUAAGAAAAUUUUAAGGAUAAUGAAAUUGAAAAUAAUCAAAUGAAAAAAUAAGGAUCAAAUCAAAAGAAAAAAAAAAGCCAACUAGGGCCAAAUUACUAAAUGGACUUAUAUCACACGCACCACCUAGAGAGGCAGGCCACACUAUAAUGAAUUGAAAAACACCGAAGAAAGCUAUUUUUGAUAGUUGUAAGCCGUCGCACAUACCGUUUAAACACGACAGAGAGGCGUAUUCACUAGCAUGUUCAAUGAAUGCAUUAACCAUUUUUUCUUUUUUUUCUUUAUAUUUAUUAAAAGACUAAAUUGAUCACAUAAUAAUAAUAACAACAACGACGACGACAACAACAAAAAAAAAAAAAGGAAAGUAUGAAUUAGCCCUUAGAGGCAUAGUUAGAAAAUUUUGAUUUUAAGGACAAUAUAAUCAUUUUAUCGUGCUAUAAAAUAUAAAAUAUAAGAAAUGCCUCUAAACUUGAGGAGCAUAGUUUUUUAAAAGCAUUUAAGUAAUUAUACUAUAUAAAAAAAAAUGAAAAGAUCAUGAAGCUCAUGAUUAAUUUUAUAAUGACCAAUAGAGCAUCCAAAAAGAUUGCCCUUGAGAGAUAGGCAAAGUUUUUCGGUUGAAAAGGGAAAGUAGUAAAUUCACUACUAUAAUCCAUAAUAAUUCAAGACAUAUCUAUAGUAAUUUUUCCAUGGGAUUUAGAUUUUUGUUAAUUCUACAUGGAAAUCAAAAGUAGAUGUAUUUACAAUAAUCAUUUCACUGGCUUGGUAUCUUGUAUAAUAUAUAUAUAUAUAUAUAUAUAUAUAUAUAUAUAUAUAUAUAUAUAUAUAUAUACCAAAAAAAAUUAGAGAUUCCCUUGAGUUUAUUAUUCUAGAAAUCAAUGCAAAAAAAUAAUUUUUCAAUUAUUGUUUUCUUAUAUAAAUUUUAAGAUGUGUUGCGAUAUCGCGGUCGCACAAAUUAAUUACCCUAGCUUAAAACACAUAAGAUAGUAUAGAGCAAGUAAGGGAUCGAUCCCACGAGGAAGAUUUAGUUUAGAUUUUUAUGCUAUAUGUUAUGCAAUUGGGGGGUUUUGAUUUGUGAUGAUCUAAACUAUGGAAGAAAUUAAACUAGCAAACAAAAUCAAUUGAAACCGAAAUUAAUCAAGAAAACAAACAUUGGUCGCAAGCACACUACACCAACGAAAAUUAGAACUGAUCCUUGAAACGAAAAUUGCAGUUUAUGUUCUGAAAUUUUAUCUUUUCUUACGUUGAUUAAUUAACGGAUCCGCCGUAUAACUAAUCCUAACCAACAAACAAUCAAAGUGUCUGCACUAAUGAUUUAAUUUAAUGGCAGCUUUAAGAACUAGAUAAUUUCAUCAAGAUUAACAUACAAGCUGUCCGCAGCUUGUGUCACUUUGUUCAAAUGUUCUCCCUAAGUUCAAUAACGUAGUUCCGCCAUAAUUAUCAAGCUUAGUUGCUUCACAAGUUCAUAUAUCACAACUCCGGUUUUGAUAUUAAACUUAGCAAUAGAUUGUUUACAACAAUAACUUAGAGUCCGCUCUAGCAAUCAUCAACAACAAUCAUAGGAAAUAUGCAUAGGAAAACAAUCAUACUCAUUCAUAACAUAAACUGAAAAUAAAAGGAAGAAUAAAUCUCACGGUUCUUGAAAUCCGAAGGUUUUUGCGUCCUUGCAACCAAGAAAAGAGCUUAGCCUUGCAUAACUAUUGAACAACUACUUCUAAAGAUUGAAGAGAGCAUGAUUUUAGGGUUUGUAGAGGAGAGAAUUUAUGUUUAUUCUCUGCUGGCUUCUGCCUCCCUCCUCUCUCCUUCCCUUCUCUCUUUCUUUUUAUAUGCUAAGAAACCCUAGUCCCUAUUUUACAAAAUAGUCCUCCCUUAAGUUGACAGUUUACAUUUAAGUACUUCAAUAACUAUUUUCCUAAAAAAGAGAAAUAGCCUUGCAUUAAAUCUUCAAGCUUUGAAUUAGAGGAGCUAAAUUGUUAAAAUAAAAACUUGGACGCCGGUUUAGAUGCUUCGAAACGUAAUUUGGACAUGUUCCUUCACGAAACCUGUUUGUUGGCAGAAUUCAGCUGUCAUCUUUGGAAACUCAUAUCUCCCUCAUAUGAUAUCGUUUUUGGCUGAAAUUUUGAUAGUUUAUAGGACUGUUAGUCAGCAAUCCAAAAAAUUGAGUUUUCAUUGAACUUCUGUAGCUCCAGAUAUUCAAGUCGGAAUGGACGAAGGUCAACACUGGCAGAUUGCGAGAUUUGACUUUGAAAGCUGCGAUUUCUAUGAUCUUCCUUAUUUUAUUUUCUUGCCUUAGAUGUCCAGAAAGGUAUGGAUGUUGUCUUUUUAAUUCCAUUGGAAUCACUUCAUUUCGACCUCUAGAGCUCACGCUCUGCACAAAACAUCGACUGAAGGUCAAAUCUGCCAAUUACCUCCAAUUUACUCCUUUUUGCAUCUUUCAUCCAAAAGUGCCUUCAAAACAUCAAACAAAGAAUAUCAAGGCAUUUUAUAUAUAAAACAUAGGCAAAACACUAGUUAAAUGUGGGUGAAACUAUCGAAUAAUAUGGUUGCAUCAAGAUGAAAGGAUUAAAAUUGAUAUCUAAAAUUAUUAUAUAUUUAAAACAAAGAAUGCAAAUGGAUUGAAGAGUUUUAAUUUGACAUGCACAUGAUCAAGAUAAAAACAAUUUGAACUCGAUGAAGAGUUCUUUCUAACAAACAGAGACUAACAAAAGAGAUUACUAUUCAGGAUCAAGGUAAAAGAUUCCAAAUGCUUUGUUUUCUUAAGGGUAAAAAGUUCAUACUCAUUAGAGUUUAGAAGGGUCCAAAAAUUACUAUUCAAGAUUUUCUAUAUUUUCUAGUUAAUUUAUGAUUUUUUUUUAUUUAGAUUAAAACUUUUUUAUUAUUUUUUCAGGUUUAAUGAAGAUGUUCUUCCUAGUUUUCUUAUGACUUUUAUUAUUUUUUCUUUAUUUUCAGGUUUUAUUAUUGGUUUAGGUAAGUUUUUAGGUUUAUUGAAGGAAUUGUAAACCUCUUAGAGUGAUGGAUUAUUUAAAAAGAAAUAUUCAGUUAUAAAAUUAUAAAUUAGGGUUUUUGUGUGAUUUUGUUUAGCAUUAUUUUGUAUUCUUGUGUUUGUUAUCUUUCCUGUGUUGCUUCAAUUUGCAUGAGUAGUAUACAAAACUCUAAUUCAUAAUUUUAUUAUUGAAUAUUUCUCUUCAAGUAAUCUUCUAAAAUACAAGAUAAAAAUUCUCUUUAUACUUGAAAAAAUAUCUUAAACAAAACUGAAAAAAUAAUAAAAAAAUUCCAAACCAAAUAUAAAAGAAAUCUUAAAUCAACUAAAAAAAUACUGCAAAUCCCAAAUAAUAAUUUUUUAGACUUAUUUGAAAGUCUUUCCACAUUUGGAUGGAUAUAAAAUUUAAACUUUAUAAGAAAAUAAAAACUUUGAAUUUUUUUAUCAAAAUUUUAAUCCGAUCGAACAGUUAAAUAAAAAAUUACAUCUAUUAAAAUAAAAUUUUAUUUUAGAAAAAAAUAAUAUAUGCCUUCAAUAAAAUAGCUUGAAAGAAAACACUAUUGGGACUAGUGGUUUUUCAAAAACAUCAGCAUUUCCUUUCCAGAGGUGCUGUUUCUUAAGAAAAAAUAUAAAUUUCGCCCUAUGCUAGUUUUUCAAUCUUAUAUUAUUUCUGUGUUAUUCACACAAAUCUGCUCAGAUCAAUUUGACAAUUUUAAAACGUUAUGCUCAUCAAUCACACAAUAUCACUCAGAUCAAUUUGACAAUUUUAUGUUCCAUGCUCCCAUGAUAUGAGAUGAAUUCCUAAAUGCUAUUAGUCUGGUUGGGCAAUCAGAUUUAACAGUGUUACAUCCUGCUAUCAGUAAAAUCCAAUAAUAUUAUGCCAGCCAGAUUUAAUAUUAUUGGAUAUGACUUGGGUUUGGUGGUUAAGUCUGGCUUGACUACUAAAUUCAAGAAUAUUAAGUUUGGAAUUGCUCUCAGAUCUAAGUUGUUUAAUAUAUUUUUUAAAAAUUAUUAUUGACUUGUUACGGAGCUUAAAAUAAUAUACUAUACUAAUUUAAUUUCAAACAUGUUGUAGGUGAAAAUGGACAAAUGAGUAAAAUGGAGAAAAUUGACAUUGAAAUUGUGGGAUCGGAUAAUUGCUCUUUUUCAAUGCAUUUUUCAAUAUUUUUAUAUAUAAAAUGCUUAAAAAACUGGAAAGAGAGUUUUGCACUUCCUUGGGCCAUGGCCCGGGCUCGAAUUUUGGAUAUGAAGAGCUUGAUCUGUUGUGAUGCACAACAUAUAUGUCCCAUUGUUUUCUGCCGCUUUAAAAUAUUUGUUCUGACUGUCUUGCGGAAAGGCAUUCACUAUCGUUAGCAAAUCUAAUGGAACUUCAUAUUAGCAAUUUUUCGGACAGCACAGCUUCAGCGACUAGCGAUUUCAGAAAUUGUCACCUCAUUUACAGAGCACAGUCCAUCUUCAACGUCUAAUGCUAUAUCAGGAAAUUUAUCAGAUUUUCUUAAGAGGAAUGCAGGUUGGGAGUUUUAGCAGGGGGUACGUCUAGUGCUGAAGAGCUUGAUCUGUUGUGAUGUACAACAUAUUUGUUUUCAUUACAAAUCUAAUGGAACUUCAUCUUAGCAAUCAUUCAGACAGUACAGCUUCAGCGACAGGCAAUUUCAGUAAUUGUCACCUCAUUUAGAGAACACUGUCCAUCUUCUACGUCUAAUGCUAUAUCAGGAUUAUUGUCAGAUUUUCUAAAGAGGAAUGCAGGUUGUUCUGGAGAAGGAAUCUCUGUUUCGUUACUCAACAUAAAAACAACUGCCAACAUAGAUGGUCUGUCCGUGGCAUCUUCUUGCACGCACAGUAGACCAAUUUGUAUGCAUUUCAAGGCUUCACGCGGAUGAUACAACUCCUUCAGUGAUGGAUCAACUAUCUCCAAUGCUUUGUCUUCUCUCCAUAAUUCCCACACCUGUGUUGUUCAUAUAAAUCAUUAGCAUACAAGAAAUGAGAGCAGACAACAUCUAAAAUUGUGAACAUUGAAAUUCAACCAAGAGCACUAAAAACUCUCUUGUAACUCACAUAUCCAAUCAAGGUCAAGGGAGGAUUCCGUUGAUAAAAUCUGUUGUUCUUCUUGCCACUCACAAUCUCUAACAACAUGACCCCAAAACUGAAAACAUCUGAUUUUACAGAAAAGUUUCCAAACACAGCAUAUUCUGGUGACAUGUAGCCACUGCAUCAGAAAAACAAGAUUCUGAAGUUUUAGUAUUCCUGGUAAUCAAUGAUAGUACUUUGUCACUCGGUCUUUGUUUUAGGCAAAGGUACUUACUAUGUUCCCACAACUCUCCUUGUCCUAUCUUCAGUUUGGUUGCCUUCAAAUAUUUUUGCCAUUCCAAAAUCUGAUAUUUUUGGGUUCAUCUCUGCAUCCAAUAGAAUGUUGCUGCAUUUUAAAUCCCUGUGAAUGAUUCUCAACCUGGAGUCUUGGUGAAGAUAUAAAAUCCCACGAGCUAUUCCAACAAUAAUAUCAAAGCGUUUUCGCCAAUCCAAUAACAAUCUUCUUGUUUCAUCUGUUGAAACAAUUAUUUUUCAGACAACUAGUGUAAAUCAGGGCAAUAAAAACAUAAAGAGACUUACGGAAAAGAAUCGAGUCCAAGCUUUUGUUCGGCAAGUAUUCAUAGAUUAAGAUUUGUUCUCCAUCCUGAGUGCAAUAACCUAGAAGUUUCACCAGAUUCCUGUGUUGAAGCAUUGCAAUUACCAUAACUUCAUUUUUAAAUUCUUCUGUUCCUUGUCUUGAACUUCUAGAUAACCUUUUUAUUGCAACCUCCAGCCCAUUAGCUAGCAGACCCUAAAAUCAUGUUACAAGAUUAAGCCUCUGGACUAAUAUUAUGCAAAUUAGAGAGGCCAUUUAGUUUUUAGCUAAAUGCAAGAAACUCAACCUUAUAAACAGAGCCAAAACCACCUUGCCCGAGUUUGUUAGCUGGAGAGAAAUUGUUUGUGGCCGCCGUUGUGGUGCUGAGCUUGAAAUAUUUCAAUUCAGUAGAAGUGCUGUUUACCUGCAGUUCAGAACCUUUUUUGGCUCUCUUCUUGAACCACAAAUAAGCAAACAGGCUAAUGAGAAACCACAAUAAUGCAAUUGAUGGUGCUAAAAUGGCCUGCAUCGUUUUUUCACGAGAAUCAUUUGACUUCCUUUUAGUAUCAGCUGCAUGAGAAUGAAAAGAAAAAAGAUUAACUUAAUAGGAAAAACCACCCCAUUUUCCAAUGGAAAUAUGACAAUACAUAUGGCAAAGGGUAGCCCUUUUGGCACCUAAAACGUACCAAUAUCUAUGGUUUCUUUCCUGCAGGGAAGAGCUUAUUAACUACAGUCAAGAGCAGUGACAAGCAUAGGAAAACUCUUAUAAUUCAAUAUUUGUGAUGACAAUCCUAUGAAGUAGUUACUGAGCAGAAAAAGGGUACCUAAUUCAUAUGCAUCAACACGAACAUACAGAUCAUAACUGUUACUCCUAUCAUAUCUAAUGUCUACUAAUUCCUUGUACCAAUUCAAACAACCAUAAUUUUUUCCGGGAAUUCCAAUGAUUGCGUAUGCAGAUUAUGAACAAUUCCUCUUGCAUUCCACUUCACAGUCUGCACGACUCUUGCUCAUGUCUACCCAAGCUGAAUCUGAACUUUCCGGAAGAAUUACAUUUUCUACCUUCACAAACCCUUCUCCAUGCUGGCACAACGAAGACGUCUGUAGCCGCUUCCUGACACAACCAUCGGACCCAUCUCUCGUAGACCAUUCCAAUGGGUACUUGGGCUCGAACCCAGGUAAACAGGCACAUUCAAAUCUAUUAUGAUUGGCAAGUUCACACGUACUAUAAGCACCACACAGUCCAUAAUAGUCGCACUGAAACACUGGGGCCUUCCAGUAAUCCUUCCACUGACCAUCACUUUCUCGCCAUGUUAACACCUUUAGAAGUCCUGAAUGAUCUACUAUUAUUCUUAGCAGAUAAGAAUCAUCAGGAACUGUGUAGACCCAGUAUAUUUCAUCUGGAUGAUUGACAAAAGUGCUUUCGUAUAAGCCCAUUUGACUUCUCCAUGGCCAAGGAGGAGAUCUACUAAUUGGCUCUGUACCAUUAUAGACAAAGAUUUGCGGUGAGCCAUUUGGUUUGAUCAUAAGAGAAAAGUCUCCAAUCCCAGGGUCAUCAGCUGAUCUCCAUGAUGUUAGAAACCGAUGAAUUCCUAAUUUUCGAUCGAGCCCCAAUUUCAUCCCAGGUAGGUGGGUGCUUGUAGGAUAAUCGAAGCUUUGCCAUACAAUGUCUCUGCUUCUUUUCCUGACCAAUAUCAAAUUCCCAGAAUCCAAUAGUUGAGCUGCACAUAUAUCAUUUUCUUCCACUGGAACAUUUGUAGACCACACAGGAAGCUUUUGGUCAUCGUUACCACAGAGAACAAGGUUUCCAUAUUGGUUUAUAAACAGAAAUCCAGAGGAACCAAUGAUUGGAUCGUUCCUGUUGGCGACCCACACCACAGUUUGUUCUGGUAUUUUAUGGUACCAAAUUCCAAGAUAUCACAGUUUGUUCUUUUCCUGACCAAUAUCAAAUUCCCAGAAUCCAAGAGUUGAGCUGCACAGAUAUCAUUUUCUUCCACUGGAACAUUUUUAGACCACACAGGAAGCUUUUGGUCAUCGUUACCAUAGAGAACGAGGUUUCCAUAUUGGUUUGUAAAGAGAAAUCCAGAGGAACCAAUGAUUGGAUCGUUCCUGUUGGCGACCCACACCACAGUUUGUUCUGGUAUUUUAUGGUACCAAAUUCCAAGAUAUCUGUUGCUAGAACUACCUGGACAGAAAAAUCCUAGUGCAAAAUUAUUUCCUUUGGAGAUAAGAAGGUCACCUUCUUUAACGGUGUGGUUCGUCUUUAAGGAGUCUUGGGAUGUACAAGAUGAUAAUUGGAGUAUUAUAAGAGAAAAAAGCAGGAACAGUUUUUCAGCUUCCAUGAUGGAGUAAACUGGAUCUUGGCUUCUGGAAAAGUUUUAAAUUUUGCUUUGUGGAGAAUGGAUAUGGCCUUCAGACAAGUCUCCAGAGAAGUUGCGUGACGGAAUUAGGCAUCUCUUUAAUGAGUUACUCUUUUCAACCUUCAAAGUCUAGACAAUGACUUGUUUUUGUUAAAGUAUCAAUCCAGGAUUUUUGGAAACGACACCGUCCUCUAGUUUUAGAAAUAUGUAGGUGAUUGCAGACGCAUACAAAAACAACAUAAAAAAGACAAUAAACACAAAGAAAGAUGGAAUUGCGUCGAAAAAGACAAAAUCAUUCAAACUUUUAUACUCAAAAAUUUUCUAAUUAAAUUUAAAUAUUAAAGCUCUUCUAAAUUAUUAUAUACUAGGAAAAACACCCUGAACAAAGCUUAAAAAUUAAUAAAAUAUUUCUAAAGUAAAUAAAAAAAUAAUCUAAAUUAACUUGAAAAAUAUGAUAUUUUCAAAAUAGUAAUUUCUAGUACUGGUUUGGAGGCCUUAACUUCAUAAAUAAGACCUUUAGGAAUAUUGCCUCUAGAAUCAAAAUUUAUGUCCAUUAUGAUAAGGUCAUGUGUUGGAUGAAAAUCUCCUACAUCAGUCUCUCUAUGUUGAAAAUAACUUGUUUUCAAGUUCAAAUUAUUCUUGUUUUGAUAUCGUGAAUGCUUAAUCAAAGCUCUCAACCUCUUUUCCUUUCUUUUCUUAAGGUAUAUAACAAUACUAGAUAUUGGUUUUAGUUCUUUAUCAACAUAUGUUGUAUCUAUAUAAUCCUUGAACAAUUCUAUCUUUGUAAUAAUAGUAAACUUGUAAUCAAAAGGAUCAACAUAAUCUAAAUCAAUAAUUUAAUUUUAUUGGUCAUCUUCGAUAUUCUAUUUACACUUAAUUUCUACCUUAUCAAUAUGAACACCAUUGAUGACAUUAUUGCUCCUUCGCUAUCAUUGUUUAUGUUAUUAUUAUUAUCAUAAGUGUGGCUAGGUGAUCACACACAUAUAUAAAAUUUUAGUUUUCUUUGUUAUUUUUUUCACUUGGAUCGUUUUUGUUUUUGAGUUUUUUAGAUCUUGAUUAUGGUUCUUGAGAAAUAAUUAGAGUUGUCAGUGUUACGCAAAAAAAUAUGGAAGGAUUUGAUCUUCCAUGUGUUUGGUCUGAUAAAUCCAAGCUAUGUGGUUUUUACUUUGUUGAUUCAACUUUCUAACUUCUUCUUCUUCUUUUUUAUGUUUCAUGUGUUAUGUUGUUGAUUCCUCUUUUUGCUGGAUGAUCUUAUAAGGUUUUUGAAUACCGUAAGGAUCUCUUGCUUUCUCAAUUUACUGUAUUUUGCUGCACUCUACAUCUAUAUUGAGUUUGAGCAUAGCCAGUGUUGUUAUCUAUUUUGGAACCUCACAUAAACAUAAAAAAAUAAAAAAAAUAAAAAAAUAUACAUCAGUAGGAAGAACAUGAAGAAUGUCCAGAAAAUUGUCAACUAGUUGGGAAGAAUCAAAAUAUCCAAAGUUGAAAAAUUGAUAGUUCAAUUUUGACUCGUGAAGGCCCUAUUAAUAAGAAAAAUUCAAUUUGGAAAGAAAAAUUCAAAAUUAGAUGUUUAAUAACUCAAUUGAAAUUUUUCAAGGUUUAAUUGUAUUUAUUGAGGGAUUGAUUGCAAGGAAAAUUGGUUUUUAAGUUCAAUUUGAACUUUAAUGGGAAGAAAUUGAAAUCUGGGGGUUGAAUUGUAAUUUUAAAAGGCUAAUUUAGUUAGCUAAAAACAUGGCAUUGUAUUAUUAAUAUGAUGCGGUGGAUGGAGUGAUGGUGCACCUUUCCGAUGGUGAAGCCUGAAAACAUUUUAAUAUGAUGCAUCCUUAGUUUUUAAUGGAAUCAAGGAACAUGCAUCUUGGGUUAUGUACAGACAGAUUCAAUCCAUUUGGAUCAUUUGUUGCUCUUUAUUCUUGUUGGCUAAUAAUACUCACAGUUUACAAAUUGUCAUUGGGCAUGUGUAUGAGGUCGGAGUUCAUGUUUUUAUCAACGGUCAUACCAAGUCAUAAUAGUCUGAGUUAGAAUAUAGAUGUUUGUCUUUGGUGGUGAUUCAGAAGGAUUUCAGGCCAACGUACAUCUCAGAGGCCAUGUGGGCGGAAUAUAUUUAGCAUGUGAUGUCUGAUCGUGACGUGCGACAAUCAUACUCCGGUGCAGAGAACCAGAACUAGCAAGUUCAUGGUUUUGUUAUCACGCACACUAGCAGCUCCAUUCGAUUCGUUUCACAUGCAAAACGAAUGGUUAGAUUAGUCUCUCUAACACUACAACCCAGUUCUUGCGAAUAGCCCGUAAUUUUUCAAACCAUUAGAUAUUGUAAUCAGUUUCAAGCACUCAUACUCUAGAGUUCGAGAUGAUUUUAGACCAGCGAAUUAAAGAUUAGACGACCCAUCUUGUUGCUAAUUAUGAAUGACUACUUAGUGUUGAGAUGACCGAACUUCACCAAUUCGUAUUGGAGAUGAGAUCACAUAUGAGUGGUACUUGUGCUCCCUCUUAUUCGCCCCACAGUUUAGGCAAAGACCUGCCUUCUCCUCCUCCUCCAGCACUUCUAUUCUAGAUGAAUUGUAUUUGAACUUAUAAAUAUUUAAAUUUGUAAUAAAUAUUUGAUUUUAUAUUAGUUUAAUUUUUUAAAUACCUUUUGUUUCUGCUUAAUAGAUUUUUUUUAAAUAUAUUUUUGAAUUAUUAAUGACAGGGUUACAAACGAACAUAGUUUGUCGGUAUAUUCCAAAAAGUUGAAAAAUAAUUACUGCAAAUAUCACUGUCAUUGUUUACUAACCGACAAAAUAACAUACAAUAUGUUUGACAAUUACAAGUUAAAUUUACCGAUGGACAUACUGACAGUUGAAAAAAAUCAUCAAUGCAAUGACAUGUGGUUUUUCUGUUAGUGAUAUGUUAUAUUCAAUGUUGGAAAUACUGAUGAAAUGAAGCAGGUAAAGUUUUUUUUUUGCAUGCUUUGUACAUUAUUAAAUGUAUCUGUAAAAUUAUUACCGAUAGAUCACAAAUCAUUAACGAGAGUUUUUUCGAUGGAAGAUUUUUGUCUGUGAUCAUGUCGUUAAGGACAUGAAGCAAAGAGUGAACUUCUUCCUAAUAAACAUGUGACUUGGGACGACAUAACAAAUAGAGAUUAAAGAGUCUUGUCGUACCUUGUUUUGCCCUCUUCUUGAGCCACAAAUAAGCAGUUAACAUUUGAUGCAAUUGAUGGUACUAAAAUGGCCAGCAUCGUUUUUUCAAGAGAAACAUUUGACUUCCUUGUAUUAUUAGCUGCAUGAGAGUGAAAAGAAUAAAGAUUCAACUCCGGAGGAAAAACAACAAUACAGAUCUUAUUAACAUUUGACUUUCUCCAAUGGAAACAUGACAAUACAAUUGCAAAGGCUGGCCCCUUCGACACCUAACAAGUAUCAAUAUCAAUGGUUUCUUUCAUGAAGUACAGAGCUUAUUAACUACAUCCUAGAGCAGUGGCAAACAUUGAAAAGCUUUUAUAAAUCAAUAUUUGAAAUGAAAAUUCUAAGAAAUUGUUACUGAGCAGAAAAAAGGCACCUAAUUCAUAUGCAUCAACACGAACAUAUAGAUCAUAAAUUUCACUCCUUUCAUAUUUGAUGUCUACUAAUUCCUUGUACCAUGUCAAACUGUUGAUAAUAGGUAUAUAAAGAACUGAAUGUUGAUGAUAACCAGAAAAACAAAGAACAAAGAACUUGCAAUAAAUUAAGAAUAAAGAGCAUAAUGUUUUUCAUAUUGGUUACUGCCAUCCCUUAGCUUUUAUUUAUAGAUGAAAUCAAUCACAACACAAUUAAGAAACAUAAUUAACAUAAACUUCUUCAUUUAUGGAGCUAUGUAACUUAUCCUAAAUAAGUUUCAUAUCUAAAGGUAAAAACUCACUAAACAACAUUAAGAUAAUGAUGUUACUAAUAGAUAAACAUUAAUGAAAGAUAAUAUAUGGCUGAGACAUUAAUUUCAGCUUUGGUGCCAUAACUUCAACACUCCUCCUUGGUUCCAAAGCUGCACAUUCCUAUCAUCUCCCUUAGAUCUUCAAAUCUAUCUUUAGCUAAAGGCUUGGUGAACAGGUCUGCUAAUUGCUCUUUUGAAGUGCAGUAUAUCAUCUCUAGUUCCCCUUCUUGCUGGAAUUGCCUGAUAGCAUGGAACUUGAUCUUCAUAUGCUUGGUCCUGUCAUGAAAAACAGAAUUCUUUGAAAUAGCUAUUGCUGAUGUAUUGUCACAAAACAAUUCUGUGGGACUUCGUUGAUCAAAGUCUAGAUCAUUCAGCAUUUUCCUUAGCCAUAUCAAUUGCUUUGCUGCCACAUAUGCUGCUUUGUAUUCUGCCUCUACAGUAGAAUGUGCAACCACUGAUUGCUUCUUUGAGUUCCAACAGAAAAUGCUUCCUCCAAUAGCAAAGCAAUAACCUGAGGUGCUCAUCAUUUCUUCAUCACUUCCAGCCCAAUCACUAUCAGAAAAACCAACAAGUUUAACAGAACUUGAUUUCACAAAAUGCAUGCCAAACUCUAAGGUCCCUUUCAGAUAUUUCAGAACUCUCUUGGCUGCAACAAAAUGGAUUUGACUUGGACUUUGCAUGAACCUAGAGAGGUAAUUGAUAGCAAAAACAAUGUCUGGACGUGUAGCAGUUAAAUACAACAAGCUGCCAACUAAACUUCUGUAGGCUUUUCCAUCAGUUUUGGGAGCUCCAUCCUCCUUCAUUAGCUUUUGUCCCAAUACCAUAGGUGUAUUGACUGGUUUGCAAUUUUCCAUUGCAAAUUUUUUUAGUAGCUUCGUUGCAAACCUCUUUUGACAUAGGAAAUAACCUUGCUCCGACUGACUUACUUCCAUGCCUAAGAAGUAUGACAACAAACCAAGUUCAUUCAUCUCAAACUUAUCCUUCAUGUUGGUUUUAAACUCCUCUACCAGCUGCUCCUUGUCUCCUGCAAUCAAUAAAUCAUCUACAUACACUGAUACGAUCAGAGUAUGUUUGUCAACAUUUUUCACAUACAAAGUUACUUCAUUCAUGCUUCUUUCAAAGCCUAAACUCAAAAGAUACCCAUCCAAUCUACUGUACCAAGCUCUAGGAGCCUGUUUAAGUCCAUACAAAGCCUUCUUUAGCAAAUAUACUUUGUUUGAUGUGAUCUCCUUUUCAAAGCCAUCAGUUUGUUCAACAUAUAUUUCUUCAUUUAGAACACCAUUCAGAAAUGCAGACUUAACAUCAAACUGAAAAAUAUGCCCACCAUUUUGUGCUGCUAGAGCAAGCAAGAGUUUUAUUGUAUCAAGCCUAAAUACUGGAGCAAAUGUCUCAGUGAAGUCAAUACCUGGCUCUUGUGAAUAACCCUUCACUACAAGUCUUGCUUUGUGCUUGUUGAUACUCCCAUCUGCAUUCAGUUUGGUUUUGAAAAUCCAUUUCACACUAAUUACCUUCUUGUGAACGGGUCUGUCAACCAACAUCCAUGUUUCAUUCUUUUCUAUCAUCAUGAGCUCCUCCUUCAUUGUAGCUAUCCAUACUUGUGAGUUGAUAGCUUCUUCAAAAUCUAUUGGUUCUACUUCAGCAACAUUGCACCUGCUGUAAAUGUCAGCUAAGGACCUUGUCUCCCUUACUGGUUUGUCAUUGACAAUAUCAUCAUCCUCUGUAGCAUCCAGUUUAAUUUGAUACUCUUGUUUUGUCUCUUCAAUUGAUGCAGCUUCCCAGUUCCAUGUACCAUUCUCUGCAACUUUUACAUCUCUUGCAAUCACAACUUUAUUAGAUUUCAUAUCAUAGAUUUUAUAAGCCUUAGAUUUUGUGUUAUAGCCUAUAAGAAUUCCCAUAUCAGCCUUUUGAUCAAUUUUUCUUCUCUUUACUUCAGGUUGCAAGACAUAGCAAGGGCUGCCAAAAACUUUUAAAUGAUCAACAUUGGGUUUAAAGCCAUACCAGAUUUCAUAAGGAGUUUCAUCUCCUAACACUCUUGUGGUCAUAUGAUUUAGAAGGUAAGAUGCUGUGUUUACUGCUUCUGCCCAGAAUUUUAAUGGCAUUUUCUUCUCAUAUAGCAAACAUCUUGCCAUUUCCAUCAAUGUUCGGUUUCUCCUCUCACUGACUCCAUUCUGUUGUGGAGUGUAGGGAACUGUCAGUUGGUGUUUGAUCCCUUCUUUUGCCAAGUAUGCCUCAAAUUAUGGAGAGGUAUACUCUCCUCCAUUGUCAGGUCUCAAUAUCUUCAAUCUGUUUCCUAUUUCUACUUCAACUGCUGCUUUGAACUUAACAAACUCAGUAAACACAUCAGAUUUUGAUUUCAGAAAGUAAACCCGGCAGUACCUACUAUAAUCAUCAACAAAUAGAAGAAAAUACUUUGAACCAUUCAAUGAUUCAUUAUGCAUCGGCCCACACACAUCUGUGUGUACAAGCUGGAGUUUUGACAGUGCUCUAUAUGCAAUGUCAGGAAAAACAACUCUAGUUUGUUUUCCUAACUGACAGGCUUCACAAAUACUCUUUUGUUCCUGUAUAUCUGGUAAACUGUGAGUCAUCUGCAGGUCAGCCAUUCUCUUUAAAGUUGCAUAAUUGAAGUGCCCCAACCGUUUGUGCCAAAGAACAGAUUCAUUGUUCUCAUAAGUGUUAGCACUUAAACAUACUUCUCUCCAAUCAACAUUAAAACUUCUGUUCAUCAUUUUUGCAGAAAGCAGUAGCACUCCAUUUUUAUUGUUAAUAUCACAUACUCCAUCAUUAAAGAUUAUUGAGUAACCAGAUUCAAUUAAUUGUCCCACACUAACUAGAUUCUGAUUGAUCUUAGGUACAUAAAGAACAUUUUUAAGAGUUUUUGUACCUGACAAUGUUUCUACUUAAAUUGCUCCUUUUCCUUCAACCUUCACAUAGUCUCCAUUGCCAAUUCUAACUCUAGAUAGAUAGCUUUUAUCCAAGUCUCUGAAUAAGCUCAAAUCUGCUGUCAUAUGGUUAGUGCACCCACUAUCAUUGAGCCAUGAUGAGUCGUUUGCCUUUGCUGUGUUACACAUCUCCUGUAUUGUAGCUAUGAAUAAAAGAUCUUCCUUAACUUUUGAACAAUCGGCUACUUGAGCUUGUUUUACUGUUCCUGUUUUAUUUUUGUAGAAUCUUUGAAUGUGACCAAAUUGCUUGCAGUUUCGGCAUUGUGCAUUCUUGAGCCAACACCAGGCUUCAAGAUGAUUUGUUUUCUGACAGAAUUUGCAAGCAGGAAAAUGUUCUUUCUUCUCUUUCCUUCUAGUGAAGUUGUUGUUGUUGUUGUUCUGUUGCCAGUUAUUGGAUUGCCAGCCUUUCCCUUUUUUCUCUUUUUCCUUCUUGAUUGUUUUUGUAAAAAUUCUUAGCCCGACUCUUCUCCUUGUAAACUGCAACAAGAGCUCCUUCACUUGAUCCUUCUUGUCUAUAAGCUUGCCUUUGCUCCACAGCUUGCAAUGCAUUUACAAGUUCUUGCAGGCUCAUUUAAGAGAAAUCUUUAGAAUCUUCUAAAGAGCAAAUUUUAUGUUUAAAUUUUUCUGGUAGACUUACCAUAACUUUCUAUACUAUUCUUGAAUAUGGAAAAUCUUCUCCCAAAAGUCUCACUUGAUUCACAAGUUUUGAAAUUUGAGAAGAGAAGUCUUUGAUGGUUUCAUUUUCUUUCAUCUUUAAACCUUCAACCUUUCUUCUAAGAUUUAAAAUCUGCAUCUUCCUUGACUUCUCAUCACCAUGAAAUUCUGCUUUUAAUUUAUCCCAUGUUUCUUUGGCAGAUUUACACGCCAUGAUCCUUGUGAAAAUGUCUUCACUAACAGCAUUAUGAAGACAGGUAAGAGCUUUGAAUCGCUUUGCCUUUUCUUCAGUAAAAAAUUUCAUCUGUGCAAUCGUAGGAUUGUUUCCUAGUGGAAUUGGUUGCUUAUCGCUCUCCGAUAUCUCCCACAAGUCAAAAGCUUUGAGAUAAGUUUCCAUUUUCACAGCCCACACACCAAAAUUCUGCCCUGUGAACACUGGUGUUUUUGCUGGAAAAUUUAUAGAAUCCAUUUCUUAAAAAAAAAUCACUUAAUCUCCCGUGUUUUACUCACUAUCCCUUCAAAGAAAAAUGCUUUGAUUUAACCUCACUAAUCUCUCGUGUUUCACUCACAAUUCCUUCAAAGAUCAAAGAAUGCUCUGAUACCAAUUGUUGAUAAUAGGUAUAUAAAGAACUGAAUGUUGAUGAUAACCAGAAAAACAAAAAACAAAGAACUUGCAACAAAGAAUAAAGAGCAUAAUGUUUUUCAUAUUGGUUAGUGCCAUCCCUUAGCUUUUAUUUAUAGAUGAAAUCAAUCACAACACAAUUAAGAAACAUAACUAACAUAAACUUCUUCAUUAAUGGAGCUAUGUAACUUAUCCUAAAUAAGUUUAAUAUCUAACGAAGUAAAAACUCACUAAACAACAUUAAAAUAAUGAUGUUACUAAUAGAUAAACAUUAAUAAAAAAUAACAUAUAACUGAGACAUUAAUUUCAGCUUUGGUGCCAUAACUUCAACACAAACAACCAUCCCCUUUUCCAGGAAUUCCAAUGAUUGCGUAUGCAGAGCAUGAACAAUUCCUCUUGCAUUCCAGUUCACAGGCUGCACGACUCUUGCUCUUGUCCAUUCAAGCUGCAGACGAAGUGUCCGGAAGACUGUAAUUCUCUAUCUUCACAAACCCUUCUCCAUGCUGGCACAACAAAGACGUCUGUAGCCGCUUCCUGACACAACCACCAGAUCCAUCUCUCGUAGACCAUUCCUUUGGGUACUUGGGCUCGAACCCAGGUAAACAGGCACAUCCAAAUCUAUUAUGAUUGGUAAGUUCACACGUACUAUCAGCACCACACAGUCCCUAAUAGUCGCACUGAAACAGUGGGGUCUUCCAGUAAUCCUUCCAGUACUGACCAUCACUUUAUCGCCAUGUUAACGCCUUUACAAGUCCUGGAUGAUCCACUAUUAUUCUUAGCAGAUAAGAAUCAUCAGGAACUGUGUAGACAAAGUACUUUUCGUCUGGAUCAUUUACAAAAGUGCUUUUGUAUAAGUCCAUCUGACUUCUCCAUGGCCAAGGGGGAGAUCUACUAAUUGGCUUUUUACCAUUAUAGAAAAAGAAUUGUGGCGAGCCAUUUGGGUUGAUCCUAACUGAAAAGUCCCUGAACCCAGGGUCUUCAGCUGAUCUCCAUGAUGUUAGGAACCGAUCAAUUCCUAAUUUUCGAUCCAGCACCAGUUUCAUUCCAGGAAGCAGGAUGUUCGUAGGAUAAUCGAAGCUUUGCCAUACAGUUUUCCUGCUUCUUUUCCUGACCAAAAUCAAAUUUCCUGAAUCCAAGAGUUGAGCUGCACAAGUAUCAUUUUCUUCCACCGAAACAUUUGUAGACCACACUGGAAGCUUUUGGUCAUCUUUCCCAUGGAGAACGAGGUUUCCAUAUUGGUUUGUAAAGAGAAAUCCAGAGGAACCAAUGAUUGGAUCGUUCGUUUUUGCAACCCACACCACAGUUUGUUCUGGUAUUUUAUGGUACCAAAUUCCAAGAUAUCUAUUGCUAAAACUGCCAGGACUGAAAAAUCCUAGUGCGAAAAUAUUUUUCUUUGGAGAUAAGAAGGUCACCUUCUUUACUGGUUUGGUUCGUCUUUAAGGAGUCUCGGGAUGUAGAAGAUGAGAAAUGGAGCAUUAUAAGAGAAAAAAGCAGGAGCAGUUUUUCAGCUUCCAUGAUGGGGCAAACUGGACCUUGGCUUUUGGACAAGUGAAUUGUUGCUUUGUGGAGAAAGGAGAUGGUCUUCAGACAAGUGUGGGACCAUUAGAGAAGCAGCGUGAAAAAAAUGGUUUUUUUUUUUGUUUAUAGUGGUAAUGAUUUUAAAAAUAAAAAGUUAAAUGUAUUAAAAUAAUUUUUUUAUUUUUUUUUUAAUAUUAACCUAUUAAAGUAAUACAAAAAUAUAAAAAAAUUAAUUUUAAAUUAAUUUUUUUAAUUUUUGCAAAUCUUCAUUUAGACCACACUCCCAUGUCAUCAUAUAAUCGUGUCCUUUGUAUUCUAUAUUCGCUAGAAGGCAACUCAACUUUUUUUUCUUUUUAUGUUUGAUUUUAAUUUAUAAUAAACUAAUUUGAUAUAAUAUAUAUUAUGGUGAUAUCUAAGAUUUCGGAUGAUUAUUUAAGACAUGUGUUCUCUAAAUACCUCAAAUUUGUGAAGCCAGCCACCUAAGUCCAGCCACCUAAGUCAACAAAGGUGGGAGUCAACAAUGGUGGUGAAGCCAUCCUUCCUUAGUCACAAAUUGUAGGCACCAAACUUGUGCCACUUGCCUUGCCCCUUGUAUUUACAUGGAUGCUUGCCUAUAAAUAGGCAAUGCAUCCAAGCAUUGUAAACACACCACAAGAGAGAAAAUUGAGAGCAAGUAGAGUGAGUGAAGAGAGAGUAAUCCCACAAAAGUUGUGAGGUAUUUGUGAGAAAGUAAGUGAGGUGUUUUCUCCUAGUAAUAGAGAGAUUUCAGUUGUUCUCCUAUUGAUAGAGAGAGGUUGUAAUUCCCACAUUACUUAGUAAAAUUCUUCUAUACUUGUCCGUGGACGUAGCCAAAUUGGGUGAACCACGUAAAUUCUUGUGUGUCUAAUUUCUCAUUUUAUCCUAUCCUUUGCCUUUUAUCUUGUCGGGUUUGCAUGCCAGUAUCCUAACAGUGGUAUCAGAGCCUUCUGGUUGGUGUUGUUAAUACACAAAAGUUAUUCGUGUAUAUGGUUACUAUUCACGUCUACGGCACUAUUCACCUAUACGACACUAUUCAUCCAUACGGUACUGUUCACAUACGUUAUUGUUGGCGUAUAUAGAAAGUCAGUGCGGUGAUUAAAUACAGUCUAGGAAGUUCUGUCUAAGGAGAUUGGGUUUUAAGCGGGACCGUUUGUGACCCCUCCAAUCUUUCCUGGGAACUUACUUAGUGAAGUAUUAUUCACACGAUACUAUUUCUACAUACGUUACAGAUCUGUGAAACGGUGAUAGCUGAAUAGAUCUCGGUGAAUACAAUGGCAGCAAAGUACGAGAUAGAGAGGUUCAAAGGGAGCAAUUUCUCACUGUGGAAAAUGAGAAUCAAGGCAAUCUUAAGGAAAGACAAUUGCUUGGCAGCAAUUGGGGAUCGGCCCGCGGAGAUCACUGAUAAUGCAAAAUGGAAUGAAAUGGAUGGCAAUGCUAUUGCUAACAUACAUUUAGCAUUAGCCGAUGAAGUAUUAUCAAGUGUGGCGGAGAAGAAAACAGCUAAGGAGAUAUGGGAGACUCUAACAAAGCUAUAUGAGUCCAAGUCUUUGCACAAUAAGAUUUUCUUAAAGCGGAGACUUUAUACCCUUCGAAUGGCAGAAACCACGGCGGUAACUGACCACAUCAACACAAUAAGAACUCUAUUUUCACAACUCACUACGUUGGGUCAACAAAUAGAGGAAAGUGAACGUGCAGAGCUUCUACUUCAAAGUCUUCCAGAUUCGUAUGAUCAGCUCAUUAUCAACUUGACCAAUAAUAUCCUCACAGACUAUUUAGUCUUUGAUGAUGUUGCAGCCGCCAUCUUGGAAGAAGAAAAUAGGCGCAAAAAUAAAGGAGACAGAAAUAGUUCAAACCAAGCAGAGGCAUUAUUGGUGUCAAGAGGGAGAUCAACGGAGCGUGGCUCCAGUGGGAGUCAAAGGCAAGGGAGGUCCAAAUCAAGAAGCAAGAAGACUGUGAAAUGCUACAACUGUGGCAGAAAAGGGCACUUCAAAAGGGAUUGUUGGUUUAAAAAGGGUAUAGAGAACACUGCAGAGUCAUCAAAACCUCAAGGAUGUGUUGCAAGCACCUCAGAAGAUGGAGAGGUUUUAUAUAGUGAAGCAGCAACAGUCUCUACAGAUAGAAAAGAGCUCACAGAGGUUUGGGUAAUGGAUUCAGGAGCAACAUGGCAUAUGACUCCUAAUCGAGAUUGGUUUCAUACAUACGAACCCACCUCUGGAGGCUCAGUGUUCAUGGGUGAUAAUCAUGCUUUAGAGAUUGCUGGCAUUGGCACCAUCAAAUUGAAGAUGUAUGAUGGCUUAAUUCGUACUAUUACAGGAGUGCGUCAUGUGAAAGACUUAAAGAAAAAUCUUUUGUCCGUGGGACAAUUUGAUAGUCUUGGCUGUAAGAUCCGAACAGACAAUGGAAUAAUGAAAAUUGUCAAAGGAGCGCUGGUGGUUUUAAAGGCGAGAAAGACAGUUGCAAACAUGUUUGUAUUAAUGGGAGAAACACAUCAUGGGGCAGAAGCGUCAAUCGCAUCAGCCAGUCCUGCAGAAGAGAAGACGAUGAUGUGGCAUCAAAAACUAGGCCACAUGUCAGAGAAAGGUUUGAAAGUUCUCUCUGAUCAGAAGUUACUCCCUGGGCUUACAAAGGUUACUUUACCCUUUUGUGAGCAUUGUGUUACAAGCAAACAGCACAGGUUGAAGUUUGGCACAUCAACAACUAAGAGCAAAUGCAUCUUAGACCUGAUUCACUCUGAUGUUUGGCAAGCACCGGUUGUAUCCUUGGGAGGAGCAAGAUACUUUGUAUCAUUCAUAGAUGACUUCUCCAGGAGAUGUUGGGUGUAUCCAAUUAGAAGGAAGGCAGAUGUGUUCGCAGUCUUUAAAACUUUCAAAGCGCGGGUGGAACUUGAAUCUGAAAAGAAGAUCAAGUGUUUGAGGACUGACAAUGGAGGAGAAUAUACCAGUGAUGAAUUUGAUAACUUCUGUCAACAUGAAGGUAUCAAAAGGCAGUUCACAACGGCAUACACUCCACAGCAAAAUGGAGUGGCAGAGCGGAUGAACAGAACUCUAUUAGAAAGAACAAGAGCAAUGUUGAAGACUGCAGGUCUAGGAAAGUCAUUCUGGGCAGAAGCAGUCAAUACCGCCUGUUAUGUGAUAAAUCGAUCUCCGUCAACUGCAAUUGAGCUGAAGACACCGAUGGAGAUGUGGACUGGAAAACCAGCUGAUUAUUCUCGAUUGCAUGUAUUUGGAAGUCCUGUGUACGUGAUGUACAAUACACAAGAAGUUAGCAAGCUGGAUUCAAAAUCCAGAAAAUGUGUAUUCUUGGGAUAUGCUGAUGGAGUGAAGGGGUAUCGCUUGUGGGAUCCCACUGCCCACAAGGUAGUCAUCAGCAGAGAUGUUAUAUUUGCAGAAGGUAAAAUGCAAAUGGAAGAACAUAAUAGCAUUCCAAAGGAGACUACAGCAGUCCAGAUGGAAAAUACUCAAAAUCAUACUUCUUCUGAAGCUGCACCAGAGCAUGAAGAACAAGAACAAAUAGAGUCUGAAACUCCUGAAGUUCGACGGUCAACUCGUGAAAGAAGACCACCGGCUUGGCACUCAGAAUAUGUUACUGAGAGCAACAUUGCAUACUGUCUUCUAACAGAGGAUGGAGAGCCAUCAACUUUCCAUAAGGCUAUCAAAAGCACAAAUGUAUCUACGUGGAUGACAGCAAUGCAAAAGGAGAUUGAAGCUCUACACAAGAACAACACUUGGGAUCUUGUUCCGCUACCACAAGGAAGGAAGGCCAUUGGCAACAAAUGGAUUUACAAGAUAAAGCGUGAUGGCAAUGAUCAAGUGGAGCGGUACCGUGCAAGAUUGGUGGUGAAAGGAUAUGCUCAGAAAGAAGGAAUAGACUUUAAUGAGAUAUUUUCUCCAGUGGUACGACUUACUACAAUCAGAGUAGUCUUGGCAAUGUGUGCUAUAUUUGAUCUUCACUUAGAGCAGUUAGAUGUGAAAACUGCAUUUCUUCAUGGAGAACUUGAAGAAGAAAUUUAUAUGCUCCAACCAGAGGGUUUUGCUGAAACAGGCAAGGAGAACUUGGUUUGCAGGUUGAACAAAUCUCUAUACGGUCUCAAACAGGCGCCGAGGUGUUGGUACAAGAGAUUUGAUUCCUUCAUAAUUAGCCUUGGGUACAACAGACUUAGUUCAGACCAUUGUACGUAUUACAAGAGGUUUGAAGAAGAUGAUGUUUUCAUCAUUUUGUUGUUGUACGUGGAUGACAUGUUGGUAAUAGGCCCCAACAAAGAUCGAGUCCAAGAAUUGAAGGCACAAUUGGGUAGGGAGUUCGAUAUGAAGGACUUGGGACCAGCAAACAAGAUUCUAGGGAUGCAAAUUCACCGAGACAGAAGUAAGAGGAAGAUUUGGCUUUCUCAGAAGAAUUAUCUGAAGAAGAUCUUGCGUCGCUUCAACAUGCAAGAUUGUAAGCCAAUUUCCACCCCACUUCCUGUUAACUUCAAAUUAUCCUCAAGUAUGUCUCCUAGCAAUGAAGCAGAGAGGAUGGAGAUGUCUCGAGUACCGUAUGCAUCAGCAGUGGGAAGUUUAAUGUUUUCCAUGAUAUGUACAAGACCAGACAUUGCACAAGCAGUGGGAGCAGCUAGUCGAUACAUGGCAAAUCCUGGUAGAGAGCAUUGGAAUACUAUUAAGAGGAUCUUGAGAUACAUCAAGGGUACCUCAGAUGCCGCAUUAUGUUAUGGAGGAUCAGAAUUUACUGUCAGAGGUUAUGUUGAUUCAGAUUUUGCUGGCGACCUUGAGAAAAGAAAAUCCACUACAGGCUAUGUGUUCAUAAUUGCAGGAGGAGCUGUGAGCUGGGUCUCUAAACUUCAGACUGUUGUAGCUUUAUCCACAAUAGAAGCUGAGUACAUGGCAGCUACACAAGCUUGUAAAGAAGCAAUAUGGAUGAAGAAACUUAUGGAGGAGCUCGGGCACAAACAAGAGAAGAUUCUUUUGUAUUGUGAUAGUCAGAGUGCCUUGCAUAUUGCAAGGAAUCCAGCGUUUCAUUCAAGAACAAAACAUAUAGAUGUUCAGUAUCACUUUGUUCGCGAAGUGGUGGAAGAUGGAAGUGUGGAUUUUCAGAAGGUUCACACAAAGGAAAACCCAGCAGAUGCUUUGACUAAACCAGUCAGCACUGAUAAGUAUAUAUGGUGCAGAUCCUCUUAUGGCCUAGUAGAAACGUAAGCAGCAUGAAGAUAGCAAGUAUAGAAAGAAUAGAAGAAUCACAGAUGAUCAUGUGUGAAGACUUGAUUAAAUCAUCAAAGUCUUCAAGUGGGAGAAUGUGAAGCCAGCCACCUAAGUCCAGCCACCUAAGUCAACAAAGGUGGGAGUCAACAAUGGUGGUGAAGCCAUCCUUCCUUAGUCACAAAUUGUAGGCACCAAACUUGUGCCACUUGCCUUGCCCCUUGUAUUUACAUGGAUGCUUGCCUAUAAAUAGGCAAUGCAUCCAAGCAUUGUAAACACACCACAAGAGAGAAAAUUGAGAGCAAGUAGAGUGAGUGAAGAGAGAGUAAUCCCACAAAAGUUGUGAGGUAUUUGUGAGAAAGUAAGUGAGGUGUUUUCUCCUAGUAAUAGAGAGAUUUCAGUUGUUCUCCUAUUGAUAGAGAGAGGUUGUAAUUCCCACAUUACUUAGUAAAAUUCUUCUAUACUUGUCCGUGGACGUAGCCAAAUUGGGUGAACCACGUAAAUUCUUGUGUGUCUAAUUUCUCAUUUUAUCCUAUCCUUUGCCUUUUAUCUUGUCGGGUUUGCAUGCCAGUAUCCUAACAAAAUUUACUAGAUUAAUGAUAUUAUUGAAGAUGAUGGUUUUUCAAUUAAGAAAGAAUAUUAAUUUGGUGAAAUUGGCCAUAUUGUGAUGCAAAGAUAUUGUGAAUAUCACAAUACAUGACUUUAUUCUUAGUUUAUUGUGCAUGUUAUGAGAUAAAUUGAAAUUGAUUUGUCCUCCAAAAUCAUAAAUCAUAUAAUUGAGAUAGUAAAAUUCAAAAAAAAAAAUACUUUGUUGUUACUAAUCUUAAAAGGGAAAGAAUUGAUACAAUGGCGGACAUCAUAAGUUUUAAAUCCAUAAAACAACUAUUUAUUUUUUGUAUUUAAUUUUUUCAAUUUUUGUAUUAAUUUUUUCAAUUUUAUUCAUCUAGUCGAAUUGAUAGUAAUUUUCAAUUUUUUUAUUUAAUUUUUUCAAUCAUUGUUCAUCUAGUUGAAUUGAUUUUUUUUAAUUAAGGAUUUUUACAAGGACUAAAUUACAUAAAUGUUAAGGGUGUAAUUUCAUAUUUUAGAUUAGGACACAACUGUUUUUUAACUAACAAAUAUUUAUCGGACAAAACUGUUUUUUAACCUGUUAUACCCGCAAUCUAGUCAUUCAUCCCAUUGAAUUUAAUAACAUAUUUUUCAUUUUGUUACACAACAAUGCUUUUCUAUAUUAAAUUAAAAAAAUAAAAAGAGAAUGUAUGCAUUGCCUGAGCAAUGAACUCAAAAGCAUACCAAAUAAAAUAUCAUGAAGUUAAUAUAUUAUAUUUAUAUUUAAGCAAUUCAUUUAAUCUAACUAAAAAAACUGAACUUUUUGUUUUUAAAAAAACUAAAUUUAACAAAGAAAAAUAAAAAAAAAACCUAAGAGCUUCAACAAAUAAAAAACAAAAUGAACUGAAGCAAAUCUUCUAAAUUUAAAUUAAUUUCUCAAACUUAUAACUUAUUAAAUCCUAGAUUUAGAUUUAAUAAAGAAAUUUAAUUCAAUGAUAAAAAAUAAAAUAAAAAAAAAUCUAAAAAAAAAUUGUCAAAGCAAUAAAAGUAGCAAUAAAAAAAUAUUGAUCCAACUGAGGGUUCAACAUGGCUGAUCAUUAGCCUAUUUGGUUAUUUGUGGCUCAGGAACAGAGGGAAAAAGGUAAAGACAAAGCAAGCAUCAAAACAGAAGGUAGAUAGAGUAACUGUCCAUAAAAGAAUAGUUGACGAACACCACCCCUAUAGCAUAACAUAUGAUGAUGCUGUUAGGUUUCUUCCUUGACACUACGCAGAAUGGAUCAGUUGUUUAGAAUCAGGUUGGGAGUUUUAGCAGGGGGUACGUCUAGUGCUGAAGAGCUUGAUCUGUUGUGAUGUACAACAUAUUUGUUUUCAUUACAAAUCUAAUGGAACUUCAUAUUAGCAAUUAUUCAGACAGCACAGCUUCAGCGACAGGCAAUUUCAGUAAUUGUCACCUCAUUUAGAGAACACUGUCCAUCUUCUACGUCUAAUGCUAUAUCAGGAUUAUUGUCAGAUUUUCUAAAGAGGAAUGCAGGUUGUUUUGGAGAAGGAAUCUCUGUUUCGUUACUCAACAUAAAAACAACCGCCAACAUAGAUGGUCUGUCCGUGGCAUCUUCUUGCACGCACAGCAGACCAAUCUGCACGCAUUUCAAAGCUUCACGCGGAUCAUACAACUCCGUCAGUGAUGGAUCAACUAUCUCCAAUGCUUUUUCUUCUCUCCAUAAUUCCCACACCUGUAUUGUUCAUAUAAAUGAUUAACAUACAAGAAAUAAGAGCAGACAACAUCUAAAAUUGUGAACAUUGAAAUUCAGCCAAGAGCACCAAAGGCUAUCUUAUAACUCACAUAUCCAAUCAAGGUCAAAGGAGGAUUCUGUUGAUAAAAUCUAUUGUUCUUCCUGCCACUAACAAUCUCUAGCAACAUGACCCCAAAACUGAAAACAUCUGAUUUUGCGGAAAAGUUUCCAAACACAACAUAUUCUGGUGACAUAUAGCCACUGCAUCAGAAAAACAAUAGUAGUUUUAGUAUUCCUGGUAAUCAAGGAUAUUACUGUCACUCGGUCUUUGUUUUAGGCAAAGGUACUUACUAUGUUCCCACAACUCUCGUUGUCCUGUCUUCAGUUCGGUUGCCUUCAAAUAUUUUUGCCAUUCCAAAAUCUGAUAUUUUUGGGUUCAUAUCUGCAUCCAAUAGAAUGUUGCUGCAUUUUAAAUCCCUGUGAAUGAUUCUCAACCUGGAGUCUUGGUGAAGAUAUAAAAUCCCACGAGCUAUUCCAACAAUAAUAUCAAAGCGUUUUCGCCAAUCCAAUAACAAUCUUCUGCUUUCAUCUGUUGAAACAAUUAUUUUUCAGACAGGUAUAAUUUGACAACUAGUGUAAAUCAGGGCAAUAAAUACUUAAAAAGACUUACCGAAGAGAAACGAGUCCAAGCUUUUGUUAGGCAAGUAUUCAUAGAUUAACAUUUGUUCUCCAUCCUGAGUGCAAUAUCCUAGAAGUUUCACCAGAUUCCUGUGUUGAAGCAUUGCAAUUACCAUAACUUCAUUUUUAAAUUCUUCUGCUCCUUGUCCUGAACUUCUAGAUAACCUUUUUAUUGCGACCUCCAUUCCAUUAGGUAGCAGACCCUAAAAUCAUGUUACAAGAUUAAGCCUCUAAAUUACAAUUAUGCAAAUUAGAUAAAAACAAAUCUUAGUAGAAGUGCUGUUUAUCUAAAUGACAAGGGUGGCCAAAACCUUAUAAACAGAGCCAAAACCUCCUUGCCCGAGUUUGUUAGCUGGAGCGAAAUCGUUAGUGGCCGCCGUUAUGGUGCUGAGCUUGAAAUAUUCCAAUUCAGUAGAAGUGCUGUUUACCUGCAGUUCAUUACCUUUUUUUGCUCUCUUCUUGAGCCACAGAUAAGCAAACAGGCCAAUGAGAAACCACAAUAAUGCAAUUGAUGGUGCUAAAACGGCCAGCAUCGUUUUUUCACGAGAAUCAUUUGACUUCCUUUUAGUGUCAGCUACAUGAGAGUGAAAAGAAUAAAGAUUAACUCUAUAGGAGAAACCACCCCAUUUUCCAAUGGAAAUAUGACAAUACAUAUGGCAAAGGGUAGCCCUUUUGGCACCUAAAACGUACCAAUAUCUAUGGUUUCUUUCUUGCAGUGAAAGCAUAGGAAAGCUCUCAUAAAUCAAUAUAUGUAAUGACAAUCCUAUGAAGUAGUUACUGAGCAGAAAAAGGGUACCUAAUUCAUAUGCAUCAACACGAACAUACAGAUCAUGACUGUCACUCCUAUCAUAUUUAACGUCUACUAAUUCCUUGUACCAUGUCAAACAACCAUAAUUUUUUCCGGGAAUUGCAAUGAUUGCGUAUGCAGAACAUGAGCAAUUCCUCUUGCAUUGCACUUCGCAGUCUGCAAGACUCUUGCUCAUAUCCACCCAAACUGCAGCUGAACUUUCCGGAAGAAUUACAUUUUCCACCUUCACAAACCCUUCACCAUGCUGGCACACCGAAGACGUAUGUAGUCGCUUCCUGACACAACCACCGGACCCAUCUCUCGCAGACCAUUCCAAUGGGUACUUGGGCUCGAACCCAGGUAGACAGGCACAUCCAAAUUCAUUUAGAUUGGCGAGUUCACACGUACUAUAAGCACCACAAUGUCCAUAAUAGUCCCACUGAAACUGAGGGGACUUCCAGUAUUCCUUCCACUGACCAUCACUUUCUCGCCGUGUUAAAGCCUUUACAUGUCCUGAAUGAUCCAGUAUUGAUCUUAGCAGAUAAGAAUCAUCAAGAACUGUGCAGACACAGUACUUUUCGUCUGGAUCAUUUACAAAAGUGCAUUUGUAUAAGCCCAUCUGAUUUCUCCAUGGCCAAGGGCGAGAUCUAAUAAUUGGCUUUGUACCAUUAUAGACAAAGAAUUGUGGCGAGCCAUUUGGGUUGAUCCUAACUGAAAAGUCACCAAUCCCAGGGUCUUCAGCUGAUCUCCAUGAUGUUAGGAACCGAUCAAUUCCUAAUUUUCGAUCCAGCCCCAGUUUCAUUCCAGGUAGCAGGAUGUUCGUAGGAUAAUCGAAGCUUUGCCAUACAGUUUUUCUGCUGACCAAUAUCAAAUUUCCUGAAUCCAUGAGUUGAGCUUCACAAGUAUCAUUUUCUUCCACUGAAACAUUUGUAGACCACACAGGAAGCUUUUGGUCAUCGUUACCAUAGAGAACGAGGUUUCCAUAUUGGUCUAUAAAGAGAAAUCCUAAGGAACCAAUGAUUGGAUCGUUCCUGUUUGCAACCCACACCACAGUUUGUUCUGGUAUUUUAUGGUACCAAAUUCCAAGAUAUCUAUUGCUAGAACUGCCUGGACUGAAAAAUCCUAGUGCGAAAAUAUUUCCUUCGGAGAUAAGAAGGUCACCUUCUUUAAUGGUUUGGUUCAUCUUUAAGGAGUCGUGGGAUGUACAAGAUGAGAAUUGGAGCAUUAAAAGAGAAAAAAGCAGGAACAGUUUUUCAGCUUCCAUGAGUGGGUAAACUGGAUCUCGGCUUUCGGAAAAGUGUUAAAUUUUGCUUUGUGGAGAAUGGAUAUGGCCUUCAGACAAGUCUCCAGAGAAGUUACGUGACGGAAUUAGGCAUCUCUUUAAUGAGAUACUCUUUUCAACCUUCAAAGUCUAGGCCAUGACUUGUUUUUGUUAAAGAAUCAAUCCAGAUUUUUUGGAAACGACACCGUCCUCUGGUUUUAGAAAUAUGUAGUGGGUUGAGACGCAUACAAAAACAACAUGAAAAAGAUAAUAAACAAAAAAAAAGAUACAAUUGCGUCGAAAAAGACAUCAUCAACCAUAAUAAUUAUGAUUGUAUGCUAUUAUAUACUAGGAAAAACACCCUAAACAAAGCUUAAAAAUUAAUAAAAUAUUUCUAAAAUAAAUAGAUAAAAAAAUCUAAAUCAACUUGAAAAUAUGAUAUUUCCAAAAUAGUAAUUUCUAGUGCUAGUUUGGAGGCCUUAGCGAUCUUAGAUGAAAAUAGGGAACAUGACUUCUAGAAUCAAAAUUUAUAUCCAUUAUCAUAAGGUCAUGUAUUGGAUGAAAAUCUCCUACAUCAGUUUUUUUGUGUUGAAAAUAACUUGUCUUUGAGUUUAAAUUGUUUUUAUCUUGUUGUCUUGAAUGCUUAAUCAAAGCUCUCAAACUCCUUUCCUUUCUUCCCUUAAGGUAUAUAACAAUAUUAGAUAUUAGCUUUAGUUCUUUAUCAAUAUAUAUAUAUUGUAUUUAUAUAACUCUUGAAUAAUUCUAUCUUUGUGAUAUUAGUAAACUUGUAAUCAAAAGAUCAAUAUAACCUAAAUCAAUAAUUUAAUUUUGUUGGGCAUCUUCUAUGUUCUAUUUACACUUAAUUUCUAUUUUAUUAAUAAGGACACCAUUGGUGACAUUAUUGCUCAUAUAUAUAUAUAUAUAUAUAUAUAUAUAUAUAUAUAUAUAUAUAUAUAUAUAUAUAUAUAUAUAAUUUGACUUCUUUGUUAUUGUUUGUUUCUGAGUUUUUUAGAACUUGAUUUUGGUUCUUGAGAAAUAAUUAGAGUUGUCAGUGCUACGCAAAACAAUAUGGAAGGAUUUGAUCUUUCAUGUGUUGGGUCUAACAAAUCUAAGCUAUGUGGUUUUAAUUGCAAGAAAAAUUGGUUUUUGAGUUCAAUUUAGGGUUUAAUGGGAAGAAAUUGAAGUCUGAGGGUUCAAUUACAACUUUGAAAAGCUAAUUUAGUUAGCUGAAAACAUGACAUGACAUCAUUAACAUGAUACGGUGGACGGAGUAAUGAUGUACCCUUUCAAUGAUGAAGCCUGAAAACAUUUUAAUAGGGUGCAUUCUUAGUUUUCAAUGGAAUCAAUGAACAUACAUCUUGGGUUAUGUAUAAACAAAUUCAAUCUAUUCAGAUCAUUUGUUGCUCCUUAUUCUUAUUGCCCGGUGAUACUCACGGUUUACCAAUUGUCAUUGGUCAUGUGUAUGAGGCUGGAGUUCAUGUUUUUAUCAACGGUCUCACUCAGUCCUAAUAGUCCAGUUAGAAUAUAGAUGUUUGUCUUCAGUGGUGGUUUGGAAGGAUUUCAGACCUCCGUGUAUCUUAGAGGCCAGGUGAGUAGAAUAUAUUCAGCAUGUGAUGUCUGAUCAUUUUAUGUGAUGACCACACUCUAGUGCAAAGCACCAAAACUAGCAAGUUUACAGUUCCGUUACCACACACAUCGACGACUUCAUUCCAUUUGUUUUGCUUGUGGAGUGGAUGGUAAAAUUCUUUUUCAAUUAUAUCUAUUUUUUUAUUUAUUGUUUUUUAUAAAUAUAUUUAAUUAACAAUAUUUUUUUCUUAGAGGCUACUAUUUUUGGACGCGAACCAAGCCUGAUGGAGCGAUUGAUGACCGCCAAAAAAGGAUACAACAACUUGUGGAUAACCAAGCUCAAUACUUUGUGGUAUAUUGUUUUCAACCAUUUUUUUAUUAACUUAGUAUUUUUUUUUAAUUUAAUGACUUUCCUUUUAAAGGAUACAUAUAACACCAAGUUAAAAGAGAGAUAUGGUGACAAUCCCUAGACCCAUCCAGAUCUCGAUCCAGAUUUGUGGUUGGAGGUAGGAUUGUCUGGUGGACCCGAAAGAAAUUGGGUGUAAGGUCUCUCUAACACUACAACCGAGUUCUUGCAAAUAGACCGCAGUGUUUCAACCAUUAGAUGCUCGCAAUUAGUUCUAAGCACUUAAACUAUAGAGUUCGAGGUGAUUUUAGACUAGUGAGUUAAAUAUCAAAUGGCCCGUCUUGCUGCUGAUUAUGAAUGACUCAGUGCUGAGAUAGCCAAACUUCACCAAUUGGUAUUGGAGAUAAGAUCACAGAUGGGUGGUACUUGUGCUCCCUCUUAUUCGCUCCACGAUCCAGGCUAAGAGUUGCACCGACCUCCUCCUCCAACACCUUUAUUCUAGAUUAAUUGUAUUUGUGCUUAUAAAUGUUUAAAUUUGUAAUAAAUAUUUGAAUUUUAUAUUAAUUUAACUUUUUAAUUAUUUUUUUCUUUUUAAUAGAUUUUUUAAAAAUAUAUAUUUUGAAAUUAUUACUAAAAGGGCUACCGAUGAACAUAGUCUAUCAGUAUAUUCCAGAAAGUUAAAAAAGAAUUAUUGCAAAUGUCACUGCCACUGUUUACUCACCGACAUAAUAACAUAUGGUUUGUUUGAUGGUUACAUGCAUAUGGUUUGUUUGAUGGUUACAUGUCAAAUUUACCGACAGACAUACUAACAGUUGAAAAAAAAUCACAAAUGGAAUGACAUAUGGUUUUUCUAUCGGUGAUAUGUUAUAUUCAACGAUAGAAGUACCGAUGAAAUGAAGCAGGUAAACUUUUUUUUUUUUGCACACUUUGUACAUUAGUAAAUGCAUCUGUAAAAUUAUUACUGACAAACCACAAAUCACCAAUGAGAGUUUUUGACAGAUGAUUUUUAUCCAUGAUCAUGUCAGCAAGGAAACUUACUGACGAAUUGUGAGAAAAAAUACUUAUAGAAAAUUAUGUCGAUAAAUCUAAAAAUUCUUGUAGUGUCUCAAAUUUUAACCCAAAACCUCAAAAACCUUUAUAAUUCAAUAAACCCAUAAUAAUUUACCUAUAACACUUCAAUUAAUCCAUCAAUCUAACACUAAAACACAAACUUUAAAACCCUAAACCUUAACAAAACCAAAAUCAAAGCUAAAUACCAUAAUUAUACACAUUAAAGCAUAACUCUUACCUUAAACACUUAUUUCUCCAAAUCUCUUUAUAUUUCUCUCUUUUCUCUUUUCUCUUCUUCUUCUUCUUCCACUUCUCUCUCUCUCUCUCUCUCUCUCUCUCUCUCUCUCUCUCUAUUUUAGAUUCUCUUUUUUUUCUCUUGCUUUUAUAUUUAUCAAUUUCAGAAAAGAAAAAAACACUUUAAGAUACGUUACUUAUAGGACUAGAUAUGAGUUGUGCACUAGACUGGUUGAUGACAUUGAUUUUUCAAAAAGAGAGAAGCAAAUAGCCAUGCCUUUCUUUUUCAUGCAAAAAUUACCACUAUAAACAUGUUAGAACCAGCUUAUAUUAGUUUUUACCAUGUCAUGAUCACAGAAGUCAUGAUAUGCAAAAAAGUUAAGCGAAGACAAAUAUUAUGAAUAUAGUUUUGUCUACUUCUUUUACAUCCAAGAGUAUGUGAAAAUCACAACAAGUUUUCUUAAAAAUGAAUGCAGGUUGUUUUUCAAAAGGAAUAUUUGUUUCACUACGCAUUCAACAUGUAAACAAUUACCAACAUGGAUGGUGUUAUACUAUAAAUUUUGAUGGGAAAUAGAUAAAAGAGAAAUAUGAUAACGAUUUGAUAAUUGGAUUAAUUGAAAGAAACUUAGAAGAUAGGGUUCUUGCCACAUAUAAAAGAAGGAAUAUACACACAAGAUUAACUCUACAAGCAAGUAUAAUAAGCCAUGUAUUAUAGACUUGAAAUCAUGGAUAUAACUCUAAAAGAUAAAAGAUUAUGGAUAGUUAACAGACAAUUAGUGGAUAACGCUGAAAGGUGGGAGAUAAUCAAGAAUUGAUGUCACUAUACAAGGAAGAUUGUAGGGAAGAUCAUCAUCAACAUUGCAAUUUUAUCUACUUCUCAAGACCUUUCAAACUUGAAACCAGUAGGCAAUAGCUUGUAGGCGAUAAUUUUAUAGGCGAUAACUUUGUAGGCGAUAAUCAAGAAAGCUUGCAAUUUUCUUUGUAAUCAGUAGGCUUGCAGUUUCAAUUCUAUAAACUAAAAAUACCAAAAAGAUGUCCAUUAUCCAAGAGUUCUAAUUCGUAGAUGUAAUCAAAGUAUGAAUCACUCUAUAAAUGUAAGUAUUCUUUUCUUAUCCUAAAUUAUUGAGUUCACUUUACAUUCAAGUUGUUGUAAUUAUUUGGUUACUUCUUCAAUUGAACUUGUCACGACCCGAAUCCCAGAUCCAUGAUGGGCAAUGCAGGAAUGGUGUCGAAAGGACACCUCACCUAUGCUAAGUCUUAAAAAAGACAUAUCAAAAGAACAAGUUAUUUAAAAAAAAACACAACAUUUUAUAAUCUUCAGAAAUAUUAUAUUAUUUAAAACUAAUGAAACUAAAUGAUAGUUCAAAACUUCUCAUUAGUAAUUAAAACAAAAACAAUAAUCUAUAGUACUCAUUACAUUGUCAAAAUCCAAACUUAAUUAAAUCAGGGAAAUAGUGGAGUGUCUAAGAGAUCGAAUCAAAACUAAAAGGAAAGCCUCGCAAAACAAGCAAGGCAUACCGACCAAACUAAAGAACCAGGAACACUCAAUAAAGUACACUUGUUAACAUAAACUAAGAACCUAAAUAAUAUUAAAAAUGAGGGGUGAGUUCAACCAACUCAGUGAGGAAAUAACAUUUUAUAUAUAUAUAUAUAUAUAUAGUUUGCAAGUUAAUUUAUCUUGAUAUAAAUAUAUAUUAAGCAUAUUAUCAUAAAGUAGUGGAAUACAUGUUAGAGAUUAGAUGACACCUAAAGGUGACCAAAUGACACUCAAAUGUGACCAGAUGACACCUAAAGGUGACCAGAUGUGGGAUGAUCAGUCGCCAUAGGCUGAUGUCUCUCUCACCAGCUAUGUGCAUAUAGGCUAAUUACUCUCCGUUAACAUGGAGUUACUAACAAGUCCUAUAUCAAGGUAUAAUAGAUAUUCACAGAAUCAUCAAAGAAAUGUAUAUCAUAUCAAAUAGAAUAAAUGAGUACUUGAAAAAUAGAGCAACAUAUAUAAAUAUUCAAGAGAUUAACUAGUCAUACUCAUCAUAUAAUCAAUAUACAUAUUUAUUUAUAUUAUAUGCAUAUUAAAGAUUAUUCCACUCACCUGAAAAAUAUAGAACUAAAAGAAAUGUCAAAUGAAAGACCUGAAAAUCCUAUUGAGGAUCGUUAGAAGAACCUACAACAAUAUAUGAAAUAUACUAAAAAAAACCCAAAACAACACAAAUAAAAGAUACCAAUGUAUAAAAUAAAACCAGGUUUAGUAUCCUAAAUUUAGGGACUAAAACAACAAUUUUCCAAAACAGAGACCAAAACAUAAGUUUACCAAAAUUGGAGGACCAAAUUGUAAAUACAUAACCAUACUGAAAUUUCACCCAUAAACCAUCCUCAAUUCUGUCUAGAACGAACCAGGGAUGUAAUUUUCAUAAAGUUCAGGGACAAAAAUGUAAAUUUCCAAAAUUGAGGGACCAAAUUGAAAAUCCAAAUCAAUUAUCAAACAGAGAUUCAUCAUCCUUAACCUCAUAAUAACACUGGUUCAGAAUCUCAAAAUACAUUUAGGGGUAAAAUUAUAAUUUUUCCAAAGUAUAGGGACUAAACUAUACUAUUCAUAAAUCAAGGAUCAAAAUAAACUUUCAUCAUCUUCAACCUCAAGACCAUUAUGUCCAGAUUUUCCAGCAAGGUUGAAAUGAAUUUCUUAACCCAUAAAAAUAAAUUUAAACAAAUCAACUCACAAAUCAUUACUUCUAACAACAUACUAAUCAAUCACCUAACAUUAAACCCUUAAUAAUCAUAAAUCAAUUUUAACAACAUAAAUUUCAAAUCCUUAUAAACCCUAAUCUCUUUUUUAAUCAUUCCAUAAACAAACUAUAAUUGAAAGUAAUAUGAGAGAGAAUCAAUUACUUACUACUUCCACCUUUCUUAAACCAAAAACUCAAGAUCAAAAACUAAAAUAUUUGGUUUGAUGAGGGGAGGGUCACGAUGGCCACAAGAAUUAGAAAAGAAAAAACUAAAAUUCUCUUGUAACUUUUCUUUAUAUACUUAGGUUAAUUUAGGUUGGGUUUGAGCUGAACUAGGCUUGAAUUUGAGCUAAAAGUUUGGGUUUUACAAAACUACUGUCUAUAUGAAAUUAAAUUAAUUUAAUCAUAUUCAUAUUCAUGCAACUCUGUAAUACAAAUUUAAAAUUAUAUGAGUGGAUCUAAGACUAAAUUUAGAGUUCAAAACAGUUAACUUAAAACUCCAAUCUUUAAGUUGUAAAGUAUUCUUAAUUAAUUGAGGCAGAUACAAAAAAAACUUAUAUCAAACAGAUGGCUUGUUCGUUGCAUGUUCUUGCACGCAUAACAACCCAAUUCGAAUGCAUUUCAAGGCUUCUUUAGGAUGAUACAACUCCUUGAGUGACAAAUCAACUCAUCUCUAAUGUUUUGUCUUUGUAUAAGAGGAGGGACAACAGAUGUCAAACAUAUCUCAUCUUGAUCAUUUACAAAACAAGUGUUCUAGGUCUUCCUGGGUGUUUUCAUGGCCAUGGGGUAGUUCGCCAGAUACGGUUUUGUGCAUGCAAGAAGACGCAAUGAGAAGACAUUCCAUGUUAGCUGUUGUUCUCAUGUUGAGUAGUUCUGGAGUAGCUAUUCCUUCUCCAAAACAUCCUCAUACAAUAUCUGAGGAAGAAGAAUACGACAAGGAACAACCCGACUUCGAUUCCACCUGUUGGCCUGCAUGCUGACAACACCAAGAUCCAAAGUUCAAAGUUAAAACUUCUGUUUCAAUCUUUACAUUCUAUUCUAGUAUCUUUCAGUGAACUUUCAUGCAUACCGAAAAGAAAAUUUCUUCAGUAGUAAAUUAAGGAUGUUCCAAAACCAACUAAAACUCAUGUCCCUAGGAGAGAGGGGAAGGCAAAGCGAAAACAUGACUAUUUAGGGAGGUUGAAACUGUUCUUCAAAUUCAGACAGCUCUAAUCUUUCAUUACUUUCUUUUGUUUUUCAGUAUCUUGGUAUGCUUUGUAUUUCAGCACAUUAUGACAAUUACGUAUUAUAUAGUUUAUAGCCUGUUAGAAUUCAUGAGAAACUGCCUCAGAAGUAUGAAACAAGUUUAGUUGGACUUAGUCUUUGAUUAUUGUUUUAUAUCAGAUUUUGCUCCUUUAUGUUCUGUUUUCAGUUAGUAGAAGUAGUGCCAAUAAUAUCUGAUUAUUGGUGAGAAUUUUUAGCUUUUUCAGUUUGGUUGUAAGCCUUUAAAUAGGCAUUCUUAUUUAUGAAAUUAUAUGCUCUCUGCUACAGCUCUUCUAUGUUAAAAUCAUCUAGCCUUCAACUGCAAGUUUAAUUGUUUCAAUCUCUGCAGCUUUAACAUAGCCUGCAUUGAAAUUUGGAAGAGAACAUUUGCAUGUAUGAACUUCCUGAAAAGAUUACUGUUAUAAUAAAAUUAGAGAUGCUUGUAACGAAUUAAAAAGAGAACAUUAGCAAUUAUUCAUAUCGUACAACUUCAGCGACUAGCAAUUUCAGUAAUUGUCACCUCAUUUACAGAACACUGUCCAUCUUCUACUUCUAAGGCUAAAUCAGGAAAUUUGUCAGAUUUUCUAAAGAGGAAUGCAGGUUGUUUUGGAGAAGGAAUCUCUGUUUCACUACUCAACAUAAAAACAACUGUCAACCACAGUUUGGAGAAACAUUGCUGCUGCUGGUGGACUGGCUGAAACUUUGGAGCAGAGCGCGGUUCGCGUUCAUGACGAAACGACGGGCUGUUUCGUAGCACAGACGAUGGAUAGUUCUGUGGGGCAGAUCGAAGGGCUGAUUUGUUUGAAGCCAUUUUGGGGAAAACUUGCUAGCAUUUUUGGGCAGUGUUAGUGUUCAAAGGCCUGCGAAGUUUGGUGGCUUAACUAAUCUAUGGGCGACGCAAGGUGAUGACAAAGGGAUCAGAUCAAAAUGGGUGUUGAUUCGGCCAUCAAAACCAUCGAUGGAAUGGCAGACUUGGGAGCAGGGGCCAGCGAAGCGACUGCUGGAGUUUCUGUAUUUUCAUCAAAGCCUAAAGGGAAGGAUGGGGCGAAAAAGAAAAGGAAGCAAUUCAGUAAGGGAGAGCCCAAACCUGCUGCUGACAAUGGAAGGUCAGACAAGAAGGCAAAUCGGUAAGGGUUUGAAACUGAAUUUACACUGCUUUUCUCUUGCGAUGGAAAUUACUUUGUGUGGGAUUAUUGCCCAAGAAGGGGAAACCUUGACGCUGUCAGUGUGGAAGAUGGUGUUGGGGAUGUGGCAUAUGUGAAUCUUAUGCAUGUGCUUGACGACCGAGAUGGAAUUUAGUCAUCAUGGGCCAACGUAUCGGUGAGGAUGUUGUCUGGCCUUGCUGCCUUGUUGGUGGCAGAACUUGGUAGUUUUGUUCAUCUUGACGAAGGAUUGUUCAGGGUGGUGGAAGCAAAAUUCAGCGACGAAGUUGGGGAAGAUUUGGUCGAAUGGCCAGACGAAUCUGGGAAGAUUUGGUGUGGCUUUGCUGCUUUGGGGGAGGCAGAAUUGAUGUCUUCGGAGGAGACCUUGACGAGGGACAGUGUAGGGUAAAGAAGACAGAAUGGAUGACUGAAACGAAACUUCAGUUGCGAGUGGCCAGCCUAGUCAAUGAGGAUUUGGACGUGGUCAAACUGCCUUGGGCAAGGCAGAAUUGGAGGAGUUUCGUAACUUUGACGAUGGAUGGAUCAUGGUUUGUUAGAACUCUAGGCGUGAGGAUGCGUCAACGAAAGCACACUACUUAGAAAUUUGGCAGCGAUGGACAGUGUCAGCCUUGCAUUAGCUGAGACGAAUUCGGCAGGAAGAGUUGAUUGUUGUACAAUGGACAAGUAAGCAAUAUUUAAAUUUUAUACUUGCAAUGUUGGCACACUGAAUGGUUGGAGAAUUAGAUGUUCGUAUGGGAGUUCAUGUGAUUCUUCAAAGGGAUUUUGUGUGAAUGUAUUUUGUGAAGAGGGAUGGAUACCUAGGAUGCUUGUGAUUAGUGUCCAAACUUCAUGAAAGCAUGCUUGCGAGUAUGAUAUGUUUGGCAUUUGUGGAAAACUAACUGGUCAAAACAGAAUUGUGUCACAGCUUGGUUUUGAAACAUGUUGACAAAGAAUUUGGUGGACUGAAUUGCUGUUGAAUGUGGUCAAAGCUAGAGGUUUUGUGGGGAGAAACAUGGAUUGUGACGAGGAACAGAUGCGGUGCAAGGGUACUUCAAAUCUGUCUGAUGAGGGCGUCAGGUUCUUUUGGUGGGGGUGGUUUGUAAUAGUGACAAAUGUGCACGAGGUGCACAUUUCGGUAGGCUGUCCAAAAUAGAGCCUAAAGGUGCUGGCAACCAUGCCAACAGUGGGAUAAAUCGGCAGCGCAGAUUUGUGCAGCUGUAGGUUCGUCAAAGGAAAAUCGGCAGCGCAGAUUGUUGAUGAACAUUGGUUGGACGAUGGACUGUCUAGGCCAAGCAGGAAAACUUGUCAGGGGAUAGGCUGACGAGAACAGGGGCUGUCGCAGAAUUCAGCAGCGCAGACAUUGGCAGCCUGCACGUAGAUGCGAAUUCGGCAGCGUGCAACAGCUUGUGCAAGUCGUUGGUUCGACUUGGCACGAUCUGAAACUUGGACGAAGGACUGUCCAAGGCAUGCGAGAGACCAGCAACAGACGCAGCAAGAACUGGCAGUUGGGACUGCUAGGUGGGCAUGCAGAACAUGGGUUAGUGGUAGUUAUGGAUAUCCAAGAUCAUGGGAUCAUAGAGGCUCAAUGUGGGGGCUGACCAGGGGUUGUUCUCAACCCACUAAGAUCAUGGGGGAUCAUGGGGGAAAACUUCACAUCACUUGGUAGAAAAUGGGACCACUAUGUUCAUGGGUGAACAUGGGUGAGAUAGUGUCUCACUACUUCCUUAAAUGUAGAAAUGGAAGUUGUACCUUGUAAAUGUUUGUCUAUAAAUAGUGUUUACAUCUCUUGGUUAAUGGGCAACAUGUAGGGGCAUGCAGCAACAUGUAGAACACGAGAUAGGGUUGUAAGCUUGGUGUAGCAUGUAAUCUUUGUGCAUAGCACACAUAAGGAUUUGUGUAUAGUUCCCUUUGUUUACGAGAUUAAUAAAGGUUGAGAAAGAGUUCUUGUAAAGCUUGUUGUACACUUUGAUUAACUCAUUCUACUUGUGUAUUCCGCUUGUCUUUUAACUUGGGAAAGUGGGGAAACUUAUCGAGUGAGGGAAAUACUUAGUUACUAGGUAAACACGAGUGAGAUUGGUGAGAAUAGGCUAAGUCUAGUGAGCGACUAGGUUGCUGCACGGGUUUAUUUAAGGAGCGAAAAUUUACCUCGUGACAGUCACUUUCUUUAUUUUAUUUUUUAAAAUUAGAAAUUAUCAUGAAAAAAAUAUAUUAUUAACUAAAAAAACUCUAUAAAUUAACAUAUGUUCUCCAACCUGAAUGCGACAGCGUAGAAGCUUCAUAAGUUCCUGAGGUGAAGCUUUGCAAUUACUGUGACUUUAGUUUUAAAUUCUUCUAUUCCUUGUCCUGAAUUUCUAGAUAACCUUAUAACUAUUAAGAAUGGUGGAGACAAAGUCCCACCACCAUUCUAGUACAAGAAGACCGCCACCAUUCGGUGGGUUGUUGGCAGUCAUGUUCAACAGUAAAUUGGCUGGAUUAAUCUUCUUCACCUAUUGAACCAGAAACCAGCCAUCAAUCCGACCCAAUCCAUAUGGACUGACCCAAACUAAAGAAUGAUGUAAGCAUGACAUCAUCAUUCCACGACAGAUGUCUAGUUAGUGAUCAAUCAGCUUGACACGUUAGCAAGAUGGACCAAUUAAUAUUUGAAGGAUGAUAUAAAGGUCAUUUCGGUGGGUGAUGAAGUUAAAGAAGAAGAAGGUGUACAUGUUAACUCAAUGUGAGUGCUGGAUUGCUAUGGGAGAAUUAAUUUGAGAAGUCAACCUUAUCAAAAUGAAUUUGGCAUGGCUUCAUGCCUUGAAGAAAGACAUUGUAAUCCUCCGGUAGAAAACUUUACCAUGAUUAAUUAAAUAGUGAGAAAUAUAAUAAAAAUAUUGGUAAAUUGUAAAUUCUAGAUCAAAUUUUAUAAUAUUAAUAAAAAUAUUAAUAAUUUAAACCAUUGAUAAAAUGGGUUAGUUGAAAAAUAAAAUGAAAUAGGAUUAAUUGAAUCAUUAGAAAAUAAAUUUUUGAGAGAUAUUUUUAGGCUUGCGGUUAAACCAAAAGGUACCCAAACUUCACACGUACUAUAAGCACCACACAGUCCAUAAUAGUCGCCCUGAAACAGUGGGGCCUUCCAGUAAUCCUUCCACUGACCAUCACUUUCUCGCCAUGUUAACACCUUUAGAAUGAUCAGGAACCGUGUAGACCCAGUAUAUCAUCUGGAUCAUUUACAAAAGUGCUUUUGUAUAAGCCCAUUUGACUUCUCCAUGGCCAAGGAGGAGAUCUACUAAUUGGCUUUGUACCAUUAUAGACAAAGAUUUGCGGUGAGCGAUUUGUGUUGAUCAUAAGAGAAAAGUCUCCAAUCCCAGGGUCAUCAGCUGAUCUCCAUGAUGUUAGAAACCGAUCAAUUCCUAAUUUUCGAUCGAGCCCCAAUUUCAUCCCAGGUAGGUGGGUGCUUGUAGGAUAAUCGAAGCUUUGCCAUACAAUGUUUCUGCUUCUUUUCCUGACCAAUAUCAAAUUCCCAGAAUCCAAGAGUUGAGCUGCAAAGAUAUCAUUUUCUUCCACUGAAUCAUUUGUAGACCACACAGGAAGCUUUUGGUCAUCGUUACCAUAGAGAACGAGGUUUCCAUAUUGGUUUAUAAAGAGAAAUCCUGAGGAACCAAUGAUUGGAUCGUUCCUGUUCGCAACCCACACCACAGUUUGUUCUGGUAUUUUUUAUGGUACCAAAUUCCAAGAUAUCUAUUGGUUGAACUGCCAGGACUGAAAAAUCCUAGUGCGAAAAUAUUUCCUUCGGAGAUAAGAAGGUCACCUUCUUUAAUGGUUUGGUUGGUCUUUAAGGUGUCUUGGGAUGUACAAGAUGAGAAAUGGAGAAUUAUAAGAGAAAAAAGCAGGAACAGUUUUCCGGUUUCCAUGACGGGGCAAACUGGACCUUGGCUUUUGGACAAUUUGAAUGUUGCUUUGUGGAGAAAGGAGAAGUUCUUCAGACAAGUGUGGGACCAUUAGAGAAGUAACGUGAAAGAAGUUGUUAUUGUGGGAUUUUCCUUUCCAUGGACGGAUUUUUUUAGAAUAAUAUAGGAAUAGUGGUUGUUUUUUUAAAUAUUUUUUAUUUAAAAAAUAUAUUAAAAUAAUUUUUAAAAAGUAUAUAUAUAUUAAAAUAAUUUUUAUUUUUUAAUAAAAUUUAUUUUUAAUACCAACAAAUUAAAAUGAUAUAAAAUAUAAAAAAAAUGAUUUAAACAAUAUUUUUUAUAAAACUUUUGUAAAUCUCUAUUCAAACCAUACUCGAGAUUAUCUUAUCCGUUGUAUACUACAUACCCUACUCGAAGGUCACUCAAUUUUUUUCUUUUUAAUUUUGAUUUUAAUUUAUAAUAAACUAGUUUGAUAUAAUAUAUAUUAUGUUUAUAUCUAAGAUUUUGGAUAAGAUAUUGUCAUCUAGCCAGGUGGCACGCAUCGUUUGGCAGAGACCACAGGGGUAGGAAUUUUUGCCUUAAGGUGUUUUUUCUAUUCUGGCUUUUCAGUCUAAGUUUUGUAUAGUUGUGAGACCUUUUACUUAGGGUAAGUGAAAAUAUCAUAUUCUCAAUUAUGAGUCUGAUGAAAAUAAUAUUUAUUUAAUAUUCUAAUAUUUAUUUGAUUUGAUUUUUAUUAGUUAUGUCAAUUAAUUUAUUAUUUAAAACAAUGUUAUAUAUACUUUAGUGGCAUUCCAUAAUUGAUAUUUAAAAUUUAUUAAAUCAGAAUUAUUUUUAUUGUUUAACUACAAUUUUCAAAUUUAAGAAACUUUGAUUUAUUAAUUUCCCCAUGCACUGCAUCACUUGAACUGUAGUCUUUAGGGUUUUCUUUCAAGUGGGAAGCAUGAGAAAAUAAACAUGAUACAAGCAUCAAAACUAACAAAUAUCUAUCGGACAAAACAGUUUUUUAAGAACUGAUAUCGUUUUUUUUAAGGAAAAAAAAUCAAUCAUUAAUAUAAGAAUUGACACAUAUUAGAAGAUACUGUUUUUAAUACUAAGACAGUUAUAUAUUAAAAUUUAUUUUUUAAGUAUUAAAAUAAAAAUAUAUCAAAUAAAUAUGGGUCAACCUGAAUCAAUCAUUUAAAUUUGCGAUAAAAGUUAUAAAACCACAAUAACCUCAUAAAAAAAUAAUCAAAUAAUUAUGUUCAAUUCAAAAGCAAUCUAAUAACGAAAAAAUGAAAUUCAAAAUUAAAACACUCAAUUAAAAAAAAGUUUUUAAAAAAUCUAAAUAAAUCCAAGUCAAUUUAUUAAAUCCAUGAUUUGAAUUAUCUAUUCCACUAGAUUUAAAAAAAUCUAAAAAUAAAAAACAAACAUGACAUCAUGUAUCAUGUGGGAUUAAAAAAGAGAGGCAUUCAACUAACAAAGGUUUUCUAUAUUUUUUUUAAUCUUCAGGGGGCUGAAAAUGCAUUAAGUAAAAAAAAAAAAAACAAUUAACAAUCCAUCUAGGGGCACGACCCACUACCCACCUGACCUAUACAAAAAUAAAAAUUAAAAAUAAAAAUAUUUAAUGAAAAACAAGUUUAAAAAAAAUAGAAAUAAAACUGAGUUAAUCUAUUAUACCCGUAAUUUAGGUCAUGCAUUCCACUAAAUUUAAUAACAUAUUAUUUAUUAAGUUAUUUUUUAUUUUGUUAUACAUCAAUCAAGGAUGCAAGAUGUUUUUUUGUAUCAAAUAAAAAAAUUAAAAUAAAACAAACAGGAUAGGCAUGUGGAACAAAACAAUGGUCUAUUUUUCAAAGUUAAAUAAAAAAAAUAGUUUUUUAUAAGCCAAUUUAAAAAGGAAAGGAAAAAAAGAAGAGGUCGCAUGCAUCACCUAUGCAAUGAUCAUAAAAGCAUACCAAAUAAAAUAUCAUGCAGUGAGGAUAUGAUAUUUAUAUCUAAACAAUUCACUUAAUUUAACUAAAAAAAUAUUAAAAAAAUUAAGAAAAGCUAAAUUUAACAAAAAAGACAAAAAAAGGACUCAAGAAAACCUAAGUAAUUUUUAAAAUUAGUAACAAAACCCUAUAAACAGUAAAUAAAAAAAAUGCAUUAUUUAAUUAAAUCAAAUGUUGAAUGAUGAAACUUAAAAAAACAUGAGUUUAAAAAAGAACAAAAAAUAAAUCGGAACAAAUCUUCUAAAUCUAAGUUAAUCUUCUAAAUUUAUAACCUAUUAAAUCUUAGAUCUAGACUCAAUAAAAAAAGCUCAAUUUAAUGUUGAAGGAUGAAAUAAAAAAAAUCAUAAUUUUUUUUGUCAAAGCAAAGAAAGAAGCUAUAAAAAAAUAAAGGUGGAUGAAAUCGUUAAAAAAAAUAAAUUUUAAAAAUGAUCUCAAAUAAAAUAAAUAACAGUUAAAAGAAUAGAUACCAAAUUUGAUAGAUUAAGAAAAUUUUAAGGAUAAUGAAAUUGACAAUAAUCAAAUGAAAAAAUAAGAAUCAAAUCAAAAGGAAAAAAAAUGCCAACCAGGGCCAAAUUACUAAAUGGACUUACAUCACACGCACCACCUAAAGAGAUAGGCCAUACUAUAAUGAAUUGAAAAACACUAAAGAAAGCUAUUUUUGAUAGUUGUAAGCCACCACACAUACCUAUUAGACACGAUAGAGAGGUGUAUUCACUAGCAUGUUCAAUUAAUGCAUUAACCUUUUUUUUUCUUUAUAUUUAUUAAAAGACUAAAUUGAUCACAACGACAACAACAACAAAAACAAAAAUAAAAAGAAAGUAUGAAUUAGCCCUUAGAGGCAUCGUUAGAAAAUUUUGAUUUCAAGGACAAUAUAAUCAUUUUAUCGUGCUAUAAAAUAUAAAAUAUAAGAAAUGCCUCUAAACCUAAGGAGCAUAGUUUUUUAAAGGCAUUUAAGUAAUUAUACUAUAUAUAAAAAAUAAAAAGACCAUGAAGCUCAUGAUUAAUUUUAUAAUGACUAAUAGAGCAUGCAAAAAGAUCGCAUUACCCUUGAGAGAUAGACAAAGUUUUUCGGUUGAAAAGGGAAAAGUAGUAAAUUCACUACUAUAAUCCAUAAUAAUUCAAGACAUAUUUAUAGUAAUUUUUUCAUGGGGUUUAGGUUUUUGUUAAUUCUACAUGGAAAUCAGGAGUUGAUGUAUUUACAAUAAUCAUUUAACUGGCUUGGUAUCUUGUAUAAUAUAUAUAUAAUUGCAAAACAAAUUAGAGAUUUCCUUGAGUUUAUUAUUCUAGAAAUCAACGCAAAAAAAAUAAUUUUUCAAUUAUUAUUUUUUUAUAUAAAUUUUAAGAUGAAAGGAUUAAAAUUGAUAUCUAAAAUUAUUAUAUAUUUAAAAACUAAGGUUGUCAAUUCCGUUUCGGUAGGUGUUUUGUUUUUUCAAUUGGAAUGGAAUGUUUCAGUUUCGGAGUGUUUCGGCAUGCCAUUUCGUGGUUGUACUGUUCAUAUAUAUAUAUAUAUAUAUAUAUAUAUAUAUAUAUAUAUAUAUAUAUUCAACAAAUAUAAUUCAAAUUCAAGAUAAAUUAAUUAUAAAUUAUGCAAUACAAACACAAUGUCAAACAAAUAUAAUUUCAAAAUUUAAAAUAUUUUUAAAUAGUCAAGAUUAAAUAGAUCUUUAACUUAAAGUAAUUCAACUUAAACAAAAUAUCAAAAUAUUAUGAAAGUAAAAUGUUUUAACACAAAUAUUUUAAAUAUAAAGUUAGGUCAAUGUUAUCAAGGCUAAUGGAAUCUAAAGCAUCCCUUGUUUUGCUCAAAUUCCUACAAAGUAUAAACAUGAAAAAAACAACAUGAAUAUAAACCAUAUAUAUUAGUGAUAAAUCUAAUUUUAAAAAAUUAAUAUCAUUGUUAAUGAAAAUAGUAAUAAUAUUUUUCAAUAUUAUUAUUAAUAUCAUUGUUAUUGAAAAUAGUAAUGAAAAUAGAUUUUUAUACUUGGGUGGUUUAAUUAAUUAAAUUGAACAAGGUUUAAUUUGAUUCAAUGACUUUUCAAGAGCGGAAUAGAACAUGUGGAAUGGAACCGGAAUGUUUCGGCCAAAAUUUAGCUGAAAAAUCCGAAACGGACCGAGAUUUAAAAUGAGAUGAAAAUUAUUCCAUUUUGUUCCGUUUUUUGAAUUGAUAUGGAAUGUUUCGGUCAUUUCGGGCGAAACGGAUUGGAAUUGACAACCUUGUUUAAAACAAAGAAUGCAAAUGGAUUGAAGAGUUUUAAUUUGGCAUGCACAUGAUCAAGAUAAAAACAAUUUGAACUCCAUGACGAGUUCUUUCUAACAAAAGAAGACUAAUGAAAGAGAUUACUAUUCAGGAUCAAGGUAAAAGAUUCCAAAGGCUUUGUUUUUUUAAGGGUAAAAAGUUCAUACUCAUCAGAGUUCAGAAGGGUCCAAAAAUUACUAUUCAAGAUUUUCUAUCUUUUCUAGUUAAUUUAUGAUUUUUUUUAUUUAGAUUAAAACUUUUUUAUUAUUUUUCAGCUUUAAUGAAGAUGUUUUUCCUAGUUUUCUUAUUACUUUUAUUAUUUUUUCUUUAUUUUCAGGUUUUAUUAUUAGUUUAGGUAAGUUCUUAGGUUUAUUGAAGGAAUUGUAAACCUCUUAGAGUGAUAGAUUAUUUAAAAAAAAAUAUUCAGUUAUAAAAUUAUAAAUUAGGGUUUUUUGUGUGAUUUUGUUUAGCAUUAUUUUGUAUUCUUGUGUUUGUUGUUUUUCUUGUGUUGCUUCAAUUUGCAUGAGUAGUAUACAAAAUUCUAAUUCAUAAUUUUAUUAUUGAUAAAAAUUCUAUUUAUACUUGAAAAAAUAUCUUAAACAAAACUGAAAAAAUAAUAAAAAUUCCAAAUCAAAUUAAAAAAAAUCUUAAAUCAACUAAAAAAAUACUGCAAAUCCCAAACAAUAAUUGCCAUGGCCCGGACAUGCUCGAAUUUUUGUUAUGAAGAGCUUGAUCUGUUGUGAUGCACAACAUAUAUGUCCCAUUGUUUUCUGCCGCUUUAAAAUAUUUGUUCUGACUGUCUUGAGGAAAGGCAUUCACUAUCGUUAGCAAAUCCAAUGGAACUUCAUAUUAGCAAUUUUUCGGAUAGCACAGCUUCAGCGACAAGCGAAUUCAGUAAUUGUCACCUCAUUUACAGAGCACAGUCCAUCUUCAACGUCUAAUGCUAUAUCAGGAAAUUUAUCAGAUUUUCUAAAGAGGAAUGCAGGUUGGGAGUUUUAGCAGGGGGUACGUCUAGUGCUGAAGAGCUUGAUCUGUUGUGAUGUACAGCAUAUUUGUUUUCAUUACAAAUCUAAUGGAACUACAUAUUAGCAAUUUUUCAGACAGCACAGCUUCAGCGACAGGCAAUUUCAGUAAUUGUCACCUCAUUUAGAGAACACUGUCCAUCUUCUACGUCUAAUGCUAUAUCAGGAUUAUUGUCAGAUUUUCUAAAGAGGAAUGCAGGUUGUUUUGGAGAAGGAAUCUCUGUUUCGUUACUCAACAUAAAAACAACUGCCAACAUAGAUGGUCUGUCCGUGGCAUCUUCUUGCACGCACAGGAGACCAAUCUGUAUGCAUUUCAAGGCAUCACGCGGAUCAUACAACUCCGUCAGUGAUGGAUCCACUAUCUCCAAUGCUUUGUCUUCUCUCCAUAAUUCCCACACCUGUGUUGUUCAUAUAAAUCAUUAACAUACAAGAAAUAAGAGCAGACAACAUCUAAAAUUGUGAACAUUGAAACUCAGCCAAGAGCACAAAAGGCUAUCUUAUAACUCACAUAUCCAAUCAAGGUCAAAGGAGGAUUCUGUUGAUAAAAUCUAUUGUUCUUCUUGCCACUAGCAAUCUCUAGCAACAUGACCCCAAAACUGAAAACAUCUGAUUUUGCGGAAAAGUUUCCAAACACAACAUAUUCUGGUGGCAUAUAGCCACUGCAUCAGAAAAACAAUAGUAGUUUUAGUAUUCCAGGUAAUCAAUGAUAGUACUUUGUCACUCGGUCUUUGUUUUAGGCAAAGGUACUUACUAUGUUCCCACAACUCUCCUUGUCCUGUCUUCAGUUCGGUUGCCUUCAAAUAUUUUUGCCAUUCCAAAAUCUGAUAUUUUUGGGUUCAUAUCUGCAUCUAAUAGAAUGUUGCUGCAUUUUAAAUCCCUGUGAAUGAUUCUCAACCUGGAGUCUUGGUGAAGAUAUAAAAUCCCACGAGCUAUUCCAACAAUAAUAUCAAAGCGUUUUCGCCAAUCCAAUAACAAUCUUCUGCUUUCAUCUGUUGAAACAAUUAUUUUUCAGACAGGUAUAAUUUGACAACUAGUGUAAAUCAGGGCAAUAAAUACUUAAAAAGACUUACCGAAGAGAAACGAGUCCAAGCUUUUGUUAGGCAAGUAUUCAUAGAUUAACAUUUGUUCUCCAUCCUGAGUGCAAUAUCCUAGAAGUUUCACCAGAUUCCUGUGUUGAAGCAUUGCAAUUACCAUAACUUCAUUUUUAAAUUCUUCUGUUCCUUGUCCUGAGCUUCUAGACAACCUUUUUAUUGCAACCUCCUUUCCAUUAGCUAGCAGACCCUAAAAUCAUGUUACAAGAUUAAGCCUCUAAAUUACAAUUAUGAAAAUUAGAGAAAAACAAAUCUGUAGUAUUGAGAAGCCAUUUAGUUUUUAGCUAAAUGCAAGAAACGCUACCUUAUAAACAGAGCCAAAACCACCUUGCCCGAGUUUGUUAGCUGGAGAGAAAUUGUUAGUGGCCGCCGUUACGGUGCUGAGCUUGAAAUAUUCCAAUUCAGUAGAAGUGCUGUUUACCUGCAGUUCAGAACCUUUUUUGGCUCUCUUCUUGAACCACAAAUAAGCAAACAGGCUAAUGAGAAACCACGAUAAUGCAAUUGAUGGUGCUAAAACGGCCUGCAUCGUUUUUUCACGAGAAUCAUUUGACUUCCUUUUAGUAUCAUCUGCAUGAGAAUGAAAAGAAUAAAGAUUAACUCUAUAGGAAAAACCACCCCAUUUUCCAAUGGAAAUAUGACAAUACAUAUGGCAAAGGGUAGCCCUUUUGUCACCUAAAACGUACCAAUAUCUAUGGUUUCUUUCCUGCAGGGAAGAGCUUAUUAACUACAGUCAAGAGCAGUGACAAGCAUAGGAAAGCUCUUAUAAAUCAAUAUUUGUGAUGACAAUCCUAUGAAGUAGUUACUGAGCAGAAAAAGGGUACCUAAUUCAUAUGCAUCAACACGAACAUACAGAUCAUAACUGUUACUCCUAUCAUAUCUAAUGUCUACUAAUUCCUUGUACCAAUUCAAACAACCAUAAUUUUUUCCGGGAAUUCCAAUGAUUGCGUAUGCAGAGCAUGAACAAUUCCUCUUGCAUUCCACUUCACAGGCUGCACGACUCUUGCUCAUGUCCACCCAAGCUGCAGCUGAACUUUCCGGAAGAACUACAUUUUCCACCUUCACAAACCCUUCUCCAUGCUGGCAAAACGAAGACGUCUGUAGCCGCUUCCUGACACAACCACCGGACCCAUCUCUCGCAGACCAUUCCAAUGGGUACUUGGGCUCGAACCCAGGUAGACAGGCACAUCCAAAUUCAUUUAGAUUGGCGAGUUCACACGUACUAUAGGCACCACACAGUCCAUAAUAGUCGCACUGAAACACUGGGGCCUUCCAGUAAUCCUUCCACUGACCAUCACUUUCUCGCCAUGUUAACACCUUUAGAAGUCCUGAAUGAUCUACUAUUAUUCUUAGCAGAUAAGAAUCAUCAGGAACUGUGUAGACCCAGUAUAUUUCAUCUGGAUCAUUUACAAAAGUGCUUUCGUAUAAGCCCAUUUGACUUCUCCAUGGCCAAGGAGGAGAUCUACUAAUUGGCUCUGUACCAUUAUAGACAAUGAUUUGCGGUGAGCCAUUUGGGUUGAUCAUAAGAGAAAAGUCUCCAAUCCCAGGGUCAUCAGCUGAUCUCCAUGAUGUUAGGAACCGAUCAAUUCCUAAUUUUCGAUCCAGCCCCAGUUUCAUUCCAGGAAGCAGGAUGUUCGUAGGAUAAUCGAAGCUUUGCCAUACUGUUUUUCUGCUUCUUUUCCUGACCAAUAUCAAAUUUCCUGAAUCCAAGAGUUGAGCUGCACAAGUAUCAUUUUCUUCCACUGAAACAUUUGUAGACCACACAGGAAGCUUUUGGUCAUCGUUACCAUAGAGAACGAGGUUACCAUAUUGGUCUACAAAGAGAAAUCCUGAGGAACCAAUGAUUGGAUCGUUCCUGUUUGCAACCCACACCACAGUUUGUUCUGGUACUUUAUGGUACCAAAUUCCAAGAUAUCUAUUGCUAGAACUACCUGGACUGAAAAAUCCUAGUGCAAAAUUAUUUCCUUUGGAGAUAAGAACGUCACCUUCUUUAAUGGUUUGGUUCGUCUUUAAGGAGUCUAGGGAUGUACAAGAUGAGAAAUGGAGCAUUAAAAGAGAAAAAGGCAGGAACAGUUUUUCAGCUUCCAUGAUGGGGUAAAGUGGAUCUUGGCUUUUGGAAAGUGUCAAAUUUUGCUUUGUGGAGAAUGGAUAUGGCCUUCAGACAAGUCUCCAGAGAAGUUGCGUGACGGAAUUAGGCAUCUCUUUAAUGAGUUACUCUUUUCAACCUUCAAAGUCUAGACAAUGACUUGUUUUUGUUAAAAUAUCAAUGUAGAUUUUUUGGAAACGACACCGUCCUCUAGUUUUAGAAAUAUGUAGUAGGUUGCAGACACAUACAAAAACAACAUAAAAAAGACAAUAAACACAAAGACCGUAAUAAUUAUAAUUCAAACUUUUAUUAGUCAAUAUUUUUCUAAACAAAUUUAAAUAUUAAAGCUUUUAAUAAAUCACCAUAAACAAAACUUAAAAAUUAAUAAAAUAUUUCUAAGUAAAUAAAAAACAAAUUUAAAUCAACUUGGAAAAUAUGACAUUUUCAAAAUAAUAAUUUCUAGUACUAGUUUGGAGGCUUUAACGAGCUUAGAUGCCUUCAUAAAUCAAACCCUAUACAGAGAUCAUGGCUUCUAGAAAUAAAAUUUAUGUUCAUUAUUUUAAGGUCAUAUGUUGGAUAAAAGUCUUCUACAUCAAUCUCCUCGUGUUAGAAAUAACUCGUCUUCAAGUUCAAAUUAUUCUUGUUUUGACCUCAUGAAUGCUCAAUCAAAGCUCUAAAACUCCCUUCCUUUCUUCCCUUAAGGUAUAUAACAAUAUUACAUAUAAACUUAAGUUCUUUAUUAAUAUAUGUUGUAUCUAUAUAAUUUUUGAACAAUUUUACCUUUGUGAUAAUAAUAAACUUAUAAUUAAAAGGAUCAACAUAACCUAAAUUAAUAAUUUAAUUUUGUUACUUUGCACAUAAUUUCUAACCUAUCAAUAUGAACACCAUUGAUGACAUUAUUGCUACUUUGCAAUCAUUGUUUAUGCUAUUAUUAUUAUCAUAAGUUUGGCUAGGUGAUCAUAUAUAUAUAUAUAUAUAUAUAUAUAUGAUUUUAGUGUUCUUUGUUUUUUUUUUCACUUGGAUCGUUUUUUAGAACUUGAUUUUGGUUCUUGAGAAAUAAUUAGAGUUGUCAGUGUCACGCAAAAAAAUAAGGAAGGAUUUGAUCUUCCAUGUGUUUGGUCUAACAAAUCUAAGCUACGUGGCUUUCUAACUUCUUUUUUUUUUUUAUGUGUUUCUUGUGCUAUGUUGUUGAUUCCUCUUUUUGUUCCAUGAUCUUAGGAGGUUUUUAAAUAUUGUAAGGAUCUCUUGCUUUCUCAAUUUAUUAUAUUUUGUUGCGCUCUAUUAUUAUUUUUUUUUUUUUGCAUAUAUAUUGUGUUUGAGCAUAGCAUGUGUUGUUAUUUAUUUUUGGACCUCACAUAAACAUACAAAAUACAAAAAAAAAUUAAAAAAAUGGAAAACAAAUAUACAUUAGUGGGAAGAACAUGAAAGAUAUCUAGAAAAUUGUCACAGACUAGUAGGGGAGAAUCAAAAUAUUCAAAGUUAAAAAAUUGACAGUUCAAUUUUGAAUCAUGAAAGCCCUAUUAACAAGAAAAGUUCAAUUUGAGAAGAAAAAUUCAAAAUUAGAUGUUUAAUAACUCAAUUGAAAAUUUUCAAGGUUUAAUUGUAUUUAUUGAGGACUUAAUUGCAAUAAAAAUUAGUUUUAAAGUUCAAUUUGGACUUUAAUGGGAAGAAAUUGAAGUUUGGGGGUUGAAUUGUAAUUUUAAAAAGCUAAUUUAGUUAGUUAAAAACAUGACAUGACAUCAUUAAUAUGAUGCGGCAAAUGGAGUGAUGGUGCACCUUUCCUGUUGUAACCCAAUUUUGACCCAUUGGCUUUUAAAUUUAAUUUUACAUGGUUUAAAAUUUAAAAUUAAAAGAUAAGAGAUUUAUUUCGAUGAAAAGUGUGAUUUGUCAACUUGCAUGAAAACUAGAGACUACAAUGUGCUUUUGUCAUUCUAUCCUUAUCUUUAAGAUAAUCCCUGUCUUCAAGAUAAUCCUUGUCUUCAAGAUAAAAAUAGUUAUCUGUUUCCAAAUUUGAUUCUUAAUCAAAUUCAAACUUUAAAGAAGAGAAUGAGUUUAAUUGAAACUUUGUUUCUCACACGCGAAGGGACUCUGACACUAUAAAUACAAAUAUCAGUGUAUGCACAAAGAGGGGAAGACAAUAUAGAGAAAAAACAAAAAAAAAACAAAGGAGAAAAACAGGGGAGACGAUAGAAGUAAGAAAACAAAGGAGAGAACCCAAAAAAAAAAACCAAGAAUAAAGGGAGAAGAGAUUGAAAAGAGGAGAAGAAGGAGAGCAUUCUCCUGCUGAUGCCUGCACUGCUACCUUUGCCUUCAGCUUCACUAGGUAAAGUCUUCUUCAUCUCUCUGUUUUUGUGUAAUUGUUGCAAGAAAAUAGUGUCAAUGUAACUUAAUUACCUUCAUACUAUGCAGUGCACGUGUGGGUUGAGCCACGCUUACUUGCUGCCAAACCGGGUCACUGGCUUGGGGCUAGUGACCAAGCUGGGUUGGCUGGGUCCAACCCAGCCCAUGUUGGUUAGGCUAGACCCAGCCCAAAAAAAAAAAAAAAGAGAGAGGGUCAAAUCUGGGCUUUAGGCUCAGCCAGCCCACAUUAUGUUUAUUAAGGGUGUGUUUGGCAAAACACACCCUUAUGCCUUGGCUAUAAUUUUUAUGCUCAUUUUAGUUUGAUAUUUAGCCAAACGAGUCCCUUUUUGAUAUCAGAAAAUUCCAAAAAUAUUUGAGGAUCUUUGUUGAUUUAUUUGUGGGCCCCUCGCACUUUGAUUUAUUUUUUUUCUUUGCGUUUUGUAUUUGUUUUAAGUUAUGUGCUCAAUCUGGGGCCUAUUAUUGUUAAAUACAAAUAUGUCACGCAAUAUUUUUUUUUUUAUUUCCAUCUAAAAAGGGCAAAUAAUAAUAAAGGAUAAACAAGAAAAAAUAUGACAUAGAAAAUUUCUUCUUCAAAUGUAUUUUUUGUGAAAAUAUUCACUGACGCCAGAGUUAGGAGUAUCGUAUUUUUUGGAUUUGUGCGAUAUUUACCAACGUCAGAGUUAUAAAUAUUCGUAGGAAUUGUUCACUGAUACCAGAGUCAGGAACAUGAAAGGAAGAAUAAAAAAAGGGAAAAGGAGAACAAAUUCUUAAGCAAUUUUAAAGAAAACCAGCAAUGCAGCCUCCCUCAAGUAAGACGCUUAGGGGGGUGAUAGCAUUUUUUCUUUUGCAUAACCAGUCUUGUACCAUAAAAUCUUUGUUGAUCAGUUAAGGUUCCUAGUGACCGUAAUACUAGGUGGCGACUCCUUGAACUAGAUAUUUUCCCCUAAAAGAACAAGAUGUCAGAUAUCUGUUCUUUUUUCUAAUAGAGUGAUAAUUUUUAAUCGGUCACCGCGAUGUCCGGGUGUGACACUUCCGAUGGUGAAACCUGAAAAUAUUUUAAUAUAGUGCAUCCUUAGUUUUCAAUUGAAUCAAGAAACCAGCAUCUUGGGUUAUGUAUAGACAAAUUCAAUUCAUUCGGAUCAUUUGAUGCUCCUUGUUGGCCCGUGAUACAUUUUACAAAUUGUCACCAGAUAUGUGUAUAAGGCCGAAGUUCAUGUUUUUAUCAACAGUCAUACCUGGUUAUAAUAGUCCGAGUUAAAAUAUAGAUGUUUGUCUUCGGUGGUGGUUUGAAAGGAUUUCAAACCUUCAUACAUCUCUGAGGUUAUAUGAGCAAAAUAUAUUUAGCAUGUGAUGUCUGAUCAUUUUGUGCGACAAUCACACUCUAGUGCAAAGAACCAGAACUAGCAAGUUCACGAAUCUGUUACCCACACACUGGCAGCUCUAUUCCAUUUGUUUCACAUACGAAGCCGAUAGUAAGAUUUGUUUUUCAUUAUAUAUAUUUUUUAUUUGUUGUUUUCUAUAAAUAUAUUUAAUUAACAGUUUUAUCUUGCAGUAUACAGAUUUUCGACAUAAACCAAGCCCCAUUGAUGACCGCAAAAAAGUUAAGGGUGCAAUUUCAUAUUUUAGAUUAGCUAGGACACAUUAUGCUUAAUUGAUAAUUCCUAGAAAGUAUUUUAAUUCAUUGCAAGCAUUCGUGCGUUUUGGAUAAGAUAUGGUCAUCUAGCCAGGUGGCACGCAUCGUUUGGCAGAGACCACAGGCGUUGGAAUUUUUGCCUUAAGGUGUUUUUUCUAUGUUAACUUUUCAGUCCAAGUUUUGUAUAGUUGUUAGACCUUUUAGUUAGGGUAAGUGAAAAUAUCAUAAUCUCAAUUAUGAGUCUGAUGAAAACAAUAUUUAUUUAAUAUUCUAAUAUUUAUUUGAUUUGAUUUUUAUUAGUUAUGUCAACUUAAUUUAUUAUUUAAAACAAUUUUAUACUUUAGUGGCAUUCCACAAUUGAUAUUCAAAAUUUAUUAAAUCAGAUUUUUUUUAAUUUCUUAACUAUGAUUUUUAAAUAUAAAAAACUUUAAUUUAUUAAUUUCAAAGAUAUUAUUUUUUAAUAUUUAAAUAGUUACCCUUAAGAGAUAUUAUGCACAACCAUUUAAGUAAUUAUAUUGUAUAAAAAAUUAAAAGCCCAAGAAGCCCAUGAUUAUUUUUAUAAUGAUGAAUUAAGCAUGUGAAAAGACCACGUUAUCCUUAAAAGAUAGGCAAAGUUUUUAGAUUGAGAAAGGCAAAAUAGUAAAUUCAUUACUAUAAUCCAUAAUAAUUCAACACAUAUCUAUAAUAAUUCUUUCAGGUUUAGGCUUUUGUUAAUUCUACAUGGAAAUAAGGAGUUGAUGUAUGAUAUAUAUAUUUUUGAACAUUAUAAUAUUUGAUUUCAAACAUGUUGUAAGCGAAAAUGGAAAAACCGGUAAAAGGGAGAAAAUUGACAUUGAAAUUGUGGGAUCGGAUAAUUGGUCUUUCCAAUGCAUUUUUCAAUUUCUUUAUAUAUAAAAUGCUUAAAAAACUGGAAAGACUGGAAAGAGAGUUUUCCAUAGUUAAAAAAGAAGAAGAUCUGAACCAAAAAUUUAUUUAAACCUAACACAAUAGCAACCAAUUUGUUUUAUGUUGACUGACACGGUUUGAUCGAAGAAUUCUAGUCUUUACCAAACUUAGUUAUGUAGAACUUUUUCCCAUAAUAAAUUUAGAGAGACUUAAUACCACGCCUCGAACCAAAACUCAUGAAAUUAUUCAAUGUGCAUGAAAGAAAUUUGAACUACAAAAAUAAAAAUUAUAUUUAAAAUAAUAUUCAAUAAAAAAAAUACUCAUAAAUUAAUUAAGUCUAAUAUAAAUCUAACUUUAAAGUCAGAUAAAAACAAAUGUAGUGAUCAAAGAUAAUAAAUUGAUACUUCCAAAACAUCUAGAUGACAUUCUAAGCCUCUUCCAAAAUUAAAUAAGUGGUGAGUGCCACAUACUGAUAACAAUUCUUCUACUUAACUAGAUCAAAUAUAUCAAAACUUAUAAAUUAAUGCUAUUAUAUUAUUUAAUAAUUUUACAUAAAUUUACCUUGUAUUUUGCCCAUGUUUUAUAUAUAAAAUAUUUUGAUGUUAUUUGUUUUAUGUUUUGAAGGUACUUUUGGAUGUAAGAUUCAAAAAUGAGUAAUUUGGUGAUAAAAUUCAGACUAUGUUCCAGCCAGUGUCGAAUAUUGAUAUAUUUGACAUUUGAUCGAUAUUUUACGCAAAACUUUUGUAUUGGUCGAAAUUAAGUUAUUCCUAUGGAAUUAGAAAGUGACAUUUAUACUUUUUUAUACAUAUAUGGCAAGAAAAAAAAGAGCAUUGAAAUCCCAAUCUUCAAAGAUAAGUCUUGCAUUCUACUAGUUUUGAUCUUAAAUCAUUUCGACCUGAAUAUCUUGAGUUAUAGAAGUCUAUUUGAUGCAAAUUCAAUUUUGUUGGAUUUCUGAUUUAAAGACUUAUCAACCUACCAAAUUAAAAAAAAAAAAAAGAAGAAGCUCAUAUGAGAGAUAUGAUAUUUCUAAGACAACCUAUAAAUUCUAUUAACAGACAGGUUUUGUGAAGAAAGAAGUCUCAAACAUCCAAACCGACAUGACAAUUAUUUUUUAAUAUGAAAAGGAUUUUUAUUUGGGCAAAUUAACUUCACGAAGUUCAAAGUCAAAGCUUGAAGAUUUUAUGCAAGACUAUUUUUCUUUCUUUAUAAGAAAGUAGUUAUUAUAUUACUUAAAUAUAGCUUGUCUACUUUUUAAAUGACUUUUAUUUGUUUAGAAUACAAACGGACUAGUAGGAAUGUGAGGAUUAUGGUUUCCUAUCAUAUAAAAAGAAAGAGAGAGAGGAAGAGAGGGAGGCGGCCAAAAAAAAAAAGAAACUCUCAUCUUUUUUCCUACACUCGAAAUUAUGUUUUCAUCUUUUCUUUUUCUUAGAUUUUUUAUAGUCAUACAAGACUAAGUUUUUUUUCUUGGUUGAAAGGACACAGAAGCUUUCAGAUUUAAAAAAAUUAUGAGAUCUAUUUUAUGUUUUCUUUUCAGUUUAUAUGAUGAGUAUGAAUGUUUUUCUAUGCUUUUUUCUAUGAUUGUUUAGUUUGAUUGAUUCAAACGGUCUCUAAGUUAUUAUUCUAACCAAUCUAUUGCUAAUUAUUUAACCGGCAGCUAAGUAUCUUGUAUAAUAUAUAUUUUUUAGAACAUUAUGAUAUUUGAAAAAGGAAAAACGGGUAAAAGGGAGAAAAUUGACAUUGAAAUUGUGGGAUCGGAUAAUUGAAAUUUUUCAAUUUUUUUAUAUAUAAAAUGCUUAAAAGACUGGAAAGAGAGUUUUGCACUUUCUUGGCCAUGGUCCAUACAUGCUCAAAUGUCUAUAUUCUAAGAUGAAAAAACUAAAAUUAAUGUCUAAAAUUGAUAUACACUUAAAAUGAAGAGUUUUAAUUUGACAUGCAUAAAAUUAAAUAAUAGUAAUUUGAAUUCAUUGACGAGUUUUUUCUAACCAAAUGAGACUAAUAAAGGAGGAUUUUUUUUCAAUAUACAACUUUAUAUUAAUAAGUACAACUUUCAAUUUCAUGAUUAGCUCAUGGUAUAACUUUGGUAAAAGAUUUCGAAAGCUUUAUUUUCUUCAGGGUAAAAAGUCCAUACCCAUCAAAGUUCAAAAGGGGGCCAAAAAAUUACUAUUUAAGAUUUUUUAUAUUUUCUAGUUAAUUUAUGAUUUUUUUCUAUUUAGAUUAAAAAAUUUUAUUAUUUUUUUUAUUUUUAUUUAAGAUGUUUUUCCUAGUUUUCUUAUGACUUUUAUUACUUUUCAUUUAUUUUCUAAAUUUAUUGUUAGUUUAGUUAAGUUUUUAGGUUUAUUGAAGGAAUUACAAACCUCUUAAAGUGAUAGAUUAUUUGAAAAAAAAAUAUUCAAUUAUAAAAUUAUAAAUUAAGAUUUUUAUGUGAUUUGUUUUAGAAUUAUUUUGUAUAUUUUUGUUUUUAUCUUUCUCGUGGUACUUUCAUUGCAUCAGUAGUAUAUAAAACUUUAAUUUAUAAUUUUAUUAUUGAAUAUUUAUCUUCAAAUAAUCUCUUAAAAUACAAGAUAAAAAUCUUACUUAUACUAGAAAAAACACCCUAAACAAAACUAAAAAAAUAAUAAAAGAGCUUCAAACUAAGUAGAAUGUUUUUUUAAAUCAACUAAGUAAAUAUUGCAAAUCCCAAACAAUAAUUUCUUAGACUUAUUUGAAAGUCUUUUCAUAUUUGGAUUGAUACAAAACUUUAACUUUAUAAUAAAUAAAGCACAAAAUUUUAACCUAAUUCAGUAGUUGAAUUAAAAGGAAUUCCCAUUAAAAUAAAGUUGGAUUCUAAAAAAAAAAUAGUUUCCUACAUCAUAAAACACUACUUGUACUCGGCCUGUGCUAGUUUUUUAAUUUUAUUUAAAGGUACUAGGUUUUUUAAAAAAAAUCAGAAAAAAGAAAACGCAAGGACAUGGUUAAAAUAAAGAACUUUUUCCCAUAAUAAAUAUAAAGAGACUUAAUAUCACGCCUCGAACCAAGACUCGUGAAAUUAUUUUAUGUGCAUUAAAAAAAUUUUAACUUCAAAAAUAAAAUUUAUAUUCAAAAUAACAUUCAAUUAAAAGAAAAUACAUUGAAUCAUAAGUUAAUUAAGACUUUAAUAAUAUAAAUCUAACUUUAAAGUCAAAUAAAAACAAAUGUAAGUCUAAAUCAAAGAUAAUAAAUUGAUUUAAUUAUUUAAAUAUUAAAGUCUAGAAAUUAACUAUAAACUUUCAAAACAACUAGAUGACAUUCUAAGCCUUUUCCAAAAUUAAAUAAGAGGUGAGUGCCACACACCGAUAAUAAUUCAUCUACUUAACUAGAUCAAACAUGUCAAAACUUAUAAAUUAAUGCUACUAUAUUGAUUGAUAAUUUUACCCAUAUUUACCUUGUAUUUUAUCCAUAUUUUAUUAUUUUAUGUUUUGAAUGUACGUUUAGAUGUAAGAUUCAAAAAUAAGUAAUUUGAUGAUAAAAUUCAGACCAUGUUCUAGCUAGUGUCGAAUAUUGAUAUAUUGACAUUUGAUCGAUAUUUUACGCAGAACUUGAGUUGUAUGGUUGAAAUAAAAUGAUUCCUAUGGAAUUAAAAAGCUAACAUCCAUACCUUUUUAUACAUAUAUGGCAAGAAAAAAAAACAUGAAAAUCACAGCCUUCAAAGAUAAGUCUCACAUUUUGCCAGUUUUGACCUUAGAUCAUUCCGACUUGAAUAUCUUGAGUUAGAAAAGUCUAUUUGAUGCAAGCUCAAUUUUGUUGGAUUUCUGACUCAAAUACCUAUUAACCUACCAAAUUUCAGCUAAAAAAAAGCUCAUAUGAGAGAUAUGAUAUUUCUAAGACAACCUAUAAAUUCUGUUAACAGACAAGUUUUAUGAAGAAAUAAGUCUCAAACAUCCAAACCGACAGGACAAUUAUUUUUUCAUAUGAAAAUGGUUUUUAUUUAGGCAAAUUAACUUCACUAAAUCCAAAGUCAAAGCUUGAAGAUUUUAUAUAAGACUAUUUUUCCUUCUUUAUAAGAAAGUAAUUAUUGUGUUACUUAAAUAUAGAUUGUCUAUUUUGGAAAUAACUUUUAUAUUUUUAGGAUACAAACUGACUAAUAGGAAUGUGAGGAUUAUGGUUUCCUAUCAUAUAAAAAGAAACAGAGAGAGGAAGAGAGGGAGGCGGCAAAAAAAAAAGAAGAAGAAACUCUCAUCUUUUUUUCCUACACUUGAAAUUUUGUUUUCAUCCUUUCUUUUCCUUAGUUUUUUUAUAGUCAUACGAGACUAAGUUAUUUUUCUUGGUUGAAAAGAUACAGAAGCCUUAAGAUUUCAAAAAAGCUAUGAGAUCUAUUUUAUCUUUUCUUUUCAGUUUAUAUGAUGAGUAUGAAUGUUUUUCUAUGCUUAUUUUCUAUGAUUGUUUAGUUUGAUUGAUUAGAACGACUAAGAUUUUAUUCUUACCAAUCUAUUGCUAAAUUUUCUAUCAAAAUCAGAGUUGUGAUACUUAACUUUUGAAGCGACUAAGUUUAAUAAUUAUGAAAGAUCUAUGCUAUUAAUUUUAGGGAAAACAUUCAAUUAAAUUGAACAUAGACUGCAGACAAUUAUGUUGUCUAGAUUUAUCAACCUAUUUAGUUCUUAAGGCUACCGUUGAAUUAAAUUGUUAGUGCGAAUACAAUGGCUGUUUAAUGGUUAGAUUAGUUAUACUGCAUGUUAGUUAACUGAUUAAUAUUAAAAAAAUAUAAAUAUUCAGAAUAUAAAUUGAUGAAUUGUUUCAAUAAUCAGUUUUGAUUUCUGUCAUUGAACAUUUACUUGAAAUGUUUUUCUCUUAAUAAGUUUCGGUUUAUUUAACUUAGUUUUGAGUACUUUAUUUUGUUUACCCUACCAUAGCUUAGAUAAUUUCAACCCCCCAACUUUGAAUCAUUUAGCAUAAAGACCCGAACUAAAUCUUCCUCGUGGGAUCGACCUCUUGCUUGCUCUAUAUUAUCUUAUUUGUUUAAGUUAGGGUAAUUAAUUUGUGUGAUCACGAUAUUGCAACACAAAUACAUAUAGCUUAAAGUAUAUUCAAAGAACUUUUGCAAUCAUAAACAUAUUUUUAUAAAUCACUUAACAUUAUUUACAAAAUCAUUUACAUGUAAUAAGAAACCUAAUUCCUAAACCUUUCUAAAUAACUCUAAAAUGCAUAAAAAAAAACUGAAUUAAAAUAUAAGGAUCGAAAACACAUAACUCAAACUGGUAAAAAAAAAUAAAGAUUUUGACCAUAAAUCAAAUCUCCUCCUUGAGCUUCCUAUCCUUUUCUCUAUUGAUAUGGGUUUUAAUCGUAUGACAAGAUAGAGUGUAAGUUACUAUAGAGUUUUAUUUUAUUUUUAUCCUUUAAAUUAAUAUGUAAUUACUAAUAUAUCUAUUGUUACUAUAAUACCUUUAAUUAAUAAAAAAAUAGAAAAUCUAACUUAUUAUUUUAUUUUAUUUAUUAUUACUGUUUUUUUUCCUUUCACACUUAAAAUGAAGAAAAUUGAGCCAAGGUCAACUUGGAAAUGACAAUGAAUUUCAUUUAUACAUAUCACAUGACAAAAUUGACAAAAACAAAUUCUUUAUAUAAACGUAGCUUGCUUUGAGAGUACUUUGACACAUGCAUUGGGAUCAAUAUUCUUAUAAAUUCCUAUAAAUUAUAUUUAUUUAUAUAAUUAUUUAUUUAUCAAUAUAAUUUAUUUAUUUUUUAAAAGUCUAGUUUCCAAUUGUUUUUUACUUUCAAAACACAAUUUAUUGAAUCAAAAUAUUUACUUAUUUCCCACAAUUCUUUCUCUCCAAGGGUACAGGACAUUAUUGGCGAACUGUCUCAUAGCCAUGGAGAGGCCAGAUGCAAUUAUACAAGGAAAGCUUUGUAAGCAUUCAAGAUGAAAUAUGCUGUGUCUAUAUACACACACACCUGUUGAUGUACAUUUCAACCUGCUGACAUUAACAGAUUAAAUGUAGAAAAAGUACCACUUCCUGAUUCUUCAGUUGCAGUUUGGGUGAACACAAGUUUGAGUCGUUCAUGCGCUGCAUAUGCAAUUGUAGAUACUCCAGGAAGAGAAAAGGAUGCGUUAGAUAUGAUCUGUAUAUUCGAGUCGAUGCACUUAAAUUUGUACUUGUUUUGCGCUGAAUUUCCCAAUAAAAACUACUAUUUUCAGAAACAUUUUUCAUAAACAAAAAUAUUAGUGAGAAAAGGCGUCUGAUCCUCAAAGUUAUUGUCUUUGUUCCGUCUCAAUCACAAUUGAGUUCUCUGUACUCUUCUCAUUCUCAUGCAGAAUGCAAGGGCAUCAAAUGGUUCUCUUGAAAAGGAAUUGCUGACCGUUCUUGUUCCAACUGUGGGUUCCACAUGGCUGAUCAUUAGCAUAUUUGGUUAUUUGUGGCUCAGGAACAGAGGAGAAAAAGGUAAAGACAAAGCAAGCAUCAAAACAGAAGGUAGAUAGAGUAACUGUCCAUAAAAGAAUAGUUGACGAACACCACACCUAUAGCAUUCCAUAUGAUGAUGCUGUUAGGUUUCUUCCUUGACACUAAGCAGAAUGGAUCAGUUGUUUAGAAUCAGGAUAGGAGUUUUAGCAGUGGGUACGUCUAGUGCUGAAGAGCUUGAUCUGUUGUGAUGUAUAACAUAUUUGUUUUCAUUACAAAUCUAAUGGAACUUCAUAUCAGCAAUUAUUCAGACAGUACAGCUUCAGCGACAGGCAAUUUCAGUAAUUGUCACCUCAUUUACAGAACACUGUCCAUCUUCUACGUCUAAUGCUAUAUCAGGAUUAUUGUCAGAUUUUCUAAAGAGGAAUGCAGGUUGUUUUGGAGAAGGAAUCUCUGUUUCGUUACUCAACAUAAAAACAACAGCCAACAUAGAUGAUCUGUCCGCGGCAUCUUCUUGCACGCACAGCAGACCAAUUUGUAUGCAUUUGAAGGCUUCACGUCGACGAUAUAACUCGUUCAGUGAUGGAUCCACUAUCUCCAAUGCUUUGUCUUGUGUCCAUAAUUCCCACACCUGUGUUGUUCAUAUAAAUCAAUAACAUACAAGAAAUAAGAGCAGACAACAUCUAAAAUUGUGAACAUUGAAAUUCAGCCAAGACCACAAUAGGCUAUCUUAUAACUCACAUAUCCAAUCAAGGUCAAAGGAGGAUCCUGUUGAUAAAAUCUAUUGUUCUUCUUGCCACUCACAAUCUCUAGCAACAUGACCCCAAAACUGAAAACAUCUGAUUUUACAGAAAAGUUUCCAAGCACAGCAUAUUCUGGUGACAUAUAGCCACUGCAUCAGAAAAACAAGAAUCUGAAGUUUUAGUAUUCCUGGUAAUCAAUGAUAGUACCUUUUCACUCGGUCUUUGUAUUAGGCAAAGGUACUUACAAUGUUCCUACAACUCUACUGGUCCUAUCUUCAGUUUGGUUGCCUUCAAAUAUUUUUGCCGUUCCGAAAUCUGAUAUUUUUGGGUUCAUCUCUGCAUCCAGUAGAAUGUUGCUACAUUUUAAAUCCCUGUGAAUGAUUCUCAACCUGGAGCCUUGGUGAAGAUAUAAAAUCCCACGAGCUAUUCCAACAAUAAUGUCAAAGCGUUUUCGCCAAUCCAAUAACAAUCUUCUGCUUUCAUCUGUUGAAAUAAUUACUAUUCAGACAGGUAUAAUGUGACAACCAGAGUAAAUCAGGGCAAUAAAUACUUGAAGAGACUUACGGAAAAGAAACGAGUCCAAGCUUUUGUUUGGCAAGUAUUCAUAGAUUAACAUUUGUUCUCCAUCCUGAUUGCAGUAACCUAGAAGUUUCACAAGAUUCCUGUGUUGAAGCUUUGCAAUUACCAUAACUUCAUUUUUAAAAUCUUCUAUUCCUUGUCUUGAACUUCUGGAUAACCUUUUUAUUGCAACCUCCAGUCCAUUAGCUAGCAGACCCUAAAAUCUUGUAACAUUUAAUCUAGAUGAUUAUUCAAAUUAGAGAAAAAAAAAUGUGUAGUAUUGAGAAACUAUACCUUAUAAACAGAGCCAAAACCACCUUGCCCGAGUUUGUUAGCUGGAGAGAAGUUGUUAGUGGCCACCGUUAUGGUGCUGAGCUUGAAAUAUUCCAGUUCAGUAGAAUUGCUGUUUACCUGCAGCUCAGUACCUUGUUGUUUUUCCAAUCAUGAAGCAAAAGUGAAUUUCUCCCCACAACAAGAGCAGGAUAAAUACAUGACUUGGGACGGCAUAACAAAUAGAGAUUAGAGAGUCUUGUGUUACCUUUUUUUGCCCUCUUCUUGAGCCACAAAUAAGCAGAUAGGCUAAUGAGAAAACAUAACGAUGCAAUCGAUGGUACUAAAAUGGCCAGCAUCGUUUUUUCAUGAGAAGCAUUUGACUUCCAUGUAUUAUUAGCUGCAUGAAAGUGAAAAGAAUAAAGAUUAACUCUAUAGAAAAAACCACCCCAUUUUCCAAAGGAAACAUGACAAUACAUAUGGCAAAGGGUAGCUCUUUUGGCACCUAAAAAGUACCAAUAUCUAUGGUUUCUUUCCUGCAGUGAAGAGCUUAUUAACUACAGUCAAGAUCAGUGACAAGCAUAGGAAAGCACUUAUAAAUCAAUAUUUGUAGUGAAAAUCCUAUGAAGUAGUUACUGAGCAGAAAAAGAGUACCUUAUUCAUAUGCAUCAACACGAACAUACAGAUCAAAACUGUCACUCCUAUCAUAUUUAAUGUCUACUAAUUCCUUGUACCAUGUCAAACAACCAUAAUUUUUUCCGGGAAUUGCAAUGAUUGCGUAUGCAGAGCAGGAGCAAUUCCUCUUGCAUUGCAGUUCACAGUCUGCACGACUCUUGCUCCUGUCCACCCAAGCUGCAGCUGAAGUGUCCGGAAGAAUUACAUUUUUCACCUUCACAAACCCUUCACCAUGCUGGCACACCGAAGAAGUAUGUAGCCGCUUCCUGACACAACCACCGGACCCAUCUCUCGAAGACUAUUCCAAUGGGUACUUGGGCUCGAACCCAGGUAAACAGGCACAUCCAAAUUCAUUUAGAUUGGCAAGUUCACACGUACUAUAAGCACCACAAUGCCCAUAAUAGUCGCAGUGAAACUGAGGGGCCUUCCAGUAAUCCUUCCACUGACCAUCACUUUCUCGCCAUGUUAACACCUUUACAAGUCCUAAAUGAUCUACUAUUAUUCUUAGCAGAUAAGAAUCAUCAGGAACUGUGUAGACGCAGUAUAUUUCAUCUGGAUCAUUUACAAAAGCGCUUUUGUAUAAGCCCAUCUGACUUCUCCAUGGCCAAGGAGGAGAUCUACUAAUUGGCUUUGUAGCAUUAUAGAAAAAGAAUUGUGGCGAGCCAUUUGGGUUGAUCCUAAGAGAAAAGUCUCCAAUCCCAGGGUCAUCAGCUGAUCUCCAUGAUGUUAGGAACCGAUCAGUUCCUAAUUUUCGAUCCAGCCCCAGUUUCAUUCCAGGUAGCUGUAUGUUAGUAGGAUAAUCGAAGCUUUGCCAUACAAUCUUUCUGCUUCUUUUCCUGACCAAUAUCAAAUUCCCAGAAUCCAAGAGUUGAGCUUCACAAGUAUCAUUUUCUUCCACUGAAACAUUGGUAGACCACACUAGAAGCUUUUGGUCAUCUUUACGAUAGAGAACGAGGUUACCAAAUUGGUUUAUGAAGAGAAAUCCAGAGGAACCAAUGAUUGGAUCGUUCCUGUUUGCAACCCACACCACAGUUUGUUCAGGUAUUUUAUGGUACCAAAUUCCAAGGUAUCUAUUGGUUGAACUGCCAGGACUGAAAAAUCCUAGUGCGAAAAUAUUUCCUUUGGAGAUAAGAAGGUCACCUUCUUUAAUGGUGUGGUUCGUCUUUAAGGAGUCUUGGGAUGUGCAAGAUGAGAAUUGGAGCAUUAUAAGAGAAAAAAGCAGGAACAGUUUUUCAGCUUCCAUGAUGCAGUAAACUGGAUCCUGGCUUUUGGAAAAGUGUUAAAGUUUGCUUUGUGGAGAAUGGAUAUGGCCUUCAGACAAGUCUCCAGAGAAGUUGCGUGACGGAAUUAGGCAUCUCUUUAAUGAGUUACUCUUUUCAACCUUCAAAGUCUAGGCAAUGACUUGUUUUUGUUAAAAUAUCAAUCCAGAUUUUUUGGAAACGACACCGUCCUCUAGUUUUAGAAAUAUGUAGGAGGCUGCAGACGCAUAAAAAACCAACAUAAAAAAGACAAUAAACACAAAGAAAGAUAGAAUUGCGUCGAAAAAGACAUCAGCCAUAAUAAUUAUGAUUCAAACUUUUAUCACUCAAUAUUUUUUAAUUAAAUUUAAAUAUUAAAGCUCUUCUAGACUAUUAUAUACUAGGAAAAACACACUAAACAAAACUUAAAAAUUAAUAAAAUAUUUCAAAGUAAAUAGAAAAAAAUAAUCUAAAUUAACUUGAAAAAUAUAAUAUUUUCAAAAUAGAAAUUUAUAGUUAUAGUUUGGAGGACUUAACGAACUAAGAUGACUUCAUAAAUCGGACCUAUAGGGAACAUUGUCUCUAAAAUCAAAAUUUAUGUUCAUUAUCAUAAGGUCAUGAUGUAUCGGAUGAAAAUCUUCUAUAUCAGUUUUCUCAUGUUGAAAAUAACUCGUUCUUAAAUUUAAAUUGUUCUUGUUUUGAUCUCGUGAAUACAUAAUCAAAGCUCUUCAACUCCUUUCCAUUCUUCCCUUAAGGUAUAUAACAAUACUAGAUAUCAACUUUAGUUUUUUAUCAACAAAUGUUGUGUAAGCCCUAGAUAAAAUAAAAUUUGAUAGUAGCUAUCUUGAAUGGUUACCUUAAUGAAAAGAAAUGAAUGGAAAAUAAUCAUAAUAUAUAUAUAUAAUUUCAUAAAUAGCUGAAAAAUAAAAAAUACAAAAACAUGAAUAAGUACCGGAUGGAAAUGGAUUAUGAUGAAAUAAAUCUACUGGGAUGUAAAUUAAUGAAAAUCAAAAUAACUUGGAUAAAAAGGUGGUCUAACCUGUAUCGGUACUUAGAAAUUUUAUGUUAAAAGCAUGAAAAGUUACUAUUAAGGGACAUGAAUGAAAUUAAUUAAAUUGUUAUAAUUUAUAAGUUAUUAACAAGGGGAAUAGGCCGGCCAUAGGAGAGAAAGAAAGGAAAAAGGAAAAAAUCAAGAGAAAAACAAGAAAACGUGAGAGAGCUUUGAAACUUGUAAGAUUGAUAGACGACUGAAAACAUUAAAUUAAAUAAGAAUCAAGUAAAGAAAAAUAGAAGAAAUGAGAGAAGGGUCAGCCAUACUAACAGGAGAAGAGAAGUUGGGAGAACUUAGAUUGGUAAGCAUGAAAAAUUAAGAUUCUUACUUGAAUGAAGUGUUUUUAAGUUUAUUUGAGUAAAUUCUCAAACUAUGACAAUUCAAUUUGAUUUAAUUUCUUAUAUUCUUGACCUUUUAAAUUAGAGUUCUUAUGAGAAAUUUAAGGAUUUCAAAAAAAGAAAUAAGCAUGAUGGAAUUAAAGUGCAAUACUAUAGAAAUAGUGAAUUUAAGUAGUAAUUAAGAAAGAAAUUGGAUUAUAACUAAAAAUGAGAAAAUAGAGGGAUAAGGUUUUGAUUGUUUUAUAUUUAAAAAAUAAUGUUUUUUAUCUUAUUUAAAAUAUUCAAAGUAUGACAAGUCAAAGAAACAUCAUAAUAAUAUAAAAAGAUAAAUGGUAAGAAUAGUUCAUUAUAGUCGCCCUGAAACACAGAAACAGUGGGGCCUUCCAGUAAUCCUUCCACUGACCAUCACUUUCUCGCCAUGUUAACACCUUUAGAAUGAUCUACUAUCAUUCUUAGCAGAUAAGAAUCAUCAGGAACCGUGUAGACCCAGUAUAUCAUCUGGAUCAUUUACAAAAGCGCUUUUGUAUAAGCCCAUUUGACUUCUCCAUGGCCAAGGAGGAGAUCUACUAAUUGGCUUUGUACCAUUAUAGACAAAGAUUUGCGGUGAGCGAUUUGGGUUGAUCAUAAGGGAAAAAGUCUCCAAUCCCAGGGUCAUCAGCUGAUCUCCAUGAUGUUAGAAACCGAUCAAUUCCUAAUUUUCGAUCGAGCCCCAAUUUCAUCCCAGGUAGGUGGGUGCUUGUAAGAUAAUCGAAGCUUUGCGAUACAAUGUUUCUGCUUCUUUUCCUGACCAGUAUCAAAUUCCCAGAAUCCAAGAGUUGAGCUGCACAGAUAUCAUUUUCUUCCACUGAAUCAUUUGUAGACCACACAGGAAGCUUUUGGUCAUCGUUACCAUAGAGAACGAGGUUUCCAGACUGGUUUAUAAAGAGAAAUCCAGAGGAACCAAUGAUUGGAUCGUUCCUGAUUGCAACCCACACCACAGUUUGUUCUGGUAUUUUAUGGUGCCAAAUUCCAAGAUAUCUAUUGGUAGAACUGCCAGGACUGAAAAUCCUAGUGCCAAAAUAUAUCCUUCGGAGAUAAGAAGGUCACCUUCUUUUUUAGAUUAAAGGUGUCCGAUCUUUGCGUGUAUCUCGAUUAAUUUUAUAAAUUUAAAAUUAAUAAUUAUAUAAUUAUCCAAUGACUAUCAUAUUAGCAAUUACUCUCUCAAACUUAAAAUCAUAAAAAAAAUCAAACUUUUUAUUCCUAUCUUCCUAUCACUGGAUACUUACUAGAUAGUUGAAGGUCACUUUCUUUAAUGGUGUGGUUGGUCUUUAAGGAGUCUUGGGAUGUACAAGAUGAGAACAGUUUUCCAUUUUCCAUUUUCCAUGAUGGGGCAAACCGGACCUCGGCUUCUGGAGAAAGGAGAUGGUCUUCAGACAAGUGUGGGACCAUUAGUGAAGUUCGGUGAAAAAAGUCUUUAUUUUGGGAUUUUUCUUUAUGGGUUGGGUGCUUGUAACAGUGGUUUUUAAAUUGUUGUUUUUUAAAAAUAUAUUAAAAUAAUUUUUAAUAUCAAUAAAUUAAAAUGAUUUAAAUAAAUAAAAAAUUUAAUUUUAGACAAUUGUUUUUUUGAAUUUUUACAAAUUUCUAUUUAAAACACUACGAAGGCCACUCAAUUUUUUUUUAAGUUUGAUUUUAAUUUAUAAUAAACUAGUUUGAUAUAAUAUAUAUUAUGGUUAUAUCUAAGAUUUUUGAUGAUUAUUUAAGACAUGAGUUCUCUAAUAUACCUCAAAUUUACUAGAUUAAUGAUAUUAUUAAAGAUGAUGGUUUUUGACAUAUAUUAAUUAAAGUAAUUAGCCAAAUUGUGAUUCAAAGAUGUGAACAUCACAAUAAUGGAAAUUGAUUUGUCCUACAAAAUCAUAAAUCAUCAAAAUAAGGAGUUUUUUUUUUUUUGAUUUACGUGGGGUGUCCGGGCCAGCUUACGCGCACCACGACUAUUCCCCACGGCCCACUGUAGUUUUUUCAAUCAUCAUUCAUCUAGUUGAAUUAAUUUUUUUUUCAAACUAAGGAGUUUUAGAUUAGGACACAUUAUGCUUAAAUGCUAAUUCCUGAGAGAGUAUUUUAAUUCAUUGCAAGCAUUCGUGCGUUUUGGAUAAGAUAUGGUCAUCUAGCCAGGUGGCACGCAUCGUUUGGCCGAGGCCACAUGCAGGGGUAGGAAUUUUUGCCUUCAGGUGUUUUUUCUAUUCUGGCUUUUCAGUCCAAGUUUUGUAUAGCUGUGAGACCUUUUGCUGACGGUAAGUGAAAAUAUCAUAAUCCCAAUUAUGAGUCUGAUGAAAAUAAUAUUUAUUUACUAUUCUAAUAUUUAUUUUAUAUGAUUUGAUUUUUAUUAGUUAUGUCAAGUUAAUUUAUUAUUUAAAACAAUGUUAUACUUUAGUGGCAUUCCAUAAUUGAUAUUUAAAAUUUAUUAAAUCAGAAUUAUUUUUAUUGUUUAACUACAAUUUUCAAAUUUAAGAAACUUUGAUUUAUUAAUUUCCCCAUGCACUGCAUCGCUUGAACUUUAGUCUUUAGGGUUUUCUUUCAAGUGGGCAGCAUGAGAAGAUACGCAUCAAAACUAACAAAUAUCAAUCGGACAACAUAUCGUGUUUUUAUGUUUUUUUUUUUUACUUUUAGUUUUUAAAUGCAAGAUUCAAGAAGAUACUGUUUUUUAAUAUUAAAAUAGUGAUAUAUUAAAAUUUAUUUUUAAAUAUUAAAAUAAUAAUAUAUUAGAUAGACGUUAAUUAAAUUUAUAAUCAAAGUUAUAAGACCGUAACAACUUUAUAAAAAAAAUUAAAAUAAAUAAUUAUGUUCAAUCUAAAACAAUCUAAAAAUAAUCUAACAAUAAAGAAUGAAAUUAAAAAUUAAAAAAAGGUUAAAAAAAGAUUUAAAUGAACCUAAGUGAUUAAUUUGUUAAAUCUACGAUUCGAGUUAUCUAUUCCACACUUGACAACUUUUUUUUUCUCUUAUAUUAUUUUGCAUUUAAUUACACAACAAAAAAUCUAAAAAUAAAGAACAAACAUGACAUGCGUGUUGGAUUAAAAAAAAAAAUUUAACUAACAAAGGUUUUUUAUUUUAUUUUUUAUCUUCAGGGGAGCUGAAAAUGCAUUAAGUAAAAAAUAAAAACAUUUUUCAAAAAAUUAACAAUCCAUCCAGGGGCAUGACCCACCCUUCCACCUGACCUAUAUAAAAAUAGAAAUUAAAAUUAAAAAUAUUUAAUGAAAAACAGGUUUUAAAAAAUAGAAAUAAAAACUGAGUUAAUAUGUUAUACCCACAACCUGAGUCAUUCAUCCCACUGAAUUUAAUACCAUAUUAUUUAUUAAGAUAUUUUUCAUUUUGUUAUACAUUAAUGGAUGCAAGAUAUUUUUUAUAUCAAAUAAAAAAAAAACAAAUAGGAUAGGCACGUGAGACAACACAAUGGCUUAUUUUUUAAAGUUAAAUAAGAAAAAAUGGUUUGUUAUAAGCCAAUUUAGAAAGGAAAAAAAAAAGAAAAAGAAGAGGUCGCAUGUAUUAUCUAUGCAAUGAUCACGAAAACAUACCAAAUAAAAUAUCAUGAAGUGAGUAUAUCAUAUCUAUAUCUAAGCAAUUCACUUAAUUUAACUAAAAAAACAAAAUUUAUUUUUUAAGAAAAGCUAAAUUUAACAAAAAACGAAAAAAAAAACUCUAGAAAACCUAAGUUAUUUUUAAAAUCAGUAACAAAACCCUAUAGACUGUAAAUAAAAAAAGAAAACUCAAUAUCUAAUUAAAUCAAACAUUGAAGGAUGAAACCAAAAAAACAUAAGCUUGAAAAAAAAACAAAAAAUAAAUUAGAACAAAUACUCAAAAUCUAAGUUAAUCUCCUAAAUUCAUAACCUAUUAAAUCUUAGAUCUAAACUCAAUAAAACAUUACAAGAUUUAACAGUUUGAUAUAAUAUAUAUAUUAUGUUUAUAUUUAAGAUUUUGGAUGAUUAUUUAAGAUAUGAGUUCUCUAAUAUACCUCAAAUUUGCUAGAUCAAUGAUAUUAUCGAAGAUGAUGAGUUUUCAAUUAAGAAAGAAUAUUAAUUUGGUGUUGAUCGAUAUUGAUGUUGACACUUUUGUUAUACUUAAAAUUAGAAUCAAUAUUCACAACAUAUAUUUAGCAGAGUAAUUGGCCAUAUUGUGAUUCAAAGAUAUUGUGAAUAUCACAAUACAUGACUUUAUUCUUAGUUUAUUGUGCAUGUUAUGAGAUAAAUUGAAAUUGAUUUGUCCUCCAAAAUCAUAAAUCAUAUAAUUGAGAUUGUAAAAUUAAAAAAAAAAGUUUAGUAAUGGUACUUUGUUGUUACUAAUCUUAAAAAGGGAAAGAAUUGAUACAUGCGGAUGUGAUAAGUUUUAAAUAGGGGUGAGCAAAAAAACCGAUAAACCGAUUAAACUGAGAAAACCGGAAAAAAAAUAACUAAAAAAAUUGAAUCGAAAAAAAAAACCGAAUUAACCAAUUAAAAAAUCACAAAAAAUUUCCGGUUCGGUUCGGUUUCGGUUUCUAAAGUCUAAAACCGAUUGAACCGAACCAAACCGAACCGGUUCAACUAACCAACACUUAAAAAAAAAAACAAGUAUAAAUACAUUGUUUUCUAACCCUGGAAUAUCUGCCAUCAGCCGCCCCCCCUCUCCCUCUCAUUUUACGCUCUGCUUUGCUUUGAUUUUCAUCCCCUCCCUUAUGGAUUUGGAUUCUCCUGUUGAGUCUCUGUCAGAAAUGGAAUUGGAAUAGUAGAUCCAUUCUUUUUCUUUUGUUUUUCAUAUAGGAUUUCUAACAAGUGGAUUUCUACACCCCCCUGCCAUUUGAUUAAUUACAAUGAAAUGGAUGAACGAUCCCUCGAAGAAUCAAACCCACUCCCAUCUACGUCCAUCAAAAUCUGCUGAUCAAAUCACAUAAAGGUCUGUUAAACAUAACCCAUUCACCAUACUGUGUGGUUGGCUCAACUGAGACAGAGAGUGACGAAGAAGAUUACUUGGUUGGGUUAACUCGCCAAAUGGCUGGGUUUGGCCAUGGAAGCUUGAAUGGGUCUUCACCUCCAUCAACUUGGGAUCUGCUGUACGAGGCUACAGGAGAAGUUGAGAGGACCAUUGGGUUUGAACCGGUUUGGAAGGGAAAAAAACCAAACCGAACCGAACCGAAAUUAAAUAUAGAUUGUCUACUUUUUAAGUGACUUUUAUUUUUUUAGGAUACAAACGGACUAGUAGGAAUGUGAGGAUUAUAGUUUCCUAUCAUAUAAAAAGAAAGAGAGAGAGGAAGAGAGGGAGGCGGCAAAAAAAAGAAAGAAACUCUCAUCUUUUUUCCUACACUCAAAAUUAUGUUUUCAUCUUUUCUUUUCCUUAGAUUUUUUAUAGUCAUACAAGACUAAGUUUUUUUUCAUGGUUGAAAGGAUACAGAAGCCUUCAGAUUUAAAAAAAUUAUGAGAUUUAUUUUAUCUUUUCUUUUCAGUUUAUAUGAUGAGUAUGAAUGUUUUUCUAUGCUUCUUUCUAUGAUUGUUUAGUUUAAUUGAUUAAAACGGUCUCUAAGUUAUUAUUCUAACCAAUCUAUUGCUAAGUUUUCUAUCAAAAUCAGAGUUGUGAUAUUUAACUUGUGAAGCGACUAAGUUUAAUACUUAUAAAAGAUCUAUGCUAUUAAUUUUAGAGAAAACAUUCAAUUAAAUUGAACAUAGACUGCAGACAGUUAUGUUGUCUAGAUUUAUCAACCUAUCUAGAUCUUAAGGCUGCCGUUGAAUUAAAUUGCUAGUGCGGACGCAGUGGUUGUUUAAUGGUUAGGUUAGUUAUACUGCAGAUUAGUUAACUGAUUAAUAUUAAGAAAAGAUAAAUAUUUAGAACAUGAAUUGAUGAAUCGUUUCAAUAAUCAAUUUUGAUUUAUGUCGGUGGACAUUUACUUGAAAAGUUUUUCUCUUAAUAAGUUUCGGUUUAUUUAACUUAGUUUGAUUACUUUAUUUUGUUUACCCUACCAUAACUUAGAUAAUCUCAACCCCCCAACUUUGAAUCAUUUAGCAUAAAGACUCAAACUAGAUCUUUCUCGUGGGAUCGACCCCUUAUUUGCUCUAUAUUAUCUUAUUUAUUUAAGUUAGGGUAAUUAAUUUGUGUGAUCGCGAUAUCGCAACACAAAUACAUAUAGCUUAAAAUAUAUUCAAAGAACUUUUGCAAUCAUAAAUAUAUUUUUAUAAAACACUUAACAUUAUUUACAAAAUCAUUUACAUGCAUGAUCCACCUAAUUUACAAAACUAUAAUAUUUAUUUGAAAAACUCAUUUUGUACGUAAAUAUAUAUUUUCUAACUUAAAAUAACAAACCAAAGUGAUGAAAUAUUACUUGCGUGUUAUGCAAAUCCAAUAUUAGUCUUAGAGACAACCAAGCACUCCUAAUAACCUAAUAAUAACAAUCACUAUAAAUUAUAUGCUCACUGAUAUCCGAUGCAAUAUAUGAGCUUGUUUCUAAUUCUUAGUUUAAUAAAAAAAUUAAAUAUAUCACUUGCUUAAAUGACCCUAUAAUUCCCAUGAAAAAUCACUCAAUACUAGAAAUGUGUUAUUACAACCCCUUAUUUUACUUAUAAAAUAUCUAUUUUUAAUAAUUAAAUACCAAAAAUCACCCAAUACUAGAACCAUGUUAUUACAACCCCCUAUUUUACUUUAAAAAUAUCUAUUUUUAAUAAUUAAAUACCAAAAAUAAUUAUGUAAAACAUAUGACUAUUAUAGUUCAAAUUAAAUAACAUUAUAAAAUCUAUUAGGAAAGGAUAAUAAAUAUUUUUAUUUCAACUAAAACAAUAUUAUAAGUAUAAUUAAAGUGGAGGUGUCAAAAAUUAUUAAGUGCAACUAUUUUUUUAAAAUAAUUUAUUUAGUAAAUAAAUUAAUUCAUAUACAAAUCAAGUUCUUUAUGAAAUACUUUUCAUUUAUUCAAAUUCUACAUGAAAAGAAAUUGAUAGUGGUAUAUUAAAAUGUUUAAAACUUAAUUAUAAAAGUUAUUCAUCACUCUUCAAAAUAAAUUUUAGUUAUUAACUACUAAAUUUCACUAAUAAAAAAUAUUUUUUUCAUAAAUUUAAAAAUACUUAAAAAAAUAUUAAAAGCACACUAAAAUUUCCUAUUAACAUAUUAAAUAGAAACAAUAAACUUUAGGGUCAUAAAAUAUUCAGGGAGAAUUGCACUCUUUAACUAAAAAAAAUUAAAGAAUAUUUAUAAACUUAUAAAUUACAAAUUUAAGUGACUUACAUCCGACAGACAUAAUUUUUAAUCCAUAACUUUGAUUAGUGCAAAUGACCCAUCAAAUUAAAGAACUUACAACAUACUAUAACUAGGUAAUAAAUCCCAACCAUAACAAUCAUUAGAAGAUUAGAUUCUGACAGUCCAAAAUUACCAACUCAUCUUUUUUUUUUUUCAAAUCCUUUAAUUUCACUAUUACUUCAAAUUAAUCUACUAAAAACAUGUAAAAUCACUUGUAAUGAGUUCCUAUCAAUCUAUGACACCAUUAGUAUUAUAUCCUGUCCUUAAAAGUAAUUAAAAACCAAAUAUACAUAAUUCCAAAACCUUUCUAAAUAACCCUAAAAUGCAUAAAAAAAAUUAUUUAAAAUAUAAGGAUAGAAAAAACAUACCUCAAAUUGGUAAAAAAAAAUAAAGAUUUUGACCAUAAAUCAAAUCUCCUCCUUGAGCUUCCUAUCCUUCUCUCUAUUGAUAUGGGUUUUAAUCGUAUGACAAGAUAGAGUGUAAGUUACUAUAGAGUAUUAUUUUAUUUUUAUCCUUUAAAUUAAUAUGUAAUUACUAAUAUAUUUAUUGUUACUAUAAUACCCUUAAUUAAUAAAAAAUAGAAAAUCCAAUUUAUUAUUUUAUUUUAUUUAUUAUUACUAUUUUUUUUCUUUCACACUUAAAAUGAAGAAAAUUGAGCCAAGGUCAACUUGGAAAUGACAAUGAAUUUCAUUUAUACAUAUCACAUGACAAAAUUGACAAAAACAAAUUCUUUAUAUAAACUUAGCUUGCUUUGAGAGUACUUUGACACUUGCAUUGGGAUCAAUAUUCUUAUAAAUUCCUAUAAAUUAUAUUUAUUUAUAUAAUUAUUUAUUUAUCAAUAUAAUUUAUUUAUUUUUUAAAAGUCUAGUUUCCAAUUAUUUUUUACUUUCAAAACACAAUUUAUUGAAUCAAAAUAUUUACUUAUUUCCCACAAUUCUCUCUCUCCAAGGGUACAGGACAUUAUUGGCGAACUGUCUCAUAGCCAUGGAGAGGCCAGAUGCAAUUAUACAAGGAAAGCUUUGUAAGCAUUCAAGAUGAAAUAUGCUCUGUCUAUAUAUACACACACCUGUUGAUGUACAUUUCAACCUGCUGACAUUAACAGAUUAAAUGUAGAAAAAGUACCACUUCCUGAUUCUUCAGUUGCAGUUUGGGUGAACACAAGUUUGAGUCGUUCAUGCGCUGCAUAUGCAAUUGUAGAUACUCCAGGAAGAGAAAAGGAUGCGUUAGAUAUGAUCUGUAUAUUCGAGUCGAUGCACUUAAAUUUGUACUUGUUUUGCGCUGAAUUUCCCAAUAAAAACUACUAUUUUCAGAAACAUUUUUCAUAAACAAAAAUAUUAGUGAGAAAAGGCGUCUGAUCCUCAAAGUUAUUGUCUUUGUUCCGUUUCAAUCACAAUUGAGUUCUCUGUACUCUUCUCAUUCUCAUGCAGAAUGCAAGGGCAUCAAAUGGUUCUCUUGAAAAGGAAUUGCUGACCGUUCUUGUUCCAACUGUGGGUUCCACAUGGCUGAUCAUUAGCAUAUUUGGUUAUUUGUGGCUCAGGAACAGAGGAGAAAAAGGUAAAGACAAAGCAAGCAUCAAAACAGAAGGUAGAUAGAGUAACUGUCCAUAAAAGAAUAGUUGACGAACACCACACCUAUAGCAUUCCAUAUGAUGAUGCUGUUAGGUUUCUUCCUCGACACUAGGCAGAAUGGAUCAGUUGUUUAGAAUCAGGAUAGGAGUUUUAGCAGUGGGUACGUCUAGUGCUGAAGAGCUAUCUGUUGUGAUGUAUAACAUAUUUGUUUUCAUUACAAAUCUAAUGGAACUUCAUAUCAGCAAUUAUUCAGACAGUACAGCUUCAGCGACUAGCAAUUUCAGAAAUUGUCACCUCAUUUACAGAACACUGUCCAUCUUCUACGUCUAAUGCUAUAUCAGGAUUAUUGUCAGAUUUUCUAAAGAGGAAUGCAGGUUGUUUUGGAGAAGGAAUCUCUGUUUCGCUACUCAACAUAAAAACAACCGCCAACAUAGAUGGUCUGUCCGUGGCAUCUUCUUGCACGCACAGCAGACCAAUUUGUAUGCAUUUCAAGGCUUCACGCGGAUCAUACAACUCCGUCAGUGAUGGAUCAACUAUCUCCAAUGCUUUGUCUUCUCUCCACAAUUCCCACACCUGUGUUGUUCAUAUAAAUCAUUAGCAUACAAGAAAUAAGAGCAGACAACAUCUAAAAUUGUGAACAAUGAAAUUCAGCCAAGAGCACACAUGGCUCUCUUAUAACUCACAUAUCCAAUCAAGGUCAAAGGAGGAUUCUGUUGAUAAAAUCUGUUGUUCUUCUUGCCACUCACAAUCUCUAGCAACACGACCCCAAAACUGAAAACAUCUGAUUUUACAGAAAAGUUUCCAAGCACAGCAUAUUCUGGUGACAUAUAGCCACUGCAUCAGAAAAACAAGAAUCUGAAGUUUUAGUAUUUCUGGUAAUCAAUGAUAGUACUUUGUCACUCGGUCUUUGUUUUAGGCAAAUGUACUUACAAUGUUCCUACAACUCUCCUGGUCCUAUCUUCAGUUUGGUUGCCUUCAAAUAUUUUUGCCAUUCCAAAAUCUGAUAUUUUUGGGUUCAUCUCUGCAUCCAGUAGAAUGUUGCUACAUUUUAAAUCCCUGUGAAUGAUUCUCAACCUGGAAUCUUGGUGAAGAUAUAAAAUCCCACGAGCUAUUCCAACAAUAAUAUCGAAGCGUUUUCGCCAAUCCAAUAACAAUCUUCUGCUUUCAUCUGUUGAAACAAUUAUUUUUCAAACAGGUAAAAUUUGACAACUAGAGUAAAUCAGGGCAAUAAAUACUUGAAGAGACUUACGGAAAAGAAACGAGUCCAAGCUUUUGUUUGGCAAGUAUUCAUAGAUUAACAUUUGUUCUCCAUCCUGAUUGCAGUAACCUAGAAGUUUCACAAGAUUCCUGUGUUGAAGCUUUGCAAUUACCAUAACUUCAUUUUUAAACUCUUCUAUUCCUUGUCUUGAACUUCUAGAUAACCUUUUUAUUGCAACCUCCAGUCCAUUAGCUAGCAGACCCUAAAAUCAUGUUACAAGAAUAUGGUAAAAAAAUACCUUUAAGGUGACUCAUAUGUCAAUAACAAUUAAGGUUGAAAGUCCAUUGGACGGCCAAUUACAUCCAUGAUAAAUGGAGAUGCAAAAAUUAAGUUAUAUAUAAAGGGUUCUUAAUCUAUUAAAAAAAAUAGUUAUGAAAAGUUUUGUAUUUUCCAUCCGCGUAGUAAACCUAAAGUUUCACAUGGAUUAGGGUCUGUUUGUUUACGCGGUUGCGGCUGCGUUUUAAAUAAACCGUAGAUUUAAGCUGUUUGGUAAAGAUAAAAAUGAGAUUUAUUGUUCAUGGGCCCCAUUGUUUUCUGCGUUGCAAACGCAAGGGGAGAAGAAGCAGCUUGGAGCUGCUUUUUUUGCAAACUGUGUUACAGCACAGUAACCAGAGGCGCGCAACUUUUUCUUCUGCUUCCAGUAACUAGAGGCGCGCAACUUUUUCUUCUACUUCCAGUAACCAAAGGCGCACAACUUCUUCUUCUUCUGCACUUCCAUGUCUCCACUGUUCACGUGAACAGUGGAGACAUGGAAGUGCAGAAGAAGAAGAAGAAGAAGGAGAAUGAGGGGCUGGGGAAAACAGGGAAAGAGUCCAACUCCUGCACCAAGCAAACAAUGAAAAGAGAAGGAGCAGAACAGAGGAAUAGAAAAGUGCUCCACUUUCAUCUUCCUCCCGCUUUGCUUUUAUCAAUAUUACACUAUUCAAGUGAAUUUUAAUUCACUUGAACAGUGUAGCAACACACGUGAAUUUAGUACACGAGUGUUGCUUUGCCCAGCCGGGUCACUGGCUUGGGCCAGUGAUCGGGCCGGGCUGGCUGGGUUUAGCCCAGCCUAUAUGGGUUGGACCAGGUCCAAUCCAAACCUAAAAGCAUUGACCCAGGUCUGUUCCAAACCUAAAUGCAUUGAACUGGGUAUGACCCAGUAAAAUAAAAAAAUCCAAAAAAAUUUCACAGAUAUUGUGUUUUAUUUGAAAAACUAAUGUUUAACAUAAUUCAAUGGCACUAUAUAAUUACAUUUGAAGGAGAUUGUAUGAUGACGUAGCAUUUGUAGAAUUUGAUCGCAAUUCCAAUUUUGUUCUUGAUGAUAUUUUACCUGAUGUUAUUGCACGCUCAGGAAACCAUGGAAACUGUAAUCCUUGUUGGAUAGAUUUCAUACGUGAUAAAAUUACAUAUAAUUUUAUGCAACAAUAAAAUAUAAUUUAUAUAAAGUAUUGUUUAUUUUAUGAUGUAAUAUCAGUACUUAAAUCGAUAAUAUUUCAAUGAAAAACCACCAAUAUUAAUAUAUGUCUUUUUUAAUUAUUUUAUAACCUUAGUUUAAAAGAUAUUCUUUAAUUAAAUACAUUAAAUUACUUUUUGUUGAACCUCAAUUUCAACCACAGUUUUAACCAAACAUAUAUUUUUCCAAACCAACCUCAACUAAAAGUACUUUUUAUAAAACAACUUUUUUCAAACCACAACCACAACAGCUACCGCAAUACCAAACACAGACUCUUUAUUCUUAAUACCACAAAGAUUUUUGAACAAUUAUUUCAACACAUAAUGAAUCAUUAUAGGAGGCAUGUAUCCUAUUAAUUUUCUAUUAUGUACAUGCAUAUAUGCAUGCCAUAUUGAUGUUAUCCUAGAUGUUGUAUUAGAGUAGAGUCUUCUCCAUUCAUGGCUUGUAAAAAUGAGUUUUUGGAGUAUCUUUUAGUCCAACAUCAAAGUCAAACUCUUGAAAAUAUUCAACAUAAUCAUUAGAAAUUAUUGGUCUCCUUGUUUGAACUAAGUGCCCUUGAAUUGAUUAGUGUUUAAAAUUAUCUAAAUAAUUUUUUUGAACAAUAACUAAUUUUUUUUUUAUCUUUAUGCAACCCAUUUAAAUAUUAUGUUUCCUCAAAUUUUAUCCUUUUAGCAAAAUCACUCCUAUUGAAAUUGAGAUCCUUGAUAAAUUUAGCAUUUCUUGCCUUAACUAUUCAUGCAUUAUGAGAAGAAAAAUAAAACAUAUAUCCUUCAGAGUUCACUAUAUAACCAAUGAAAUAUCUACUAAUUAUUCUUGGGUCUAAUUUCUAUAGUUGAGGAUUAUUAAUCCUUACCUCAAAAAAUUGGACUUCUAUCUAUUUCAUAAUUCAAAAGGUAUCUUAACACAUUUUUAGGAUGAAACCCUAUUUUAAAAUAUAUACAACAAUCUUUAAUUCUAACUCUAUAAAGACAUUGGUAAAUUAAAAGUACCAAUUAUGUUCCUUACCAUGUCUAUAAGUGUACGAUUCCUUCUUUUAGCUACAUUAUCUUAUUGUGGUGUGUUAGACAUUGUAUAUUGUACAAUAAUGCCCUCUCCUUUAAGGCAAUGAACCAGACAUUUAUCAAUUUUCGUGUAUCUACCAUAAUACUCUCCAUCUCUAUCUGACCUUACAAACAUUAUGAUAUAUUUUUUUCUCCACCUUAACCUUAUAGGUCUUAAAAGCAUCUAAUGCUUCAGCUUUAUCAAAUAAAAGACAUAGAUACAUAAAUCUACUAGAAUGAUCAUCAAUGAAUAAGGUGAAAUAUAUUUGAUUAUUUAAGCAUAGAGUAAUAAAUAGUCCACAAAUGUCAGUACAUAUGAUUUCAAAAAUUUUAGCAUAACACCUUUAAUGGUAUUGUUAGUUUGCUAACCCUUUAUGCAAUCUACACAAAUACCAAAAUCAAUAAAAUUAAGAGUGUUUAAAACUAUAUCAUUCACUAAUCUUUUAAUUAUUUCAAUGAAGAUGUGAUCUAAUCUUUUAUACCAAAACAUAAAUGAAUUCUCAUCCAUUUUGCUCUUUUUAAUUAUAGAAUCAACAUGCAUUGAUAAAUAGUUGAGUUUAAAAGUAGAGUCUAGAUUGAUUUUAUAUAAAUCAUUAAUUAACGUUCCACCACUAGUAGAAAGUUUAGUUUUUAAAAUACUAAAAACAUUUUCAUCAAACAAAAAUCCAUAACCAACAUCACAAAAUCUAGAAAUUAAAAACCAAAUUUUUAGAAAAUGGUGGAACAUAGAAGAAUUUUUCAAAUCCAAAAUAAGUCCAGAUUUUAAAAUUAAUCUAGAAGUCCCCACAACUUCAACUUCAAAGCGUAUCUAGUUUCUUGAAUAGAUGUCUUCUUCAUUUUCCUUUAGCUUUUUUAGUGUAAUAUUUUAAAAGAAAGAAAGGUUUUAAUAAAAAAAUGGCAAGAAUAUCUUUGAAUGAGUAGAUAUUAGAUAUAAAUGAAUGAGAGAGAUUUUGAUAAUUGCACAAAACUUGUUAAAUAUAAUAAGAAGAGUAAGACAAAAAAAAGAAAGAGAUUUAAGUGUUUGACUAUAAUUUCUUUUAGCUAAUAGUCUAGACAUUUAUUAUUAUUAUUAUUAUUAGAUAUUAAAUUGAUGUUUUGUGCAGAUAAGGUAUUAUUUUCUAUAUCUAUUGGGAUAUAUGAUUUAUUUGUUCAUUAAGUGUUUAUUUUAAUGAUGCAAUAAAUUGUAAUACAUGAAAGGAAAUACUUGAUUAUAAAAUGAAAUCACUAUGAUUUAUAUGUUGUAUUUUUUAUUUAAGUACUAUAUAUUUUGAACUCUAGAAAAAUAUCGUUACUUCUCUGUUCAUGUCAUGUGGGCUAAGUGGAAAAAUAAUAAUAAAAAUAUUCUUAAAUUUACCAAUAUAUACCAUGUAGAUUUUAAAUUAACUGACAAUUAAAGCUUAGAACUCAUUGAACUAACUCUAGUAGAAGGCCAAGUACAUCCAUGAUUGAUAAAUGGAGGGGUAAAAAUUUAGGUUAUCUGUAAAGGGUCCAUAUUCUAGCAAAAAAAAAAAAAAAAGUUAUGAAAAGCCAUGUGUCUUCCAUCCAAUUAGUAACUCUAAAACUUUACAUGAAUUAAAAGAUUUUAUUAUUAUUGAAACCACAAAAAUAGAUUUCUGUACAAUUAUCUCAAUAUUUAAUCAAUCAUUACACCAAGAGGAAUGUAUCCUAUUAAUUUUGUACCGUGUUUAUAUGCCUGGCGUAUUAAAGUUUUCUUACAUAUUAAGCAUCUAAACUACCAAUAAGCUAGAAAAAACAAAUCUGUAUUAUUGAGAACACAUUUAAUUUUCAGCUAGAAAAUGAAUUGAGAAACUCUACCUUAUAAACCGAGCCAAAACCACCUUGCCCGAGUUCGUUAGCUGGAGAGAAAUUGUUUGUGGCCGCCAUUAUGGUGCUGAGCUUGAAACAUUCCGAUUCAGUAGAAUUGCUGUUUAUCUGCAGCUCGGUACCUGGUUUUUUUGCCCAUGAAUCAAAAAGUGAACUUCUCCUCAUAACCAGAGGAGAAUAAAUACAUGACUAGGGAAGCAAAUCCAAAUAGAGAUUUGAGAGUCUUGUCUUACCUUUUUUUGCCCCCUUCUUGAGCCGCAAAUAAGCAGUUAGGCUAAUGAGAAACAACAAUAAUGCAAUUGAUGGUGCUAAAAUGGCCUGCAUCGUUUUUUCCCGAGAACCAUUUAGCUUCCUUGUAUUACCAGCUGCAUGAGAAUGAAAACAAUAACGAUUAACUCCAGACGAAAAACCACUCCCUUCUCCUAUGGAAACAUGGCAAGACAUAUGGCAAAGGCUGUCCCCUUCGGCACCUAAUAAGUAUCUAUAUCGUUUCUUUCACGUAGUACACAGCUUAUUAAGUACAGUCUAGAGCAGUGACAAGAAUAGAAAAGCUCUUAUAAAUCAAUAUUUGUAAUCACAAUCCUUUGAAAUUGUUACGGAGAAGAAAAAGGGUACCUAAUUCAUAUGCAUCAACACGAACAUACAGAUCAUGACUUUCAAUCCUAUCAUAUUUAAUGUCUACUAAUUCCUUGUGCCAAUUCAAACAACCAUCCCCUUUUCCGGGAAUCACAAUGACAGCGUAAGCAGAGCAUGAACAAUUCCUCUUGCAUUCCAGUUCACAGUACUCUGCACGACUCUUGCUCAUGUCCACCCAAGCUGCAGCUGAAGUGUCCGGAAGAAUUACAUUUUCCACCUUCACAAACCCUUCUCCAUGAUCGCACACCGAAGAUGUCUGUAGCCGCUUCCUGACACAACCACCGGACCCAUCUCUCAAUGACCAUUCCAUUGGGUUCUUGGGCUCGAACCCAGGUAAACAGGCACAUCCAAAAGCAUUAUAAUUGGCAAGUUCACACGUACUAUAAGCACCACAGUAUCCAUAAUAGUCGCACUGUAACUGAGGGGACUUCCAGUAUUCCUUCCACCGACCAUCACUUUCUCGCCAUGUUAACAUCUUU
This 92871-nucleotide long non-coding RNA is filed under the name Populus trichocarpa (black cottonwood). Its description in RNAcentral is "long non-coding RNA (PTRI_LNC002668)". Lineage: Eukaryota; Viridiplantae; Streptophyta; Magnoliopsida; Malpighiales; Salicaceae. The record is from RNAcentral.